AUUUUUUUGGUAUUUUGCGUUUCCUGCCCAUAACUAAAGAUAGGAAACAACUAAGAACAGCAAAUAAAAAUUACUUAGUGAUAAAGCAAACAAGCACACACGAGAAUAUUCACCCCACGCUAUUGCUCCCCGGCAACGGCGCCAGAAAAAGGUCUUGAUAACCCACAAGUAUAGGGGAUCGCAACAGUUUUCGAUGAGUAAGAGUGUCGAACCCAACGAGGAGCUAAAGGUAGAAUAAAUAUUCCCUCAAGUUCUAUCAACCAUCGAUACAACUCUACGCAAGCUUGACGUUCGCUUUACCUAGAACAAGUAUGAAACUAGAAGUACUUUGUAGGUGUUGUUGGAUAGGUUUGCAAGAAAUUAAAGAGCACGAAAAUAAAACUAGGGGCUAUUAAGGUAAAGAAGCAACUAAAGUAAAUAUAGCGAGAGUGGAAAAGUGGUGGUAGGAGUUGCGAAAUUGUCCCUUAAGCAAUUGACUACUUUACUAGACCGAUAGCAAGUAUUAUGUGGGAGAGGCCACUGCUAGCAUGUCAUCCCUUACAUGGAAUUCUAUGCACUUAUGAUUGGAACUAUUAGUAAGCAUCCGCAACUACUAAUGUUAAUUAAGGUAAAACCCAACCAUAGCAUUAAGAUAUAUUGGUCCCCCUUCAAUCCCGUAUGCAUCAAUUUCUAUGCUAGGUUGAAGCUUCUGUCACUCUUGCCCUCCAAUACAUAGUCCUAUCAACAUACAACUAACCCUAGGGUGUGAUCCACGCGCGCAAUCAUAUGAUGGGCACCAAAGGACAACAACAUAACCACAAGCAAUUUAAAUCAAUCAUAGCAAUUCAUCAACCACCGAUAGGACAACGAAAAUCUACUCAGACAUCAUAGGAUGGCAACACAUCAUUGGAUAAUAAUAUGAAGCAUAAAGCACCAUGUUCAAGUAGAGGGUACAGCGGGUUGCGGGAGAGUGGAACGCAGUAGAUAGAGGGGGGUAGGUGAUGGAGAUGUUGGUGAAGAUGGUGGAGGUGUUGGUGUAGAUCGCGGUGAUGAUGAUGGCCCCCGGUGGCACUCCGGUGCCACCAGAAGCGAGGGGGAGAGAGCCCCCCCUCCUUCUUCUUCUUCCUUGACCUCCUCCCUAGACGGGAGAAGGGUUUCCCCUCUGGUCCAUGGCCUCCAUGGCACGGGAGGGGCGAGAGCCCCUCCGAGAUUGGAUCUGUCUCUCUCUCUCUCUCUGUUUCUGCGUUCCCAUAUUCUUCCCUUUCACCGUUUCUUAUAUUCCUAGAGAUCCGUAACUUCGAUUGGGCUGAAAUUUUAACACGAUCUCUAUUCGGAUAUUAGCUUUCUUGCGGCGAAAGAAGGGGUCCAACUGCCUUAUGGGCUGGCCAUGAGGGUCAGGGGCGCGCCUGACACCCUGGGGGGCGCCCCCCUACCUCGUGCCCCCUCGGGCACCGUCUCGCGAUGAUUCCACUUCCCAAAAUUCAUAAAUAUUCCAAAAUAAAUCUCCGUCAGUUUUUAUUCCGUUUGGACUCCGUUUGGUAUGGGUUUUCUGCGAAACAAAAAACAUGCAACAAACAGGAACUGGCACUGGGCACUGGAUCAAUAUGUUAGUCCAAAAAUAGUAUAAAAAGUUGCCAAAAAGUAUAUGAAAGUUGAAUAAUAUUGGCAUGGAACAAUCAAAAAUUAUAGAUACGACGGAGACGUAUCAGUCCUUUGCCAGUGUUCGCUUAAUCCGUAGUCCCUGUUUCGAGUUGCAAAUAUUAGCAACAGAACCAGUAUCAAAUACCCAGGUGCUACUGCGAGCUCUAGUAAGGUACACAUCAAUAACAUGUAUAUCACAUAUACCUUUGUUCACCUUGCCAUCCUUCUUAUCCCCCAAAUACUUGGGGCAGUUCCGCUUCCAGUGACCAGUCUGCUUGCAGUAGAAGCACUCAGUCUCAGGCUUAGGUCCAGACUUGGGCUUCUUCUCCUGAGCAGCAACUUGCUUGCUGUUCUUCUUGAAGUUCCCCUUCUUCUUCCCUUUACCCUUUUUCUUGAAACUGGUGGUCUUAUUGACCAUCAACACAUGAUGCCCCUUCUUGAUUUCUACCUCCGCGGCUUUUAGCAUUGCGAAGAGCUCGGGAAUUGUCUUAUUCAUCCCUUUCAUAUUAUAGUUCAUCACGAAGCUUUUGUAGCUUGGUGGCACUGAUUGAAGAACUCUGUCAAUGACACUACACUACUAGGGAAAAGGCUAGCAUCAGCGCAGGUUUUAGGUGUAUCAGUAGUGCGCGGACCGGCGCUACUAAUAAGGCGCUACAGCUAACACAUAGCAUUAGCGCGUGCUCACCAGCGCUACUGCUACACAAGUGUAGCAGCAGCGCGCUUAGUGGAAGCUCGCUACUGCUAAUAGCUAUAGCGCGCUUCUUCCGUGCGCGCUACUGCUACUACCGUGCUGCUGCUAACUUUUCUCCACUCGCUACUGCUAAUUUUAGUAGUUUUUUUUGGCAUAUUUGUUUUGUAUUUGAACAGGCUUUAUAGAAGAAUCUUUAGCACAUACAAAUGUCAUCAUGAUACACAUACAAAUGCCUGCGAGACCACAGAUGUAAUCAUAGCAUAUACAUACAAAUAGUCUCAUCAUAAUCAUCAUCCAACACAAAGUGGUCUCUCGUCAUCAUCUCGAAAAUAACGAUACAAGUCUCGAUUACUUGCAAAUACAUCGUCAUCCAUCUAAACAAUGAUAUACGCGAGAAGAGCUAUCACUUUGAGUACAUGAGUUCGUAUCCCUCUCUCGCAUUAGCGUGAACCUAAACUAACUACUGCCUGUCGCUCGGAAACCGGAAACCGGUACACCUGGGCCUGACACUCCGGCCACUUGUCGUAUAUAUACUCCUGGCGUAGCACUUCUUCGCCAUCUAUGAUCUAUGCACCUGCAUCGUCACAUGAGUUGAUGAUAUGCAACAUAUAUAGUUGAGCAACAGAAAGAGACAGACUUGGCAAAAAUAGAAACAACAUAUUAUAAGCAUAAAUAACAAAGUUCAUCAUACCCCAAAAUGCCCUAACUAGAGUGAUUUUCGCUAGUCGGGGAGGAGGAUGGUUUAAUUACAUCACAAAUAAAGUUUCACCGUGCAUAACUCAAAGUUUUGUCAUACAGAAAGUAUGGACUAAAUGGACACAUUGUCAUAUAUCGACAAUCACUCCAACAUGUCGUUCCAUCCAUCCAAGUCAGGGAGAUAGUCCUUGAGCUUAGUGAAAGGCUUCAUGUCGAGACGCUGAGAGGCUAUCCAUGUUCGGACGUCUUCCCGCGACAUUUGUCCUUCUCCGUAGAACAUCCCUGUUUUUCUGACAACCUCCUUCAUGAUGAUUUGGGCAAGUUCGCGGUGGAUGUUAUAAAACUCAGCUCGAAGUCGAUGAUCCUCAAUAUCUCCUAUGUCCUUUGCCCAUUGGAGAAUAUGGGCAUCACCGGAUUUAGGUGACAUGCGAAGGUUCUGGUGAUCCCGUCUGUACUCCAGCAUGUGGUGUAGGACAUAGAAUCCAUCAUUAAGAGAAUCGUUCGGUUGCUGGAUGCAGCUAAAGUCGGUCUUAUGGCUGAAGGCGGCCCUGCCGCCCCUUGUCUUCUUGUCCCUGACCUCUCCACCCCUUGCUUGGUAGUAAAACAUAGCACUGUCGAGAACAUCCUUGAUGUGGGUGUAAUCCUUUUUGUGAAUGUUCUUCGACAAGUCCAAGUAAAGAGCGUGGGAGAAUCGGGGGUAGAGGAUGAUGAGGACGGCAUGCCCGCCGCUGCGCAAAAUAAGUACACCUCAAAUUAAUUAGCCUCCAUUGUGCAAAUGAAAGAUUGAAAUCGAAGGAACAAUAGCAGCGCGGAUGACUUACACGGGAUGAUAAGGCAUGAGAAUCGCCUCCUUGUCAUUAUUGGCGAGCAUGAAAGUGACGAUGUAAUCCCUCGCGUAUUCACGGUGCUUUGCGCAGACUCCCAAGAAGCCCUCGUGCAUGUAGUACGGGUCAGCGACAUGGAUAUUAGAUAUCUGCUCAACCCCGAUGAUGUAGUUCAUGUGCAAGGCAUAAAGGCGGACAAACGUAAAAUCCUACUUCUUCACGUGAAACAUGUCAAAUAUGUAAUCGAAUCGGAGGAAGAACUUAUCCGCGGGGAAGCUGUCGACGUACGACAUUUGCCGCGGAACGUUAACCACGUAGAGUGGGUAUCCUGGAUCUUUCGAGGCGAUGAGGCCUUUCUCUACCCGCAGCACAUCGUCAUGAAGUCUCCUUAGAUCGCCGAAUCUGGCACGUAGCGCUGUUGCGGGUAGGAUUGGUUGACCAGGGAUAUGCCAUUUAUCCGCAUUGGGGAUAUCUAUACGGUCCAGAAGCCGAGGCUGCUGAGGUGGCUAGAUCAUAGAAUCAGCUUUUUUACCUUUCCUCGCUCUCUUCCUAGACUUCUUUACUAUCGGAAGGUCGUCCAUAAUACAUUGAGACGGCAAUUCAGGCACCGACUCAUGAAGCUCAAACCCUGAGGAGGCGCCAGUAUAGACAUACUAUUCAGCGCCAUCGUCGUCCUCAUCCUCAUCCAUGGCGAUGUCAUCAGCGACUAAUGGAGCAUCCUCCUUACCCCGUCCGCUAUCACCCAACCCGACACCCGACGCUAAUUGGGUAGGUGGGGUGUUGAUGUUCAUACCUUGCUGAGGCUGCGUGCUCGUGGGUGUGCUCCCAGCCGCCUCCAAACGAAGCAGACUCUUUGGCCACAACAGCACCCACCCAUUGCAACAAUCACCAAGCCGCCGCGGUGUCUUGUUGUCAUCCCCCGCUAGUAUUGGAGGAGGCAAAUUCUCGUGGCCCGGUUUGACACUGGCCACGGAAACCUUGAAGACGUUCGGGGGGAUCGGCCGGCUGUGGAACAAUGGUUCCUUCGGCUUCAUUAUCGUCGCCUUCCCCACGUCCACCUUCUGGUCACCGAUGGUGUACAAUAUGGUGCACGGGGUUUCGUCGGCCUGCAAAGAAAAGUAUGCGACGUGAGACAUCCGAAAGGCAACGAAAACGGGAGAUUAUACAUUUAUAUUGAAGGGGGGCGGUGUGACAGAUACCAUGAGGGCGUCGAGCUCAGCCAAAGAUGAAACACCACCGAGCCCGUCCGGUGCGGGAGCUGGUGCGGGAGCAGGUGCGGGAGCCAGUGCGGGAGCAGGUGCUGGUGCAACGCUAGUCGAGCUGCUCCCCAAGAAGUCGGCAAGGGGAAAGUCCUCUGCAUUUUUUCUGGAUUUUGCCUUGUCCAAGUGAUAACGCCCGUCACCAAGGAAGUAGACAAAUCUGCAACCACCUGUUUUGCGGCAGCUACCGCUGUUGCGACUGUUUGAGAUGAUUUCUUCUCAACCGCAAUCUCAACCUUCUUGUCGAUGUUUUCUUUAGUUAACCUCCGUCUUUCCUUUCUCUCCGCCAUGGUCUCAUGGUAGUACUUCUUCCACGUGGCGCCGUCUCCGACACCGUGCACGUGUCCAUACGACGGUCGAGUAUCCACCGAUUGUCGUUUCAAUAUGUUCAACGCCCGGUUGAAUGGAGUGUCCCACUUGGGCCUCGCCAAUGCCUCAGACGGCGAGUUGCUUUCGUCCGCAAUCUGGUGUGGCUCUCUCUGCAAAAGGCACAAGGAUCGUUUACAAAUAUGACUAAGGUGUGCAGUCGAAUUGAUCCGAAACUAAAAUUACCAGUAGUCUCAUGAACUCCGUAAUGACCGGUGUUGUCUCGUAAACCUUGUUCACUGGGUCCCAACGGUGCCGGGCCCUGAGGACGUCACGCUCCUGCGGGACAGUGAAAUCCGCCAAGGGGUCUGGGAUGCCAAGACUCGCGGCUUCCGCGUCCUCCUUGGCCCAUUUGGACCUCUUUCCGCCGUAACCACGGCUUCCGAGGUGGUGGCUCCCGAUGUUCCUCUCUUGAAGCCCCUUCAUGUACUGAGACUUUUUUUGGCAGCUUCGGCCUCGCAAGCCUCCUUGAAUAUUUGAAACUUCUCUUCCAUGAUUGUCGGAUUAUCCUUUACAAUCUCGGAGUAGGGUUCCUUCUUGUCGAUGAUCUUUGCUUUCACUUGAUUUUUCCAGGCGGCCAAUGCGUUGCUAAACUUGGUCAUGGCGUGUUUGUUUAUCUUCUUCAUUGCCGGGUCCUCAUCUUGAUCUUCAUAAUCCUUCUCAUUCCGGCCCGGGAACAAGAAUAUCUGGUGAAACUUCUUUAGGAGGGAGCUCCUCAUAUUUUCUAUCUUCGGUGGUUUCUCAUUGUUGAUGGUGGCGGUUGUCCGUACGAUGCAGCCUAUUUGAUUGUCGUAGCAUCGACGCGCUUCCUCGGGCGCCUUUGGCUCAAAAUUGCCGUCGUACACCCCCGUGACCACCAGUCUAGUAGUCUUGAGUUUGUUAGGAAGCCGUUGCCUCUUUGCUUUCUGUUCUACACCGGCUCCGCUCCCCGAGGCAGCGCCGGUCUCAGUCUCAGCGCCGGUCUCGAUGCCGGUCUGAGUCUCAGCGCUGGUCUCAGUCUCAGCACCGGUCUCAUUCUCAGCACCGGUCUCGAUGCCGGUCUGAGUCUCAGCGCCGGUCUCAGUCUUAGCAUCGGUCUACGUGUCGGUCUCAGUCCGCGAUGCCAGCGGUUGAUCAUCGACAAGGCUAAAAAAUUCGUCUGCCGCCCAGUAGACAUCAUCGCAAUCACCAGAACCCUGUCCUUCAUCGUUGCUAGCCAUGUUUCCUACGAUUAAAUCUAGUAAAUUAAUUCUAGACCUAAUAAAAUGAAUAAUGACAUACAAAAGGCCUAUGUUUUGUAGGAACGUUGACUCCUUCCUAGUGCGGCAAAUCCAGGGCACUCGACAUGUCCUAGUUUGUAGCACAAGUCAUGCCGAAAUUCACGGAAAAUUUUGGCAUGACCUUUGCUAAAAAGUGGACAAAUCGAGAACCUAAAAUUUGCCAGAACGGAAAUGAAUCAAUAUUCCGGCAAAACAUAUAUAGGCCACUCAGCUUCAUUCAAACAACAAAGCCACUUGGGCACAAACAACAUGACCACUUCAACGAAAAGAUAUAAUCAACAAUAAAAGUCUAGGAAUGAAUCAUCUUUAAAAUAAAACUUGACUAAAUAACCUAGAUAAUUAACCUAAUUAAACUAGUUAACCUGACUAGUUCUCUGUCAAAGCCCUAACUAAAUUUUUGCACUAACCUAGGUAAUUAACCUAAUUAAACUAGUUAACCUAACUACUUCUCUGUCAGAGCCCUAACUAAAUUUUUGCCCUAACCUAGAUAAUUAACAUAAUUAAACUAGCUAACCUAUGCAUGAGAGAGAGAGAGGAGGGGUGGGGGCUUACAGAGGAUGGCUCCGGUGGUGGCGAGGGAGGCAGUGGUGGCGAGGGAGGCAGGGGCGUCUCCGGUGACGGCGAGGGAGGAUCCGGUGGCGUCGACGGCGGCUCCGGUGGCGUUGGAGGUCGUGCGGCUCCGUGGCGUUGGGGGCGGCUCCGGUGGCGUCGACGGCGCACGGCUCUGGUGGCUCCAGGGGCGUCGAUGUCGGCAUGAGACGGCGGCGAAGUGGGGCGACGGCGAAUCGGGGAGACGGCGGCGGGGUGGGUCGAGAGAUUUGGGGGGCAAGUGGUGGCCGGGAGGGGAAACGGUUUUUUGGUUAAGUCAAAACUAGCGGUAGCGCGUUUCGCAAAACGCGCUAUAGCUAAGGUAGCUAUAGCGCUUUUUCCAAAACACGCUACUGCUAUACAUAUGUAAUUUUCUCUCUUUUUAUUUCCUUUUAUGUUUCUAUAGCGGGGGUCCUAGAAACGCGCUGCAGCUGCGUUAGCUAUAGCGCCUCUUACUAACACACGCUACAGCUAAGCCUUUCUCUAUUUUUUGCUUUUUCAUUUAUUUUGCUUUACAUUUUAUUUUUAUUUUCUUUCUCCUUUUUCUGUUUCUUUCAUUUUCAUUUACUUUUCUAUUUGUUUUUCAUUUUAUUUUAUUUCCAUUAGCAGUAGCGCUGUUAUAGGGAAACGCGCUGCUACUCAUGCCCUAGUGGUAGCGCGCUUCCUGCAAGGCCGCUACUGCUAUGCGUAGCCCAUCGUUCCAGCAAUGGGAAUAUUAGUAGUAGCGCUUUUACGGGCACACGCGCUACUGCUAGGAUCGUAUCUGCAGCACGGUUUAUUCUGAACCGCUACUGCUAUCUAGCACUAGCGCCCUUUUUUAACCCGCGCCGUUGCUAAAUUUCUGUGUAUAAGGUUUUCCCUAGUAGUGCUAUCAACCGGAAGAUUAACUCCCAGCUGAGUCAAGUGAUUACGGUACCCAGACAUUCUGAGUAUAUGCUCACUGACAGAACUAUUCUCCUCCAACUUGCAGCUGUAGAACUUAUUGGAGACUUCAUAUCUCUCAAUCCGGGCAUUUGCAUGAAAUAUUAACUUCAACUCCUGGAACAUCUCAUAUGCUCCAUGACGUUCAAAACGUCGUUGAAGUCCCGGUUCUAAGCCGUGAAGCAUGGCACACUGAACUAUCGAGUAGUCAUCAACACGCGACUGCCAGGCAUUCACAAUGUCUGCAGUUGCUGGCAGAGGUGGUACACCCAGCGGUGUUUCCAGGACGUAACUCUUCUGUGCAGCAAUGAGGAUAAUCCUCAAAUUACAGACCCAGUCCGUGUAAUUGCUACCAUCAUCUUUCAACUUUGCUUUCUCAAGGAACGCAUUAAAAUUCAACGGAACAACAGCACGGGCCAUCUAUCUACAAUCAAACAUAGACAAGCAAGAUACUAUCAGGUACUAAGUUCAUGAUAAAUUUAAGUUCAAUUAAUCAUAUUACUUAAGAACUCCCACUUAGAAAGACAUCCCUCUAAUCCUCUAAGUGAUCACGUGAUCCAAAUCAACUAAACCAUAACCGAUCAUCACGUGAAAUGGAGUAGCUUUCAAUGGUGAACAUCACUAUGCUGAUCAUAUCUACUAUAUGAUUCACGCUCGACUUUCGGUCUCAGUGUUCCGAGGCCAUAUCUGCAUAUGCUAGGCUCGUCAAGUUUAACCUGAGUAUUCUGCGUGUGCAAAACUGGCUUGCACCCGUUGUAGAUGGACGUAGAGCUUAUCACACCCGAUCAUCACGUGGUGUCUGGGCACGACGAACUUUGGCAAUGGUGCAUACUCAGGGAGAACACUUUUAUCUUGAAAUUUAGUGAGAGAUCAUCUUAUAAUGCUACCGUCAAUCAAAGCAAGAUAAGAUGCAUAAAAGAUAAACAUCACAUGCAAUCAAUAUAAGUGAUAUGAUAUGGCCAUCAUCAUCUUGUGCUUGUGAUCUCCAUCUUCGAAGCACCGUCAUGAUCACCAUCGUCACCGGCGCGACACCUUGAUAUCCAUCUUAGCAUCGUUGUCGUCUCGCCAAUCUUAUGCUUCUAUGACUAUCGCUAUCGCUUAGUGAUAAAGUAAAGCAUUACAGGGCGAUUGCAUUGCAUACAAUAAAGCGACAACCAUAUGGCUCCUGCCAGUUGCCGAUAACUUGGUUACAAAACAUGAUCAUCUCAUACAAUAAAAUUUAGCAUCAUGUCUUGACCAUAUCACAUCACAACAUGCCCUGCAAAAACAAGUUAUACGUCCUCUACUUUGUUGUUGCAAGUUUUACGUGGCUGCUACGGACUUAGCAAGAACCGUUCUUACCUACGCAUCAAAACCACAACGAUAGUUUGUCAAGUUGGUGUUGUUUUAACCUUCGCAAGGACCGGGCGUAGCCACACUCGGUUCAACUAAAUUUGGAGAAACUGACACCCGCCAGCCACCUAUGUGCUAAGCACGUCGGUAGAACCAGUCUCGCGAAAGCGUACGCGUAAUGUCGGUCCGGGCCGCUUCAUCCAACAAUACCGCCGAACCAAAGUAUGACAUGCUGGUAAGCAGUAUGACUUAUAUCGCCCACAACUCACUUGUGUUCUACUCAUGCAUAUAACAUCAACGCAUAAAACCUGGCGAGGAUGCCACUGUUGGGGAACGUAGUAAUUUCAAAAAAAAUCCUACGCACACGCAAGAUCAUGGUGAUGCAUAGCAACAAGAGGGGAGAGUGUUGUCCACGUACCGUCGUAGACCGAAAGAGGAAGCGUUGGCACAACGCGGUUGAUGUAGUCGUACGUCUUCACGAUCCGACCGAUCAAGUACCGAACGUACGGCACCUCCGAGUUCAGCACACCUUUAGCCUAAUGACGUCCCUCGAACUCCGAUCCAGCCGAGUGUUGAGGGAGAGUUUCGUCAGCACGACGGCGUGGUGACGAUGUUGAUGUUCUACCGACGCAGGGCUUCGCCUAAGCACCGCUACAGUAUUAUUGAGGUGGACUAUGGUGGAGAGGGACAUCGCACACGGCUAAGAGAUCAAUGAUCAAUUGUUGUGUCUAUGGGGUGCCCCCUGCCCCCGUAUAUAAAGGAGCAAGGGGGUGCGGCCGGCCAUAGGAGGAGGCACUCCGGAGGAGUCCUACUCCCACCGGGAGUAGGACUCCCCUCCUUUUUCCUAGUUGGAUUAGGACUUGGGGGGAAGGAGGAGAGAGGGGAAAGGAAAGGGGGGGCGCCCUCCCCCCCCUCCUUGUCCAAUUCGGACUUGGGGGGGAAGGGGCGCGCGGCUGCCCCUUGGCCGCCUCUCCUCUUCCUCCACUUGGGCCCAUAAGGCCCAAUAACCUCCGGGGGGUUCCGGUAACCCCUCCGGUACUUCGGUAAAAUCACUAUUUCACCCGGAACACUUCCGGAUAUCCAAACAUAGGCUUCCAAUAUAUCAAUCUUCAUGUCGCAACCAUUUCGAGACUCCUCGUCAUGUCCGUGAUCACAUCCGGGACUCCAAACAACCUUCGGUACAUCAAAACACAUAAACUCAUAAUAAAACUGUCAUCGUAACGUUAAGCGUGCGGAACCUACGGGUUCGAGAACUAUGUAGACAUGACCAAGACACGUCUUCGUUCAAUAACCAAUAGCGGAACCUGGAUGCUCAUAUUGGCUCCUACAUAUUCUACGAGGAUCUUUAUCAGUCAGACCGCAUAACAACGUACGUUGUUCUCUUUGUCAUCGGUAUGUUACUUGCCCGAGAUUCGAUCGUCGGUAUCUCAAUACCUAGUUCAAUCUCGUUACCGGCAAGUCUCUUUACUCGUUCUGUAAUACAUCAUCCCGCAACUAACUCAUUAGUUGCAAUGCUUGCAAGGCUGAAGUGAUGUGCAUUACCGGGAGGGCCCAGAGAUACCUCUCUGACAAUCGGAGUGACAAAUCCUAAUCUCGAAAUACGCCAACCCAGCAAGUACCUUCGGAAACACCUGUAGAGCACAUUUAUAAUCACCCAGUUACAUUGUGACGUUUGGUAGCACACAAAGUGUUCCUCCGGUAAACGGGAGUUGCAUAAUCUCAUAGUCAUAGGACCAUGUAUAAGUCAUGAAGAAAGCAAUAGCAACAUACUAAACGAUCGUGUGCUAAGCUAACGGAAUGGGUCGUGUCAAUCACAUCAUUUUCCUAAUGAUGUGAUCUCGUUAAUCAAAUGACAACUCAUGUCUAUGGUUAGGAAACAUAACCAUCUUCGAUUAACGAGCUAGUCAAAUAGAGGCAUACUAGUGACACUCUGUUUGUCUAUGUAUUCGCACAUGUAUUAUGUUUCCGGUUAAUACAAUUCUAGCAUGAAUAAUAAACAUUUAUCAUGAUAUAAGGAAAUAAAUAAUAACUUUAUUAUUGCCUCUAGGGCAUAUUUCCUUCACGUCCAUCACGUGUGGGCUGGCACCCCGCCGCCCCCAUUCGUGCGCGACGAGGACCAAGGGGAGCAGGCCCCCUACCAUGCGGGGCUGGCGGCUGCCAUGCAAGAAAGCAAAGAGUACGAGCGGCGCAAGGCGGCGGCGGAGGAGGAGGCGGCGUACCAGGCGCGCCUUGUCGGACGCCAUCGCACUCUCCGCUUCUGGCAACUGCGUCGUGCCGUCGUUGAUGCUGUCGUCCCCCGUCAAUCCCGAGCUGGUGCCAUCACCGGAUCUGCUGACGCCCCAACGGUACACUUGAAAGGAGAGGUGCGCGAGUGGGUCAGCGCGCCACCCAUCUGGUUUGGGGCGACGACGACGCAAGAGAAGAUCUACGUCGAGCAGUGGCGAAAGCGCUGGCUGAUGGAUGAGCAUUGCGAGGGCGAGCGCCCUGAGCAGUGGGAACGUGACACGGGGGAGAAGCAACGUGAGGCGGAGGAGGAGGAGGCGUCGGGCCCGCGCAGCCCAGCCAGCGGCGGUCACGCCUGCGCUGCAGGACGUCGCCACAGCCUGCAAGACGGCGUUCCCCUGGGCUGGCCCGGCGCCGAAGCUCGUCAACCUCACCUGCCCCAACACUGACGACGAGGACUCCUAAGGCAGUGCGCCUCUUCCUCGUUUUUAGUUUUAUUAAAUGUUUUUAAUUAAUGUAAAAUGUGGAUGCAUGGACUCUCGCCAGCAUUUAUGUUUAAUUACGUUUUUUAUUUCAAAAUAUUUGUGUUAUUGACUUUUUCAUCGGCGACCUAAAAAAUGUGUCGUGCCAGCAUUAGACACAAGCGCCGGUCCCAAAGCAAAAGCGGAUAUGAAUGUCCGCUGGGCCGACUCAAACGAACAAAAUGCGGACAAAUGGUGCCUCCGUUUCGAUCGCCCGGUUGGAGUUGCUCUUACUCUUUAUACCAGGUUCCGAACAACGCACCCACACCAAACUAAUCUUCUACUUUCUUAAGCAAGAGUUGUCCUAAUCUUAUCCGUCAAGAAGUUAAAGAUAUAAUAGAAGUUCUCAAUGAAUUUUCAAUUGAAAAGUACAUAGUCAUGCCUUCUAACAUCGAUGCUUCUAUGAACGGCCCUUCAAAUAACUGAAAGGUACCAUUGCGAAAAAGAAGAGUGUCUUCCUGAUAGAUCACUGCUGCUGCCGCAUGAGUGUCGACGCCGCCAUGGCCUCCUUUCCUCCGCCUCCAAGUGCCAAUGCGGCCCCCGCUGCUUCCAUCGCUGGCCGCCGUUGUUGUCGGGCAAGUCUAUGGCAAUCGUCGAUCAAGAUCGGCCCCCUGCCGUCUCCCGCCACAUAUCUUCGACCGCGCCGAAGAAGCCUCAUGCUCUGAGGAAGGCGAAGAGCGAUGUUGUAUCGGCCAGCUCCCCCUUCAUGUUGUCAUCGUCUUUGCCGCAAAUAUGUACGGUGACGUACACAAACAUGCCAUCGCCCUACACAAACGAGGAUGAUUACUUGGUCGAACGCCAACAAUAUCUACGAUGAUGAUUUGAUAGGUAAAUAUAUUGUGUACUUCACACAAUCAUUGUACACGUGAUUUGUUAUAGUGCUUAUUUGUUCAAAAUUACGAUAUUGUAGUCAUCAUUUAUAUAUGGAGUUGAUGAGCAAUGCGGUAGGCAUGGAUGACAUGUCUUUCUCCACUUCACUGAACUUAUUGAGUUCAGUACCAAAUAGCAGUCACUGAGGGUGACAAAGAAUUGAGUUCAGUACCAAAGAAGAGACAAAGAAUUGAGUUCAGUACCAAAGAAGAGACAAAGCAACUUCAACAACGAUGAGGACAAAGCAUUGGUCCUCGCGUGGGAGAGUGUUAGUCUUGAUCCAAUAGCAGUCACUGAUGAAAGCAUGAGAACCUACUGGAAGCACAUUUCAAAUCAUUAUGAUCAGAAUGUCACUAGCCCAAUCCCAAUAUCAUUAAAUUCAUUCCAGGGUCGAUGGGGCUUCAUUCAGGAAUAUUGCAGUCAUUGCACAGGUUGUGUUAGUAAUGUUCAUCGUGCGAAACCAAGUGGAAUGACAAAGGACAUGUUGGUGAGUAUUUUCUGUGCAUAUUAUUCUUUGAAUUGUUUAUCCAAAAUUCUAAUAUGACAUUGCUAACUUCUCAGAUGAGAUAGUUAAACGGCAUGUACAAGCAGAGGGAUCCCAAAAAUAGGUCCUUUUUGGUUUACCACUGUUGGGCGUUGCUGAAGAGCAAUGAGGAGUGAAAAAAUAGGAAGACUGUGCAGCUAAAUCCAAGAAGGAUAAAUAAAAUUCACAAGAUAGCGAUGAUGAUGAUGAUCUGGAAGAAGUGGCAGAUACUCCUACUACUCCCGUCAUCCAAGCAAAAAGGCCACCUGGAAGGAGAGAAGAGAAAAAUAAACGAAAGAAUGAAGACGAUGCAGGUGUGUUCAAGUGUAUUGUGGAAGAUAUAUGGAUAGACGGGUAGAGGAGGAAGUGGUGGCGUACUUUUACAUGCUAAAGGCUGGACUAUAGUAUACAUUAUUUUUUAUCGCCAUAUCGCAUGCUAGUUCAUCGGGCUGCCAUGUUUCACACUCCUCCGUCGUACUAGUAUUCAAGUGGAAAACUAGAGUAUGCUGCACGGUUCUUUGCUCCUACUUAGGUCAUCGACAACAAUUAUAUUUCCUUUCGCCCACAUGUGAGACAGUCAGCAUCCUUUCGCCGAAAUUGGAGAAGGCAUGAGGUGGGACAGAGCUGAAGGUAAUGGAGGAGCACAAAGUGACAAUCGAAGAAGAGAAACUGAGAGCCUUUCAAGAGGAAGUGCAGACAAAAAAGAUGGAGCAAGAGUACAAGAUCAUGUUGCGGGCUUGACCCAGAAGCGAUGCAAUAUCUACAGAUCAUGAACUCACAAAUUUUAGCAUCAAAGCUGGAUGUGGACAGGGUUUUGGGACUAGCAACGGUGGUGGAAGUCAAUCGUGAUGAUCUACAAGUGAUCUUCAUAUUUAUCAUUUUCUUUUGUUUAUGUCCUUUUCAUGAACCAUAUAUCGUAUGUUUCAUCUUCAUGUUUGAACCAUUUGAUUAAGCCUACUUCGGAUUUAUUAUGUUUGAAUUAUUAUCAACUCUACGCGAGUUUGAUCUUUUUUCGCACAUACGCAGAGGAUGCGUAUCUUUGCAUUGAUAGGAGAAGAGUUUUACAACAUGGGGUUACAAGAGCUCACUAAGUCAUGUACGCAAGAAGGCACGGAAGUGAACUAGGAGCAGAACAUACAUGGGGUGCUCAGCCCCACGAGCCUACAAAGCUAUCCCUCGGGAUUGAUGUUGUGCAGUCCGGUCUACCAUUGUUUUAGUUACUACAAUGAUAUUUAGGCAUAUGCGUGUGUAAUUUGCAUUUUUGUUUAAUAAAAAAUAGAAGAAUGAAAUAAGUUUACAGAAUCUGACAAAAGUAGCUCUCAGAAAACUUGCACUGAUAUUUAUUUACAAACAUCUCGUAAAACCAGUUUUAUACUCUCUUUGUUUCUAAAUAUAACAAUUUUUAGAGAUUUCAAUACGGACUACAUACAAAUGUAUAUAUAUAUUUUUUAGAGUGUAGAUUCACUUAUUUUGCUUCGUAUAUAGUUCAUAUUGAAAUCUUUGAAAGGACUUAUAGUUAGGAACGGAGGGAGUAGAAGGUUUUUUAAGAGAGGCGUUGGAGUUGCUCUAACUUACGUGCACAUGAAAUCAAUUUAUAUAUCUAUACCCCUAAUAAUAAAGGGGCUAUUGCUUCUGGCGGUACGUCACCAAAAUCGCACUCAAAUUUGCAAAAUAUUAUCCCCCAGUGUCACCUAUAAGUGAAAAUAAAACAUUUCACACAGCGGAAUCCCUGCCCGGCCCAUGUAAUAGGAACAGUCUAUACUGCACUCUGUGCGCUAGGAGAAGACACAACACGCUGUUUGGGCCGGCCCAUGUCUCGGCAGCCUACUUUUUAAAUUUCGUUUUGCUUUUCCAUCUUCGCUUUUAUUACAUUAAAUAAUUUGGGAAUUCAAAAAAAGUUUCAAAAAUUAAGAAAAUGAGAAUUUUGAGAUAAAAUUUUAGCAAUUCGUAAAUUUUUGUGGAUUCAAAAAAUGUUCGCAUAAUCAAAAAAUGUUCGCCAUUUUGCAAACAAAUGUUCGGAAAUCAAAAAAUGUUCAUGAUUUUUUUAAAUGUAUUAAAAAUGUUAAUGAAAUCAAAUAAACUUUGGUCAAGUCAAAAAAUAUUCAUGACUUGAAAAUGUCCUAAAAAUUCGAAAAACUAUUCGUAACUUGCAAAAUAGUUUGUUGAUUCAUAAAAUGUUUGCUGAUUCAAAAUAUGAUCAUGCAUUUAAAAAAACAUCAAAUCAAAAAAUUUGUGAAUUUCAAAAUUAUUUCCACCAAUUUCUAAAAAAAAUGUCCAUUAAUUCUUGUCGGGACCCCGAUUUCAAAUCACAUCGAUCUAGCCGGUAACACCUCAUAUCACUUUGCGGCCUCAUACACGGUAUCCCCGCCAUGGGUGUCGCCUUACCCUGGCCCGGGACCGUUUGCGCCUUUUGGCUCGCGUAUAUGAUUGUGUCGCUAGCAUCCAUAUGACAGAGAAACCCGGGCCGACAUGGCUAGUCGUGAACCCAAAGCGGCACUAAUCUAUGGGAAUAGGCAUACAUGAUUCACAUCGAGCGUAUCGGUCAGCAGCGUAUGAAUCCGGGCUGUAGCAUUGGGCUAACAGGACUCCGGGGAACCCGGGCUGUAGCAGGCUAGGCAAGACUCCGGUUGUCACCGCGUGACAUUUCCCCGAAGGGACAGACACUGGAGCGAAGUGAAACACAUGCCGGCCAGUCAAGUGUCCUGAGCAGUAGUGCUGGGCUAGCAGGACUCCGGUGAACCGGGCUGUAGCGGACUACUAUGGCUCGAGGAAGCACUAGACUACAUUUCCCCAUAAGAGAGACUGCCAAGGAUAAACAACUAGAUUGUCAGAUCCCACACAUAGCAAUACACGUCACACGUACGCAUAACAUGCAAGUAUGUGUUGUACAACAUGGCAUCACAACAUAACGCAAACUCAUAUAGAUAAAGGCUUAGAAGAGCCACAUAGCAUAAAUACAAACAGGGGUCACAUGACCCAUCAUUCAGAGCAUACAAGCAACGGAAGCAUUACAUGUCUGAGUACAGACAACUACAAAAGAAAAGGGCUGAGAAGCCUGACUAUCUACAAGACCCUCCCAAGGGUACAAGAUCGUAGCUGAGGUAACAAGCUACUCGUCGAAGUCCAAGUGGAACUACUAGUAGGACAGAUGUCUCAUCUACAAAACAUAAACAAAGCAAACGUGAGUACAAAGGUACUCAGCAAGAUUUACAUCAGAUUCUAUCAUAUAUGCAUUUGUAUCCAGAAGGUAAUGUGGGGUUUAGUUGCAGCAAGCCAGCUUUGACUCAGUGGCUAUUCUGUUCUACGACAAUGAGAAACUUCUUUGAGAUGAGGCAGCGCACACGAGUCCACUAAUCACCACAUCAAUACACUACUAUGGAUUCAUCCUCGUCUUUCUACGAGAAGGCCAUCCAUAGCACUCACACCUGUCUUGAGCAUUUUAGAGUAUCCACUUUAAGUUGUCUAUGUACCACGUAAGCAUCCAAGAAGUCCAUAACCGAGGACACGGCUAUUCGAAUAGAUCAUGAUAACCCUGCAGGGGUGUACUUCUUCACACACGCUCUCACCACUUAUCACCAUGUACACGUCAUGUAUCUCGGCAACCUUCAAGCGGAAGCCUGGCGAGGGUGUCGGCCACGACCUAACUAACCACGCAAGACUCUAGUCCAGGUUUAUCGCCUAUUCGGGUUCCAUCCGCAAGGAGAUCCGGCCGAGGUUUCACUCACGGCCCCAAACGAUGUGUACAGGGUUCCCGAGCCCACCAUCCGGGUGCCACUCGGUACACCGGGCCACGUGUGCCUAGUCUGUCCCAAGUCCACCCUGCCGGGUGCCACUCGGUAGAAAAAUAGCACUACCUACAAACACCAGAAACUAUUUGCAACUCCUAGACAGAGAUCAAGGCGGUUAAUAAGUCGAGAGAGCUUGGAGCACCCGGAGCCCAAUGUGUGGUAGUAGCUAGUCAUUGGACAACUUACACAGAACUCAGUUCUUAAGGACGGUCCCAAUGAGACAGCCCACCAUGUACUCCUACAUGGCCUCUCACCGCUACCUUUACCAAAUCGUGUUCACACGCUUAACUCUCAGCACCAGAACAUAUCAUAACACUCCAAGUCAUUCCCGAUGAAUCAGACCUGACACAACUCUAAGCAAUAGCAGGCAUGGCAUGGUAGGAACAAAACAUGGCUCAAUCAACUCCUACACAUGCUAGUGGGUUUUAACUAUUUACUGUGGCAUUGACAGGUCAUGCAGAGGAAUGGGUUCAACUACCGCAGCAUAAAAUAGCAGUUGAAUCGUUGUUGUCCUAAUGCAAUAAAAGAGAGCAGGAGCGAGAGAGUGGGAUUGUAUCGGAAUGAACAAGGGGGGUUGCUUGCCUGGUAGAUCAACAGGGGGCACUGCUUCACUGAUAGGUACUCUCAAACACUUCCGGAGCAGGACCUAUCGAGAAGGAACAGUGCCAACAAUCAAUACACAAGCAUAUGCAACAAUCUGAUGCAUGAACAUGGCAUGAAGAUGUGAUGCUGUUUGAGCUAAUGCAACUAGUAUUCAAAUUGAAUGAAGUCCAUUUGAACCAAGGGUUCAAGUGCAACUCCAAAUUAAGCUCUUAUAUAUGCCAUUUAUAUGUUUUCACCUAUACAGCAGGUAUAAGUUGUUUUGUCAUGCAUGAAACUGGUACAGAUGGAAAGAUUGAUUUUUUCUGAUAAUUUUUCAUAUAUAAAUUAUUUCAAUCUGAGCUACGGUUGAAUUUCUAUGAAUUUUUCAAGUUUAUACCAUUUUCUGGAAUUUCCUGAUUUAUUUUAAAACUAGAAAAAGAUAUAUUGCGUCAGCACUAAGUCAUGGUGAUGUCAGCAUUGACCAAAGUCAAAUCUGACUGGUGGGAUCCACCUGUCAGUGUUAUAGUUAAUUAACAGAGGUUAAUUAAUUGUUAAACUAAUCCUAAACUAGAAUUAGCAGGGCCGGGCCCCACCUGUCAUUGAGCCAGGGGAGGUCAAACCCCCUGGUCAACUGGGGCUAACGCGCCGGCGUUUAGCCGCCAGCGGCAGCAGAUGCGGCGGAGGGCACGGGAUCACCCUUCCGGCGACCAAAAGGACGGCGGAGAGCACCGAGGCAUAGCCCGCGCUCGUCCGCACCGAAUGGAGCAAGUGGGGGAGGCGGGGGCGGGCGGAGCUCGCCGGAGCGAAGCUCGGGGCGGCGGCCGGAGCACGGCCAAGUGUGGGCGAGGGCUGUGGUGCAUGGGAAAGCGAGCGGAGAGGCUCUACGGCCUCCUGGCGUCACCAGGAGCACGAUGACGCGCGCGGGAGCGGCUGGCUCGGCCUCUGGACACGGCGGCGCCAUGGCCGGCGGCACGGAGCUCUCGGCUCUGGUGGCUAGGUGGCUAGAGGAGGGGAUCGAGCACGGUUUAGGGGGGAAAAAGAUCGUGGCCUCACAGCGGUUGCAGGGGCCGUAGAAGCGGGCUCGGGGAAGCUCGGAUGGCGGCAAAUCGACGGUGGAAAUCCACGAUGGCCGACGAGGAAGACGAAGACGAUGGCGUCGUUUCAGGCGUCCCGUGGGCGCGUGCUUCGUCUUGGUGCUUCACGGCGCCGAGGAGGACCCGUUGGACAGGGCAGAGGGGCAAGGGAAGCACGGUGGCUGCGGCUACGGCGUGCGGCGGCGACGGCAGCGCUCGGGUGCGGGCGAGAGAGGGUGACAGAGGAGAGGAGGAGCACGGGGGAAAGUGAGAGGGGGUCGGGGAGGCUGCGUGGCGACGUCGAAGGCCUCCAGCAGCGAGCGGGAAGCAGGAGGUGGCCGGCGCGUGCUCACGCACGCCGGGAACACGCGCACCGUCCUCCUGGCAGGAGGUAGGCGACGACUGGCGUCGGCCAGUAGUGUUGGGCAGGCACAGGAGCUGGGCCGCCAGCUGGGCUGCCAGGUAGGUAAGGCCAGGUGAGCUUUUUCCUUUAUUUGUUUUCUUUUCUAUUUUCUGACCUUUCUUUUGAUUUAAUAAAAAUACUAAAUCAAUUAAUUUUCUUCUGACAAGUUUUGCAGGGGCCUAAGGGAUUAUUCCAAAGCCCCUCACCAAAAUUCAGAAUUAUUGGACAAUAUUUUAUAUAUAUAUAUAUUUAUCCAACGCAAAUAAUUUCUGGAUUAAUUCCAAAUGUCCAAAAUAAAUAUUUAUGAGAUCUUGAUAAUAUUUAUUAGAAUUUUAACUCUAACCAAUAUUUUCAGAGAGCAACAUGAACAUUUUCUUGGACCCUUUUGGAGCAAUUUUUAUCUGGGUUAUUUCCAGAAAUAAUUUCUGAGGGUUUCACAAAUCCCCAUUUCAAAUUUAAAUGGAAUUUAAACAUGAUGCCCACAUGACAUAGCUAGCCUAGGUCAUACCAGAACUAGGGAUGGGACAACUCGCCCCCACUCGAAGAAAUCUCGUCCCGAGACUCAGGAGUCGGCGGGAAGAAAGCGGGGUACUCAAGUCGAAGACGAUCUUCACGCUCCCAAGUAGCUUCUCUCUUGGAAUGAUGAGACCACUGAACCUUGAGAAACUUGAUGUUAUGACGUCGGGUGACACGCUUUGCUUGAUCAAGGAUGCGAACAGGUACUCUCGAUAUGUGAGGUUAUCUUGGAGAUCAAGCGUUUCAUGGUCCACUCCGCGGAUGGGAUCCGAGAAACAAUGCCUGAGUUGAGAGACGUGGAAGACAUCAUGCACUCUGGAAAGAUGUGGGGGUAGUUCCAACUGGUAGGCAACCUCUCCUCGUUUAGCGAGAAUGAGAAAGGGACCAAUGUAAUGAGGAGCCAACUUGCCCUUGAUACCGAAUCGAUGGGUACCCUUCAAAGGGGUAACCCAAAGGUAAGCUUUGUCGCCAAUUUCAUAAGCCACUUCCUUAUGACGACAGUCAUACUGGCUCUUUUGACGAGAUUGGGCUGUUUUCAAAUUCUCACGAAUGAUGCGAACUUGCUCUUGUGCCUCCUGGAUCAUAUCCGGUCCAAAGAAUUGUCUUUCAUCGGUUUCUGACCAGUUCAAAGGUGUUCGACAUCUUCGUCCAUACAGAACCUCAAAAGGAGCUUUCUUGAGGCUGGAUUGGUAGCUGUUGUUAUAAGCAAACUCGGCGAAGGGAAGACACUUCUCCCAAUCCAUACCGAAUGAGAUAACACAAGCUCUAAGCAUGUCUUCAAGAAUUUGGCUGACCCUUUCCACCUGACCACUUGAUUGAGGGUGGAAAGCGGUACUGAAGGAAAGAUGGGUGCCCAUGGCAGUUUGGAAACUCUCCCAGAAAUGAGAAGUGAAAAGACUACCACGGUCUGAAUUGAUCUCUAGUGGAACACCAUGAAGUGACACUAUUCGAGAAGUAUAUAAGUCAGCGAGCUGACUAGCAGUGAUAUUCUCUCGAACAGGUAGGAAGUGAGCCACUUUGGAAAGACGAUCAAUGACUACAAAGAUAGCAUUAUUCCCUUUCUUGGUCCUGGGAAAGCCGGUGAUGAAGUCCAUACCAACUUUAUCCCAUUUCCACUCAGGAAUAGCUAAAGGUUGAAGGGUGCCAGCAGGCCUUUCAUGCUCUGCCUUAACGCGACGACAAACGUCAUAGUUAGCAAUAAACUGAGCAAUUUCUCUCUUCAUCCUAGUCCACCAGAACCUCUGGCGUAGGUCUUGAUACAUCUUAGUACUACCGGGAUGAAUCGUGAGAGGAGAUUCAUGCGCCUCCUUAAGGAUUAAUUGUCGAAGAUGUUGAUUCUUGGGAACCACCAAGCGACUCUCAAAGAAAACAACACCACGAUCAUCUAUAGAGAAACUACCACCAACUCCCUUGUUAAUGUUUCUCUUGAUCCGAGAAAUUCCCGUAUCCUGCUUCUGGGCUUCUAUGAUAUGAUCCACAAGAGUAGAUUUCGCCACCAAGGUAGAAAGGAAUCCAUGAGGAGCAAUGUGAAGGUUAAGCUUACAGAAUUCCUCAUGAAGAAGUGGUUGGCCCUGCUGCAACAUGAGAUUGUUGCAAUAGGACUUACGACUUAGCGCAUCAGCCAUGACAUUCCCCUUGCCUGGGGUGUAGGUAAUCCCUAAGUCAUAAUCUGAGAUCAAGUCCAACCAACGUCUUUGCCUAAGGUUCAAAUCUUGUUGGGUGAAGAUAUACUUGAGACUCUGGUGAUCAGUGUAAAUCUCGCAACGUUUACCAAGAAGGUAAUGUCGCCAGGUCUUAAGUGCAUAGACUACGGCUGCAAGCUCUAGAUCAUGUGUAGGAUAAUUCUCCUCAUGUGGAUGCAACUGUCGAGAUGCAUAGGCAAUCACAUGGCGAUCUUGCAUAAGAAUGCAACCUAGUCCCUGUCGUGAGGCAUCACAAUAGAUAAUAAAGUCCUUAGUGAAGUCCGGUGGCACAAGUAUGGGAGCAGAAGUCAGACGUCUUUUCAGCUCCUGAAAACUGUGCUCACACUGUGGGGACCACUCAAACUUUUUAUCUUUCUUGAGAAGUUCCGUGAGAGGUUUGGCCACUUUGGAGAAGUUCUCAACGAAGCGGCGACAAUAACUGGCUAGACCAAGGAAACUCCUUACUUGCUUAACUGUUUCAGGCGGAGUCCAAUCAAGAACGACCUGAACUCUUUCGGGAUUGAUAGCAAUGCCCUUACCAGAGAUUACGUGGCCGAGAUAGGUCACUUCUGGCAACCAAAAUUCGCACUUGGAGAACUUGGCAUAAAGGCGGUGCUCUCUGAGUUUUUCUAGCACAAGUCUAAGAUGUUCGGCAUGAUCUUCCUGUUGGGGAACGUAGUAAUUUCAAAAAAAUUCCUACGCACACGCAAGAUCAUGGUGAUGCAUAGCAACGAGAGGGGAGAGUGUUGUCUACGUACCAACGCAGACCGACUGCGGAAGCGAUCACACAACGUAGAGGAAGUAGUCGUACAUCUUCUUCCCGAUCCGACCGAUCCAAGCACCGUUACUCCGGCACCUCCGAGUUCUUAGCACACGUUCAGCUCGAUGACGAUCCUCGGGCUCCGAUCCAGCAAAGCGUCGAGGAAGAGUUCCGUCAGCACGACGGUGUGGUGACGAUCUUGAUGUACUACCGACGUAGGGCUUCGCCUAAGCACUACAACGAUAUGAUCGAGAUGGAAUUUGGUGGCAGGGGGCACCGCACACGGCUAAGGAACGAUCUCAAGGAUCAACUUGUGUCUCUUGGGGUGUCCCCUGCCCCCGUAUAUAAAGGAUGGAGGGGGGAGGCUGGCCGGCCAAAGGAGGGAGGCGCAGGAGGAGUCCUACUCCUACCGGGAGUAGGACUCCCCCCUCCAAUCCUAGUCCAACUAGGAUUCCCAAGUGGGAAAGGGAGAGAGGGGGGCCGGCCACCUUCUCCUAGUCCUAAUAGGACUAGGCGCGCAGCCCUAUGUGGGCAGCCCUUUCACCUUUCCACUAAGGCCCAUGUUGGCCCAUUUGGCUUUCGGGGGGUUCCGGUAACCCUCCCGGUAAUCCGGUAAAAUCCCGAUUUCACCCGGAACACUUCCGAUGUCCAAACAUAGGCUUCCAAUAUAUCAAUCUUUAUGUAUCGACCAUUUCGAGACUCCUCGUCAUGUCCGUGAUCACAUCCGGGACUCCGAACUACCUUCGGUACAUCAAAAUGCAUAAACUCAUAAUAACUGCCAUCGUAACGUUAAGCGUGCGGACCCUACGGUUCGAGAACAAUGUAGACAUGACCGAGACACAUCUUCGGUCAAUAACCAAUAGCGGGACCUGGAUGCCCAUAUUGGCUCCUACAUAUUCUACGAAGAUCUUUAUCGGCCAGACCGCAUAACAACAUACGUUGUUCCCUUUGUCAUCGGUAUGUUACUUGCCCGAGAUUCGAUCGUCGGUAUCCAAUACCUAGUUCAAUCUCGUUACUGGCAAGUCUCUUUACUCAUUCCGUAAUACAUCAUCUCAUAACUAACAUCUUAGUUAUUAUGCUUGCAAGGCUUAUGUGAUGUGUAUUACCGAGAGGGCCCAGAGAUACCUCUCCGACAAUCGGAGUGACAAACCCUAAUCUCGAAAUACGCCAACCCAACAUCCACCAUUGGAGACACCUGUAGUACUCCUUUAUAAUCACCCAGUUACGUUGUGACAUUUGGUAGUACCCAAAGUGUUCCUCCGGUAAACGGGAGUUGUAUAAUCUCAUAGUUAUAGGAACAUUAUAAGUCAUGAAGAAAGCAAUAGCAACAUACUAAACGAUCGGGUGCUAAGCUAAUGGAAUGGGUCAUGUCAAUCAGAUCAUUCAACUAAUGAUGUGACCUCGUUAAUCAAAUAACAACUCUUUGUUCAUGGUUAGGAAACAUAACCAUCUUUGAUUAACGAGCUAGUCAAGUAGAGGCAUACUAGUGACACUCUGUUUGUCUAUGUAUUCACACAUGUAUUAUGUUUCCAGUUAAUACAAUUCUAGCAUGAAUAAUAAACAUUUAUCAUGAUAUAAGGAAAUAAAUAAUAACUUUUUAUUGCCUCUAGGGCAUAUUUCCUUCAGUCUCCCACUUGCACUAGAGUCAAUAAUCUAGAUUGCACAGUAAUGAUUCUAACACCCAUGGAGCCUUGGUGCUGAUCAUGUUUUGCUCGUGGAAGAGGCUUAGUCAACGGGUCUGCAACAUUCAGAUCCGUAUGUAUCUUGCAAAUCUCUAUGUCUCCCACCUGGACUAGAUCCCGGAUGGAGUUGAAGCGUCUUUUGAUGUGUUUGGUCCUUUUGUGAAAUCUGGAUUCCUUUGCCAAAGCAAUUGCACCAGUAUUGUCACAAAAGAUUUUCAUUGGACCCGAUGCACUAGGUAUGACACCUAGAUCGGAUAUGAACUCCUUCAUCCAGACUCCUUCGUUCGCUGCUUCCGAAGCAGCUAUGUACUCCGCUUCACAUGUAGAUCCCGCUACGACGCUUUGUUUAGAACUGCACCAAUUGACAGCUCCACCGUUUAAAGUAAACAUGUAUCCGGUUUGCGAUUUAGAAUCGUCCGGUUCAGUGUCAAAGCUUGCAUCAACGUAACCUCUUACGAUGAGCUCUUUGUCACCUCCAUAUACGAGAAACAUAUCCCUAGUCCUUUUCAGGUAUUUCAGGAUGUUCUUGACCGCUGUCCAGUGAUCCACUCCUGGAUUACUUUGGUACCUCCCUGCUAAACUUAUAGCAAGGCACACAUCAGGUCUGGUACACAGCAUUGCAUACAUGAUAGAGCCUAUGGCUGAAGCAUAGGGAACAUCUUUCAUUUUCUCUCUAUCUUCUGCAGUGGUCGGGCAUUGAGUUUGACUCAACUUCACACCUUGUAAUACAGGCAAGAACCCUUUCUUUGCUUGAUCCAUUUUGAACUUCUUCAAAAUCUUGUCAAGGUAUGUGCUUUGUGAAAGUCCAAUUAAGCGUUUUGAUCUAUCUCUAUAGAUCUUUAUGCCUAAUAUGUAAGCAGCUUCCCCGAGGUCUUUCAUCGAAAAACUUUUAUUCAAGUAUCCCUUUAUGCUAUCCAGAAAUUCUAUAUCAUUUCCAAUCAGCAAUAUGUCAUCCACAUAUAAUAUCAGAAAUGCUACAGAGCUCCCACUCACUUUCUUGUAAAUACAGGCUUCUCCAAAAGUCUGUACAAAGCCAAAUGCUUUGAUCACACUAUCAAAGCGUUUAUUCCAACUCUGAGAUGCUUGCACCAGUCCAUAAAUGGAUCGCUGGAGUUUGCAUACUUUGUUAGCUCCCUUUGGAUCGACAAAACCUUCUGGUUGCAUCAUAUACAACUCUUCUUCCAGAAAUCCAUUCAGGAAUGCAGUUUUGACAUCCAUCUGCCAUAUUUCAUAAUCAUAAAAUGCGGCAAUUGCUAACAUGAUUCUAACGGAUUUAAGCAUCGCUACGGGUGAGAAGGUCUCAUCGUAGUCAACCCCUUGAACUUGUCGAAAACCUUUUGCGACAAGUCGAGCUUUAUAGACAGUAACAUUACCGUCAGCAUCAGUCUUUUUCUUGAAGAUCCAUUUAUUCUCAAUUGCUUGCCGAUCAUCGGGCAAGUCAACCAAAGUCCAUACUUUGUUCUCAUACAUGGAUCCCAUCUCAGAUUUCAUGGCCUCAAGCCACUUUGCGGAAUCUGGGCUCACCAUCGCUUCUUCAUAGUUCGUAGGUUCAUCAUGAUCUAGUAGCAUGACUUCCAGAAUUGGAUUACCGUACCACUCUGGUGCGGAUCUCACUCUGGUUGAUCUACGUGGUUCAGUAGUAUCUUGUCCUGAAGUUUCAUGAUCAUCAUCAUUAGCUUCCUCACUAAUUGGUAUAGGUGUCGCAGAAACAGUUUUCUGUGAUGUACUAUUUUCCAAUAAGGGUGCAGGUACAGUUACCUCGUCAAGUUCUACUUUCCUCCCACUCACUUCUUUCGAGAGAAACUCCUUCUCUAGAAAGUUUCCGAACUUAGCAACAAAAGUCUUGCCUUCGGAUCUGUGAUAGAAGGUGUAUCCAAUAGUUUCCUUUGGAUAUCCUAUGAAGACACAUUUCUCCGAUUUGGGUUCGAGCUUAUCAGGUUGAAGCUUUUUCACAUAAGCAUCGCAGCCCCAAACUUUAAGAAACGACAACUUUGGUUUCUUGCCAAACCAUAGUUCAUAAGGCGUCGUCUCAACGGAUUUUGAUGGUGCCCUAUUUAACGUGAAUGCGGUUGUCUCUAAAGCAUAACCCCAAAAUGAUAGCGGUAAAUCAGUAAGAGACAUCAUAGAUCGCACCAUAUCUAGUAAGGUACGAUUACGACGUUCGGACACACCAUUACGCUGUGGUGUUCCGGGUGGCGUGAGUUGCGAAACUAUUCCACAAUUUUUCAAAUGUACACCAAACUUGUAACUCAAAUAUUCUCCUCCACGAUCAUAUCGUAGAAAUUUUAUUUUCUUGUUACGAUGAUUUUCAACUUCACUCUGAAAUUCCUUGAACUUUUCAAAUGUUUCAGACUUAUGUUUCAUUAAGUAGAUAUACCCAUAUCUGCUCAAAUCAUCUGUGAAGGUGAGAAAAUAACGAUAUCCGCCACGAGCCUCAAUAUUCAUCGGACCACAUACUUCGGUAUGUAUGAUUUCCAAUAAAUCUGUUGCUCUCUCCAUAGUACCGGAGAACGGUGUUUUAGUUAUCUUGCCUAUGAGGCACGGUUCGCAAGUACCAAGUGAUUCAUAAUCAAGUGGUUCCAAAAGCCCAUCAGUAUGGAGUUUCUUCAUGCGUUUUACACCGAUAUGACCUAAACGGCAGUGCCACAAAUAAGUUGCACUAUCAUUAUUAACUCUGCAUCUUUUGGCUUCUACAUUAUGAAUAUGUGUAUUACUACUAUCGAGAUUCAACAAGAAUAGACCACUCUUCAAAGGUGCAUGACCAUAAAAGAUAUUAUUCAUAUAAAUAGAACAACCAUUAUUCUCUGAUUUAAAUGAAUAACCGUCUCGCAUUAAACAAGAUCCAGAUAUAAUGUUCAUGCUCAACGCUGGCACCAAAUAACAAUUAUUUAGGUCUAAUAUUAAUCCCGAAGGUAGAUGUAGAGGUAGCGUGCCGACCGCGAUCACAUCGACUUUGGAACCGUUUCCCACGCGCAUCGUCACCUCGUCCUUUGCUAGCAUCCGCUUAUUCUGUAGUCCCUGUUUCGAGUUGCAAAUAUUAGGAACAGAACCAGUAUAAAAUACCCAGGUGCUACUGCGAGCUCUAGUAAGGUACACAUCAAUAACAUGUAUAUCACAUAUACCUUUGUUCACCUUGCCAUCCUUCUUAUCCGCCAAAUACUUGGGGCAGUUCCGCUUCCAGUGACCAGUCUGCUUGCAGUAGAAGCACUCAGUUUCAGGCUUAGGUCCAGACUUGGGUUUCUUCUCCUGAGCAGCAACUUUCUUGCUGUUCUUCUUGAAGUUCCCCUUCUUCUUCCCUUUGCCCUUUUUCUUGAAACUAGUGGUUUUGUUAACCAUCAACACUUGAUGCUCCUUUCUUGAUUUCUACCUCCGCAGCUUUCAGCAUUGCGAAGAGCUCGGGAAUAGUCUUGUUCAUCCCUUGCAUAUUAUAGUUCAUCAUGAAGCUCUUGUAGCUUGGUGGCAGUGAUUGGAGAAUUCUGUCAAUGACGCAAUCAUCUGGAAGAUUAACUCCCAUCUGAAUCAAGUGAUUAUUAUACCCAGACAUUUUGAGUAUAUGCUCACUGACAGAACUAUUCUCCUCCAUCUUGCAGCUAUAGAACUUAUUGGAGACUUCAUAUCUCUCAAUUCGGGCAUUUGCUUGAAAUAUCAACUUCAACUCCUGGAACAUCUCAUAUGCUCCAUGACGUUCAAAACGUCGUUGAAGUCCCAAUUCUAAGCCGUAAAGCAUGGCACACUGAACUAUUGAGUAGUCAUCAGCUUUGCUCUGCCAGACGUUCAUAACAUCUGGCGUUGCUCCAGCAGCAGGCCUGGCACCCAGCGGUGCUUCCAGGACGUAAUUCUUCUGUGCAGCAAUGAGGAUAAUCCUCAAGUUAUGAACCCAGUCCGUGUAAUUGCUACCAUCAUCUUUCAACUUUGCUUUCUCAAGGAACGCAUUAAAAUUCAACGGAACAACAACACGAGCCAUCUAUCUACAAUCAACAUAAACAAGCAAGAUACUAUCAGGUACUAAGUUCAUGAUAAGUUUAAGUUCAGUUAAUCAAAUUACUUAAGAACUCCCACUUAGAUGGACAUCCCUCUAAUCCUCUAAGUGAUCACGUGAUCCAAAUCAACUAAACCAUAACCGAUCAUCACGUGAGAUGGAGUAGUUUUCAAUGGUGAACAUCGUUAUGUUGAUCAUAUCUACUAUAUGAUUCACGCUCGACCUUUCGGUCUCCGUGUUCCGAGGCCAUAUCUGUAUAUGCUUGGCUCGUCAAGUAUAACCUGAGUAUUCUGCGUGUGCAACUGUUUUGCACCCGUUGUAUUUGGACGUAGAGCUUAUCACACACGAUCAUCACGUGGUGUCUGGGCACGACGAACUUUGGCAACGGUGCAUACUCAAGGAGAACACUUCUUGAUAAUUUAGUGAGAGAUCAUCUUAUAAUGCUACCGUCAAUCAAAGCAAGAUAAGAUGCAUAAAAGAUAAACAUCACAUGCAAUCAAUAUAAGUGAUAUGAUAUGGCUAUCAUCAUCUUGUGCUUGUGAUCUCCAUCUCCGAAGCACCGUCAUGAUCACUAUCGUCACCGGCGCGACACCUUGAUCUCCAUCGUAGCAUCGUUGUCGUCUCGCCAAUCUUAUGCUUCCACGACUAUCACUACCGCUUAGUAAUAAAGUAAAGCAUUACAUCGCGAUUGCAUUGCAUACAAUAAAGCGAAAACCAUAUGGCUCCUGCCAGUUGUCGAUAACUUGGUUACAAAACAUGAUCAUCUCAUACAAUAAAAUUAGCAUCAUGCCUUAACCAUAUCACAUCACAACAUGCCCUGCAAAAACAAGUUAGACGUCCUCUACUUUGUUGUUGCAAGUUUUACGUGGCUGCUACGGGCUUAAGUAAGAACUCAUCUCACCUACGCAUCAAAACCACAACGAUAGUUUGUCAAAUAGACUCCGUUUUAACCUUCUCAAGGACCGGGCGUAGCCACACUUGGUUCAACUAAAGUUGGAGAGACAGUCUUCCGCAAGCCAUCUAUGUGCAAAGCACGUCGAGGGAACCGGUCUCGCGUAAGAGUACGCGUAAGGUUGGUCCGGAUCGUCUCGUCCAACAAUACCGCCGAACCAAAGUAUGACAUGCUGGUAGGCAGUAUGACUUGUAUCGCCCACAACUCACUUGUGUUCUACUCGUGCAAAUAACAUCAAACCAUAAAAACCUAGGCUCGGAUGCCACUGUUGGGGAACGUAGUAAUUUCAAAAAAUUUCCUACGCACACGCAAGAUCAUGGUGAUGCAUAGCAACGAGAGGGGACAGUGUUGUCUACGUACCAACGCAGACCGACUGCGGAAGCGAUCACACAACGUAGAGGAAGUAGUCGUACGUCUUCUGCCCGAUCCGACCGAUCCAAGCACCGUUACUCCGGCACCUCCGAGUUCUUAGCACACGUUCAGCUCGAUGACGAUCCUCGGGCUCCGAUCCAGCAAAGCGUUGAGGAAGAGUUCCGUCAGCACGACGGCGUGGUGACGAUCUUGAUGUACUACCGACGUAGGGCUUCGCCUAAGCACUACAACGAUAUGAUCGAGAUGGAAUUUGGUGGCAGGGGGCACCGCACACGGCUAAGGAACGAUCUCAAGGAUCAACUUGUGUCUCUUGGGGUGUCCCCUGCCCCCGUAUAUAAAGGAUGGAGGGGGGAGGCUGGCCGGCCAAAGGAGGGAGGCGCGGGAGGAGUCCUACUCCUACCGGGAGUAGGACUCCCCCCUCCAAUCCUAGUCCAACUAGGAUUCCCAAGUGGGAAAGGGAGAGAGGGGGGCCGGCCACCUUCUCCUAGUCCUAAUAGGACUAGGCGCGCAGCCCUAUGUGGGCAGCCCUUUCACCUUUCCACUAAGGCCCAUGUUGGCCCAUUUGGCUUCCGGGGGGUUCCGGUAACCCUCCCGGUAAUCCGGUAAAAUCCCGAUUUCACCCGGAACACUUCCGAUGUCCAAACAUAGGCUUCCAAUAUAUCAAUCUUUUUGUCUCGACCAUUUCGAGACUCCUCGUCAUGUCCGUGAUCACAUCCGGGACUCCAAACUACCUUCGGUACAUCAAAAUGCAUAAACUCAUAAUAACUGUCAUCGUAACGUUAAGUGUGCGGACCCUACGGUUCGAGAACAAUGUAGACAUGACCGAGACACGUCUCCGGUCAAUAACCAAUAGCGGGACCUGGAUGCCCAUAUUGGCUCCUACAUAUUCUACGAAGAUCUUUAUCGGUCAGACCGCAUAACAACAUACGUUGUUCCCUUUGUCAUCGGUAUGUUACUUGCCCGAGAUUCGAUCGUCGGUAUCCAAUACCUAGUUCAAUCUCGUUACUGGCAAGUCUCUUUACUCGUUCCGUAAUACAUCAUCUCAUAACUAACAUCUUAGUUAUUAUGCUUGCAAGGCUUAUGUGAUGUGUAUUACCGAGAGGGCCCAGAGAUACCUCUCCGACAAUCGGAGUGACAAACCCUAAUCUCGAAAUACGCCAACCCAACAUCCACCAUUGGAGACACCUGUAGUACUCCUUUAUAAUCACCCAGUUACGUUGUGACAUUUGGUAGUACCCAAAGUGUUCCUCCGGUAAACGGGAGUUGUAUAAUCUCAUAGUUAUAGGAACAUGUAUAAGUCAUGAAGAAAGCAAUAGCAACAUACUAAACGAUCGGGUGCUAAGCUAAUGGAAUGGGUCAUGUCAAUCAGAUCAUUCAACUAAUGAUGUGACCUCGUUAAUCAAAUAACAACUCUUUGUUCAUGGUUAGGAAACAUAACCAUCUUUGAUUAACAAGCUAGUCAAGUAGAGGCAUACUAGUGACACUCUGUUUGUCUAUGUAUUCACACAUGUAUUAUGUUUCCGGUUAAUACAAUUCUAGCAUGAAUAAUAAACAUUUAUCAUGAUAUAAGGAAAUAAAUAAUAACUUUAUUAUUGCCUCUAGGGCAUAUUUCCUUCACUUCCUCGUUCUUCGAGUAAAUAAGUAUAUCAUCGAGGUAAACCACGACGAACUUAUCUAAGUACUCCAUGAAGAUCGAGUUCAUCAAGCGAGAGAAAGUAGCUGGAGCAUUAGUUAGACCGAAGGACAUGACGGUGUACUCAUACUGGCCAUAACGAGUGACAAAAGCCGUCUUAGGAAUGUCCCCAUUUCUGAUCUUGAUUUGAUGGUAGCCUAACCUCAAAUCCAUCUUGGAAAAGACUGAGGAUCCAACGAGCUGAUCAUACAAGUCGUUGAUCCUGGGGAGCAGAUACUUGUUCUUUAUCGUGACCAAAUUAACGGGACGAUAAUCUACAACCAUCCGGUCCGUACCAUCCUUCUUCUUGACGAAGAGGAUGGGGCAAGCCCAGGGAGAAGAACUAGGACGGAUGAAACCCUUUUGCAAGGAUUCAUCGAGUUGUUUCUUAAGCUCAGCUAGUUCUAAGGGUGCCAUCUUGUAAGGUCUCCUAGAGAUUGGAGCGGUUCCUGGGAUAAGAUCUAUGACAAAUUCUACAUCUCUGUCAGGUGGAAUACCUAGCAGUUCCUCUGGAAAGACAUCCGGAAAGUCACAGACUACUGGGAUAUCUUCAAGGUCUAGAAGAGGGUAGGCAUUAAGAGAAUAGAGUUCACGCUUUGCAACUCUAGUGGAGACGGUGACUAUCUUGCCAGAUGGGUGUGUAAGCUGAACAGACCUUGUGUAACAAUCGAUCUUGGCAUGAUGAGCUUUCAUCCAGUCCAUACCCAAGAUGAUGUUAAUAUCUGUAGACUUGAGGGCUAUAAGUGAUGCAAGGAAUACAAGUCUGUCAACAAGGAUUUCAAGUGGAGCUGGCAUAUCACAAAAUGACAUGUCAUGCAAACGAGCAUAGCCUUCAGAGAUGAAGGAGUGAGAUGCUCCGGUAUCGAACAGAACCGAAGCUGGAUAGCAAUUGACAAGGAGGGUACCAAGAAUGACAUCUGGAUCAUCAUGAGUGUCUUUAGCUGAGACGUGAUGCACACAUCCACGUUCAGUGGGAGCUGACUUGACACUAAUCAUCUUGCGUGAUGGCUUACCACAGCCAACAGACUUCUCACGCUGGCGUGGAGCAUAGCUGGUUUGAGAGCAGUCACGUGCAUAGUGUCCUGGCUCUCCGCAUGUGAAGCAAGUCCCUGAGGUAGGACGUGGACCCGCUUUGACAAGCGGUCUACCAAUAGGCCUGGGUGGAGCAUACUGUUGAACUGGGUGAGGCGCCACAUAAGAGGGCCUCGGUGAGUAACCGGGUGGAAGAGCGGAGUUCGAAACCCAAAUCCGGCGCUUCUGCGAAGUAGAACCGGAGGAAGAAACCAAAUCACGGGUGUGCUUACGAGACUCCUCGUAAGUGAGCUGAGCUGUCUCUGCAUUAAUGGCCUUGUUCACAAGAGCCUGGAAUGUAUUGCAAUGGUGCAAGUGGAGAUCACGACGCAACUUGGGGUUGAGACCCUUCCGGAACCUAGCCUGCUUCUUGGCGUCCGUGGACACUUCUUCUAUAGCAUAGCGGGCAAGGUUCUCAAAUUCUCUACUAUAAGCAUCAACAGCCAUCUUACUCUGGGUGAAACUACAAAACUCUUCUCUCUUGCGGUCAAUGAGGUCUUGAGGAAUGUGAUGCUCGCGAAAAGCCUCAGUGAAAUCCUUCCAGGUAGGUAUCUGGCCAGCUGGAAGCAUAGCUUCAUAGUUCUGCCACCAAAUACUAGCAGGACCUUACAGAUGAUGAGCAGCGUAGGUGACCCUGUCACUUUCAGCUACGUUCGCAGAACGCAGCUUGUGUGUGAUACUGCGGAGCCAGUCAUCUGCAUCAAGUGGUUCAAUGGAAUGAUGGAAGGUAGGUGGUUUCAGACCGAUGAAGUCAUGGAUGGACACAAACUCUUUGUGCUGAUUGGAGGUGUUCUCCUCAAUACGUGCUAGCAAGCGGUUAGACUCACGCUUGUUCCUCUCAACCUCUAACAUGAACUCUGCCAACGAAGACUGGUCGGGAGGAUCCUCAUCCCUACCAUCGCCGUGGAUCCGGAUACGAGCAACAGAACUUCGGUUAACUGAUGACAUCCUGAAGAACCAACCAAGGAAACAAGGAUGGAUUCAGCAUCACCAUAAGGAUGUAGAUUAUAGUAUGAGAAAAAUACUAUCUCUUGAACUCCUAGGACAAUUCCGGCAGCAUAACGACAGUAAAAUGCUCAAAAUGAAACAUCCUGCAAAUGAAGAGGUAGCACCAUACUCAACAUCAUUACUCAAGGUUCUGAGAUAUUACUAAACAGGCUACACCGGAGGUACUCAAACUGGGAUAUGACUCAGAUCAGCCAAACCUUAGAAACUACGGAGUAGUAACACGUGAUCCUGAUAGACAGAAGAGAAAGCCUAGUUCCUUAACCCCGUAGGAAGAUAGGAUGACUUAGAUCAGAAGGGCAUGAGAUAUAAGGAGUAAAAAGAGCCUUACGUUCCCUUCCACAAUCAAUUCUCUUACAUAACUAAAGAAUUUCUAGACUCAACUUCGACCAGGGUGGCUUGGAAAUCCUACAGGCAGUCAGGCUCUGAUACCAAAGCUGUCGGGACCCCGAUUCCAAAUCACAUCGAUCUAGCCGGUAACACCUCAUAUCACUUUGCGGCCUCACGCACGGUAUCCCCACGGGUGUCGCCUUACCCUGGCCCGGGACCGUUUGCGCCUUUUGGCUCGCGUAUAUGAUUGUGUCGCUAGCAUCCAUAUGACAGAGAAACCCGGGCCGACAUGGCUAGUCAUGAACCCAAAGCGGCACUAACCUAUGGGAACAGGCAUACAUGAUUCACAUCGAGCGUGUCGGUCAGCAGCGCGUGAAUCCGGGCUGUAGCACUGGGCUAACAGGACUCCGGGGAACCCGGGCUGUAGCAGGCUAGGCAAGACUCCGGUUGUCACCGCGUGACAUUUCCCCGAAGGGACAGACACUGGAACAAAGUGAAACACAUGCCGGCCAGUCAAGUGUCCUGAGCAGUAGUGCCGGGCUAGCAGGACUCCAGUGAACCAGGUUGUAGCGGACUACUAUGGCUCAAGGAAGCACUAGACUACGUUUCCCCAUAAGAGAGACUGCCAAGGAUAAACAACUAGAUUGUCGGAUCCCACACAUAGCAAUACACGUCACACGUAAGCAUAACAUGCAAGUAUGUGCUGUACAACAUGGCAUCACAACAUAACGCAAACUCAUAUAGAUAAAGGCUCAGAAGAGCCACAUAGCAUAAAUACAAACAGGGGUCACAUGACCCAUCAUUCAGAGCAUACAAGCAACGUAAGCAUUACAUGUCUGAGUACAGACAACUACAAAAGAAAAGGGCUGAGAAGCCUGACUAUCUACAAGACCCUCCCAAGGGUACAAGAUCGUAGCUGAGGUAACAAGCUACUUGUCGAAGUCCAAGCAGAACUACUAGUAAGACAGAUGUCUCAUCUGCAAAACAUAAAUAAAGCAAAUGUGAGUACAAAGAUACUCAGCAAGACUUACAUCAGAUCCUAUCAUAUAUGCAUUUGUAUCCAGAAGGUAAUGUGGGGUUUAGUUGCAGCAAGCCAGCUUUGACUCAGUGGCUAUUCUGUUCUACGACAACGAGAAACUUCUUUGAGAUGAGGCAGCGCACACGAGUCCACUAAUCACCACAUCAAUACACUACUAUGGAUUCAUCCUCGUCUUCCUACGAGAAGGCCAUCCAUAGCACUCACACUUGUCUUGAGCAUUUUAGAGUAUCCACUUUAAGUUGUCUAUGUACCACGUAAGCAUCCAAGAAGUCCAUAACUGAGGACACGGCUAUUCGAAUAGAUCAUGAUAACCCUGCAGGGGUGUACUUCUUCACACACGCUCUCACCACUUAUCACCAUGUACACGUCAUGUAUCUCGGCAACCUUCAAGCGGAAGCCUGGCGAGGGUGUCGGCCACGACCUAACUAACCACGCAAGACUCUAGUCCAGGUUUAUCGCCUAUUCGGGUUCCAUCCACAAGGAGAUCCGGCCGAGGUUUCGCUCACGGCCCCAAAUGAUGUGUACAGGGUUCCCGAGCCCACCAUCCGGGUGCCACUCGGUACACCGGGCCACGUGUGCCUAGUCUGUCCCAAGUCCACCCUGUCGGGUGCCACUCGGUAGAAAAAUAGCACUACCUACAAACACCAGAAACUAUUUGCAACUCCUGGACAGAGAUCAAGGCGGUUAAUAAGUCGAGAUAGCUUGGAGCGCCCAGAGCCCAAUGUGUGGUUGUAGCUAGUCAUUGGACAACUUACACAGAACUCAGUUCUUAAGGACGGUCCCAAUGAGACAGCCCACCAUGUACUCCUACAUGGCCUCUCACCGCUACCUUUAUCAAAUCGUGUUCACACGCUUAACUCUCAGCACCAGAACAUAUCAUAACACUCCAAUUCAUUCCCGAUGAAUCAGACCUGACACAACUCUAAGCAAUAGCAGGCAUGGCAUGGUAGGAACAAAACAUGGCUCAAUCAACUCCUACACAUGCUAGUGGGUUUUAGCUAUUUACUGGGGCAAUGACAGGUCAUGCAGAGGAAUGGGUUCAACUACCGCAGCAUAAAAUAGCAGUUGAAUCGUUGUUGUCCUAAUGCAAUAAAAGAGGGCAAGAGCGAGAGAGUGGGAUUGUAUCAGAAUGAACAAGGGGGUUGAUUGCCUGGUAGAUCAACAGGGGGGCACUGCUUCACUAAUAGGUACUCUCGAACACUUCCGGAGCAGGACCUAUCGAGAAGGAACGGUGCCAACAAUCAAUACACAAGCAUAUGCAACAAUCUGAUGCAUGACCAUGGCAUGAAGAUGUGAUGCUGUUUGAGCUAAUGCAACUAGUAUUCAAAUUGAAUGAAGUCCAUUUGAACCAAGGGUUCAAGUGCAACUCCAAAUUAAGCUCUUAUAUAUGCCAUUUAUAUGUUUUCACCUAUACAGCAGGUACAAGUUGUUUUGUCAUGCAUGAAACUAGUACGGAUGGAAAGAUUGAAUUUUUUCUGAUAAUUUUUCAUAUAUAAAUUAUUUCAAUCUGAGCUAGGGUUGAAUUUCUAUGAAUUUUUGAAGUUUAUACCAUUUUCUGGAAUUUCCUGAUUUAUUAUAAAACCAGAAAAAGAUAUAUUGCGUCAGCACUAAGUCAUGGUGAUGUCAGCAUUGACCAAAGUCAAAUCUGACUGGUGGGCUCCACCUGUCAGUGUUAUAGUUAAUUAACAGAGGUUAAUUAAUUGUUAAACUAAUCCUAAACUAGAAUUAGCAGGGCCGGGCCCCACCUGUCAUUGAGCCAGGGGAGGUCAAACCCCCUGGUCAACUGGGGCUAACGCGCCGGCGUUUAGUUGCCGGCGGCAGCAGACGCGGCGGAGGGCGCGGGAUCACCCUUCCGGCGACCAAAAGUACGGCGGAGAGCACCGGGGCGUACCCCACGCUCGUCCGCACCGAAUGGAGCAAGUGGGGGAGGCGGGGCGGCCGGAGCUCGCCGGAGCGAAGCUCGGGGCGGCGGCCGGAGCACGGCCAAGUGCGGGCGAGGGCUGUGGUGCAUGGGAAAGCGAGCGGAGAGGCUCUACGGCCUCCUGGCGUCACCAGGAGCACGGUGACGCGCGCGGGAGCGGCUGGCUCGGCCUCUGGCCACGGCGGCGCCAUGGCCGGCGGCACGGAGCUCUCGGCUCCGGUGGCUAGGUGGCUAGAGGAGGGGAUCGAGCACGGUUUAGGGGGGAAAGAUCGUGGCCUCACUGCGGUUGCAGGGGCCGUAGAAGCGGACUCGGGGAAGCUCGGAUGGCGGCAAAUCGACGGUGGAAAUCCACGGUGGCCGACGAGGAAGACGAAGACGAUGGCGUCGUUUCAGGCGUCCCGUGGGCGCGUGCUUCACCUUGGUGCUUCACGGCGUCGAGGAGGACCCGUUGGACAGGGCAGAGGGGCAAGGGAAGCACGGUGGCUGCGGCUACGGCGUGCGGCGGCGACGGAAGCGCUCGGGUGCGGGCGAGAGAGGGUGACAGAGGAGAGGAGGAGCACGGGGGAAGUGAGAGGGGGUCGGGGAGGCUGCGUGGCGACGUCGAGGGCCUCCAGCAGCGAGCGUGAAGCAGGAGGUGGCCGGCGCGUGCUCGCGCACGCCGGGCACACGCGCACCGUCCUCCUGGCAGGAGGUAGGCGACGACUGGCGUCGGCCAGCAGUGCUGGGCCGGCACAAGAGCUGGGCCGCCAGCUGGGCUGCCAGGCAGGUAAGGCCAGGUGAGCUUUUUCCUUUAUUUAUUUUCUUUUCUAUUUUCUGACCUUUGUUUUGAUUUAAUAAAAAUACUAAAUCAAUUAAUUUUCUUCUGACAAGUUUUGCAGGGGCCUAAGGGAUUAUUCCAAAGCCCCUCACCAAAAUUCAGAAUUAUUGGACAAUAUUUUAUAUAUAUAUAAAAAUAUUUAUCCAACGCAAAUAAUUUCUGGAUUAAUUCCAAAUGUCAAAAAUAAAUAUUUAUGAGCUCCUGGAUAUAUUUAUUAGAAUUUUAACUCUGACCAAUAUUUUCAGAGAGCAACAUGAACAUUUUCUUGGACCCUUUUGGAGCAGUUUUUAUCUGGGUUAUUUCCAGAAAUAAUUUCUGAGGGUUUCACAAAUCCCCAUUUCAAAUUUAAAUGGAAUUUAAACAUGAUGCACAGAUGACAUAGCUAGCCUAGGUCAUACCAGAACUAGGGAUGUGACAACUCUAGAAAUGUUCGCCUAUUCAAGAAAAAUAUUUAAAAAAAUGUUCGCAGAUAGUAUAAAAUGUUCAUGAGUUCAGAUAUGUUUGAAAAACUGUAAAAAAUGUUCGUGGAUUCUAGAAAUGUUUGAAAAUCUGUAAAAAUGUUCACAAUUUCAGAUAUGUUCAUGAGUUUAAAAAAAUGUUCAUGAUUUACAAAAAUUGUUCACGAUUUCACAAAAAUAAGAAUGAUAAUGUAUGUCGGUGAUGCAGCAAAAUAUGGUCAUGGCCGUUGGAGAUUAUGAUUGUUGUUUCUCCCGUUGUAACGCUGUAACACCCUCGAUGCGACUAUAUCUCCCACGUGUCGAGGCACGACUUAGAGGCAUAAUCGCAUUGAAGGCAUAUGUCGCAAGUGAGGUAAUCUUCACACAACCCAUGUAAUAUAAUAAGGGAAAAAGAUAUAUAGUUGGCUUACAAUCGCCACUUCACACAAUUACAUGAAUAAACAUUACAUCAAUCAAAUACACUCAUGGUCCGACUACGGAACCAAAAUAAAAGAAGAACCCCAAAUGCGACAAAGGUCCCCGAUCGACCCCAACUGGGCUCCACUACUGAUCAACUAGAACGAAACAACAUAAGGACAAGAUCUUCAUCGAGCUCCUCCUGAGCUUGGUAGCGUCAUCUGCACGGUCUCAUCGGCACCUGCAAGCUGGUUUUGGAAGUAUCUGUGAGCCACAGGGACUCAGCAAUCUCGCACCCUCGCGAUCAAGACUAUUUAAGCUUAUGGGUAAGGUAAAGGUAUGAGGUGGAGCUGCAGCAAGCGACUAGCAUAUAUGGUGGCUAACAUACGCAAAUGAGAGCGAGAAGAGAAGGCAAAGCACGGUCGAUAAAGUAUGAUCAAGAAGUGAUCCUGGACUACCUACGUCAAGCAUAACUCCAACAACCGUGUUCACUUCCCGGACUCCGCCGGAAAGAGACCAUCACGGUUACACACGCAGUUGAUUCAUUUUAAUUAAGGUCAACUUUAGGUUUUCUACAACCGGACGUUAACAAAUUCCCAUCUGCCCAUAACCGCGGGCACGGCUUUCGAAAGAUCAAAUCCCUGCAGGGGUGUCCCAACUUAGCCCACGACAAGCUCUCACGGUCAACGAAGGAAUAGACCUCCUCCCGAGACAUUCCGAUCAGACUCGGUAUCCCGGUACUCCAACACUCCAAUAAAAGUACAGGCAUGGAAAGAUCAUGAUCUUUGACAAAACGAGAUAAUGGAUUGAAAAGAUGAACAUCACAAUACCUCCGGAACAAAAGAAUAGAAGAUAGAUAACUGAAAUAGGAGAAAUGAGGAGAAAAUGCCAACUUCUGCCACAAAAGAGUUUGGAAAGGCAUCUUUAGGGGAAGGGUUGAGCGGAGUUGUUGGAAAAAAAACACCAACGAAAAGAAUAGGUUGAUAUGGUCUUAUGGAAUAUGUCUCAAAUUAAGAGAUGACAGCCUGCCACUCACGGGAAGAAGAAUUGAUUGGGUUUAAAUGAACAAGGAGACGAGAAAUUAUUUCACCGGAAGGAUAAAAGAAGAACUUGGAUCAUUAUAAGCACCAUAGAUAACAACAAUCCUCAGGGAAAGUUUUUAGGUGAAAAUUAACCCAAGAUAACUCCAAUGACGAGAUUGAUGGAUUUAAAAUACCUCAUUCUUAACAACAUGUGAAUCGUGACAAUAUGAACUCAAAUUAUCAAGAAUGACAUAAUACCACCCCCAAUAAUAUGGUAGAAAGAAUUGCACUCCGGAUAGCAAGAUGAAGAAGGCUUGAGCUCGUCUGAAAAGAAUCUUGAUGAACCCUUCGAGAAUGAAUUAAAUCCCUUAAUGAACCAUCAUGUAGAGCCUUCAUGGAGAACUCCGGUAAUAAAAGAAAGAUCCAAAAUAACGGAAUGAUGUAAAGAAUAAGAUUUAAGACUCGCAAUGAUUUAGAUAGAGAACUCCGUGAUAAUAUAAUUGCAAGAGGUUGGAACUCCGGGAAAGAAAGAUGACCACUUGAACCCAAGAAUGUGAUAUGAUGCACCUCCGGACUAAGGAAUUAAAUCACUUGGAUAGAACAAGAGUAAGAAUUAUGUUAUGCUCGUCCUUCAUCAAUUAAAUUGAUGACAAACCAUGGAUUUGGCAUAUUCCUUAUUCUUGUAGAAAAGAUUAAGAGAGAUAUGGCGCCAAUUUGAGAAGGUCUUCAACAAACCACCGGAAGGAUUGAAAACAACAAAUAAUUGAUAAGGAAGAGAGAUCUUGAGGAAACCACCAUAAGAAUUAAGCAUGAACCAAGAGAAGAUAAAGAACACACCGGGAAGAAUUAAGCAAAAUAAACGAAGAUGCUUGAGAGACUUUAGAUCCAUGAGAACGAAGAGAUCACGAACUGAUUAAAGAUCACUUGAACGAAGCACCGGUAAAAUUAGGAGGGUGAGAGCUGAAAUCUAGAGUUGAUAAUUCUUAGAUGAUUGGCUCCGGAUAAACAAGCUGAGAAUACUCUCGAAUUGCUCCGGAAGGGUAAAAAGAAUUCUCACAGUCAAACAAUUAUGAGAGGAUGGCAACAAGCUAGCACCAUGAAUCUUGAAGAGAAUGGAGCAAGAUUAAAGAGAAACUCUUCUUCGGUCUUCAAAUGAUGAGAAUGACGACAAGAAACACCACCAAUAAUUAUUGAGGCACUCCGGAAUAAAGAAGAAUAUAUAAGAGUUGAAUCAACGAUGAAAUUAAUUUGAAAGAUCUUGGGGAAGGACAUUUGACUGAUGAUAAUUCAUUCUUACGUCAAACUUCAAAAGGAAUUUAGUAUAACUCCGGGGAAAUAAGAAGAGUCAGGUAAGAUCCUGGGAAAAGACCUGUGGGUUAGGGCCCACUCGAAAGAAAAACACCGUUGAAAUGAUUUUAAAAGGGAGGUUGCACCGGUUGAAAUAAAUGGCUAGAAUGAUAUAACAUCCUCGAAAGAGCUUGAACGAAUGCAGAGUGGAAACAAGAAUCUUCGAGAUAUCUUGAGCACCCUGAAACAAUUGAAUAGCGAGAAGUGAACGAUUAAGAACUACGCCGGCAUGAGAAAAAAACAUUGAAAUACGGAAAAAGAGUAUGAUCAACACCGAAAGCUUGAAUUGGUUCCACCGGAGAAGAAAAGAACAAAGAAUGAUAAAUUUGAAGCUCCGUUAGAAUAUUCAUGAGAAUCACUGGAUAAGAAUAUUGAUAGAAAAGAAUGGGGAGACUUCACAUGAAUAAAAUGAUACUUGAUUAAGACAUCCGAAUCCUUGACGAAAAAGGGUGGGUGGGGGAGAAAAACAAAGGCAACUUGGAGAUGGAUGAAACAAACACCGUUGAGAAGAAGUGAUAAUUGAUCUUGCGGAAGUUGAAAUGAUCAGAUCCACUUGAGGAGAGACACACCGGUUGAAAAAAAUUAACAAAAACAAUCUUGACGAUCAAGAAGGAUUGGUAUUCACAUCGGAGUAUGAGAACACCAUUUAGGAAAAGGUAUGGAAUCAACAUUUGACUUCGAAGCAACUCGAAUACCACAACUCAAAAUAAAACCAAGGAUUGGCUUGCGGAAUAAGCCGGAGCAAACAUAUGAUAGAGAUUUCGUCCGAAGUUUUCGUGGUGGGACCUACACGGGCUCGAUCGUACAGCACCAUCAUGUACAAGGCAGUGCACAUGACAUACGAAGCGUCCCCGAGUCAGCAUAGCCAAGGAUUCUUUAAGACACAACGCGACCACUGUAAAAUCGACCGUGAAUAGGCGAACCACUAGACGUCGAACCCCAAUUUCAUAUCAUACAUCUGUCAGAAAGAAAUCCUAAGAGCUACUUGAAUUCCCACCUAUGAAAUUCCCGAAAUUUUCCGGUUAUGCAAUCAGGUGUUGAGGAUACAGGGGAAGCAUAAUAUCUCACCCAAGCUAGCAAAUCCUACAUCCAGCUGCAUCCAUCCUUCAACACAUAACCAAGAAACCUUCGGAAACCAUCUAUCUCAAUCUUCGAAAAGCAUCCGUUAUACAAGUUAUGGCGAUACUCUCGAACUCCCGCCCCAGUACUGGGUGGCGUCGAGGUUAUCUCACCAACGAACUGCAUAAAGGAGAUUUUCGAUGUCGCGAACAUAUCUCAAGUAUUCCAGAAUUGCAACGAUAAAAUUAUGAUGACAACACCUCAGAGCUCAACUCCCCGGGACACUUCCACUAAACCCCUGACAGGAGGCACCAAGACAGUAUUCUCAUCAUAAGCCAUCGGAACAAAACCAAGAUACUCGCGUGAUCCUAAAAAAAAAAUUAGUGAAAUUUGAGAAGAGAAGACUCAAAACUCUAUGUCAGGAUGCCUCACCAGAGCGACGAAGGGACUGGGAAGUAAAAAGAAUUCCUAAACUCUCCGAUAUAUAAUUCCUAAGGACUCAAAACAUUAUUCUAGACACAACUCGGCUGCUAAAAACGAUCAAGCAAUGGGGCUCCUAAGGUCGGGGAAGGCUCUGAUUACCAACUUGUAACACCCUCGAUGCGACUAUAUCUCCCACGUGUCGAGGCACGACUUAGAGGCAUAAUCGCAUUGAAGGCAUAUGUCGCAAGUGAGGUAAUAUUCACACAACCCAUGUAAUAUAAUAAGGGAAAAAGAUAUAUAGUUGGCUUACAAUCGCCACUUCACACAAUUACAUGAAUAAACAUUACAUCAAUCAAAUACACACAUGGUCCGACUACGGAACCAAAAUAAAAGAAGAACCCCAAAUGCGACAAAGGUCCCCGAUCGACCCCAACUGGGCUCCACUACUGAUCAACUAGAACGAAACAACAUAAGGACAAGAUCUUCGUUGAGCUCCUCCUGAGCUUGGUAGCGUCAUCUGCACGGUCUCAUCGGCACCUGCAAGCUGGUUUUGGAAGUAUCUGUGAGCCACAGGGACUCAGCAAUCUCGCACCCUCGCGAUCAAGACUAUUUAAGCUUAUGGGUAAGGUAAAGGUAUGAGGUGGAGCUGCAGCAAGCGACUAGCAUAUAUGGUGGCUAACAUACGCAAAUGAGAGCGAGAAGAGAAGGCAAAGCACGGUCGAUAAAGUAUGAUCAAGAAGUGAUCCUGGACUACCUACGUCAAGCAUAACUCCAACAACCGUGUUCACUUCCCGGACUCCACCGGAAAGAGACCAUCACGGUUACACACGCAGUUGAUUCAUUUUAAUUAAGGUCAACUUUAGGUUUUCUACAACCGGACGUUAACAAAUUCCCAUCUGCCCAUAACCGCGGGCAUGGCUUUCGAAAGAUCAAAUCCCUGCAGGGGUGUCCCAACUUAGCCCACGACAAGCUCUCACGGUCAACGAAGGAAUAGACCUCCUCCCGAGACAUUCCGAUCAGACUUGGUAUCCCGGUACUCCAAGACAUCCUCGACAAUGGUAAAACAAGUCCAGCAAAACCACCCGAUGCGCCGACAUCCCGAUGGGAGCUGCACAUAUCUCGUUCUCAGGGCACACCGGAUAAGCUAAGCGUACAGGAGCCGACGUAACCCAAGUUGCCAAGGGAUGGCCAUGCACGGUGCUCUGGGUUGGGCCAACACUUAGACAAGCACUGGCCCGGGGGUUAAAAUAAGAUGACCCUUGGGCUGGCCUAACCCAAGGGAAAAAGAGGCUAGGUGGCAAAUGGUAAAACCAAGGUUGGGCCUUGCUGGAGGAGUUUUAUUCAAAGCGAAUUGUCAAGGGGUUCCCAUAUACCCAACCGCGUAAGGGACGCAAAAUCCGGGAACAUAACACCGAUAUAACGGAAACUAGGGCGGCAAGAGUGGAACAAAACACCAGGCAUAAGGCCGAGCCUUCCACCCUUUACCAAGUAUAUAGAUGCAUUAAUUAAAUAAGAUAUAUAGUGAUAUCCCAACAAGUAAACAUGUCCCAACAAGGAACAACAUCUCCAUGUUCCAACAAGGAACAAACUUCAAUCUUCACCUGCAACUAACAACGCUAUAAGAGGGGCUGAGCAAAGCGGUAACCUAGCCAAUCAACGGUUUGCUAGGACAUAGGAGGGUUAGGGGCUGAACAUGGCAAUUUGGGAGGCUGACAAGCAAGUGGUAGGCAUCGUAGCAAUGGCAUAGCAAAAGAGCGAGCAAACUAGCAUAGCAAAGAUAGUAGUGAUUUCGAGGGUAUGAUCAUCUUGCCUGAAGUCCCGCAAGGAAGAAGAACGAGUCCAUGAAGGAGACAAACGGACGAAGAUGAACGGGUCCUCACAAACUCGACGUUACCGGAACCAACCCGAAGAAGCAAUCACCGGAAAAGAAGCACACAACAUAGUAAACAACCACCACAUAGGCAUGGCAUGAUGCGCAAACAAGAAUGAUGCAUGUCCGGUUUAAAGAGGCAUGGCAUGGCAAAAUGCACAAGCAAUCCUACAAAUUAAGUGGAGCUCAAUAUGCACCGGGAUGCAUAUUGACAAAACACCACAUCAAUUAUUUAGUUCUCUCUCGUUUAUGUACCCAACAAUAUUAAAUGUUAUUAAACAUGGCAAGAGGGGAAACAUGCUGAAACUAUCUAAUCUAGGCAAGUUUAAAUGAGGCCGGAAGCAACGAACAACAAUUCCGAAAAAUCCUCAAGUGCAAAUAUUAGGUUUGGUCCUGAUCUGUCCUAAACACAAUUUUAGAGUUGUUUAACAUGCAAAGUGAUGCCACCAUGAUAAACUAGGCAAAAUUCUACCCCAUUUACAUAUAAAGUGAAGGAAAUAUGCCCUAGAGGCAAUAAUAAAGUUAUUAUUUAUUUCCUUAUAUCAUGAUAAAUGUUUAUUAUUCAUGCUAGAAUUGUAUUAACCGGAAACAUAAUACAUGUGUGAAUACAUAGACCAACAGAGUGUCACUAGUAUGCCUCUACUUGACUAGCUCGUUAAUCAAAGAUGGUUAUGUUUCCUAACCAUGAACAAAGAGUUGUUAUUUGAUUAACGAGGUCACAUCAUUAGUAGAAUGAUCUGAUUGACAUGACCCAUUCCAUUAGCUUAGCACCCGAUCGUUUAGUAUGUUGCUAUUGCUUUCUUCAUGACUUAUACAUGUUCCUAUAACUAUGAGAUUAUGCAACUCCCGUUUACCGAAGGAACACUUUGGGUACUACCAAACGUCACAACGUAACUGGGUGAUUAUAAAGGAGUACUACAGGUGUCUCCAAUGGUAGAUGUUGGGUUGGCGUAUUUCGAGAUUAGGGUUUGUCACUCCGAUUGUCGGAGAGGUAUCUCUGGGCCCUCUCGGUAAUACACAUCACAUAAGCCUUGCAAGCACUGCAACUAAUAUGUUAGUUGUGAGACGAUGUAUUACGGAACGAGUAAAGAGACUUGCCAGUAACGAGAUUGAACUAGGUAUUGGAUACCGACGAUCGAAUCUCGGGCAAGUAACAUACCGAUGACAAAGGGAACAACGUAUGUUGUUAUGCGGUCUGACCGAUAAAGAUCUUCGUAGAAUAUGUAGGAGCCAAUAUGGGCAUCCAUGUCCCGCUAUUGGUUAUUGACCGGAGACGUGUCUCGGUCAUGUCUACAUUGUUCUCGAACCGUAGGGUCCGCACGCUUAACGUUACGAUGACAGUUAUUAUGAGUUUAUGCAUUUUGAUGUACCGAAGGUUGUUCGGAGUCCCGGAUGAGAUCACGGACAUGACGAGGAGUCUCGAAAUGGUCGAGACGUAAAGAUUGAUAUAUUGGAAGCCUAUGUUUGGACAUAGGAAGUGUUCCGGGUGAAAUCGGGAUUUUACCGGAAUACCGGGAGGGUUACCGGAACCCCCCGGGAGACUAAUGGGCCUAUUGGGCCUUAGUGGAAAAAGAGAAAAGGGGCAGCCCAUANNNNNNNNNNNNNNNNNNNNNNNNNNNNNNNNNNNNNNNNNNNNNNNNNNNNNNNNNNNNNNNNNNNNNNNNNNNNNNNNNNNNNNNNNNNNNNNNNNNNNNNNNNNNNNNNNNNNNNNNNNNNNNNNNNNNNNNNNNNNNNNNNNNNNNNNNNNNNNNNNNNNNNNNNNNNNNNNNNNNNNNNNNNNNNNNNNNNNNNNNNNNNNNNNNNNNNNNNNNNNNNNNNNNNNNNNNNNNNNNNNNNNNNNNNNNNNNNNNNNNNNNNNNNNNNNNNNNNNNNNNNNNNNNNNNNNNNNNNNNNNNNNNNNNNNNNNNNNNNNNNNNNNNNNNNNNNNNNNNNNNNNNNNNNNNNNNNNNNNNNNNNNNNNNNNNNNNNNNNNNNNNNNNNNNNNNNNNNNNNNNNNNNNNNNNNNNNNNNNNNNNNNNNNNNNNNNNNNNNNNNNNNNNNNNNNNNNNNNNNNNNNNNNNNNNNNNNNNNNNNNNNNNNNNNNNNNNNNNNNNNNNNNNNNNNNNNNNNNNNNNNNNNNNNNNNNNNNNNNNNNNNNNNNNCCCCCCUCUUUCUCCUUUCCCCCCGAGAGUCCUAAUUGGAAUAGGAUUGGAGGGGGAGUCCUACUCCCGAUGGGAGUAGGACUCCCCUGCGCCUCCCUCUCCCUGGCCGGCCGGCUCCCCCUCCUCCAACCUUUAUAUACGGGGGCAGGGGACACCCCAAGACACACAAGUUGAUCCUUGAGAUCGUUCCUUAGCCGUGUGCGCUGCCCCCUGCCACCAAAUUCCACCUCGAUCAUACCGUUACAGUGCUUAGGCGAAGCCCUGCGUCGGUAGUACAUCAAGAUCGUCACCACGCCGUCGUGCUGACGGAACUCUUCCUCGACGCUUUGCUGGAUCGGAGCCCGAGGAACGUCAUCGAGCUGAACGUGUGCUAAGAACUCGGAGGUGCCGGAGUAACGGUACUUGGAUCGGUCGGAUCGGAAAGAAGACGUACGACUACUUCCUCUACGUUGUGAGAUCGCUUCCGCAGUCGGUCUGCGUUGGUACGUAGACAACACUCUCCCCUCUCGUUGCUGUGCAUCACCAUGAUCUUGCGUGUGCGUAGGAAAAUUUUUGAAAUUACUGCGUUCCCCAACAUAAAGUUUAUUAAAAUCGGAGUUACGGUUAUUUAGAUAUGAAUAAAAUCAUUUUAGCAUGGCAUAGAGCAAAUUUAAUGCAAACAACAUGUUAAACAUUUUAAACAUGGAUGAAAGUGGCAUAUUAUUAAUCUACACAGAAUUCUGAGCAAGUUUCAUAUAUAAAUUGUUUUAAUCCGAUGCACGGUUCAAGAGUUAUUAAAUGCAUGAACUAGGGGGACUAUACUGCAAAACUACCAAUGCACUGGAUAAUGGACAAAUUCGCAGGACCCGAAAAAAUACAUAUCGGGCCGAAUCUGGCUUAGCCCAACAGCAAGGAAGGAAAAAAAUAGAGAGGGGGGCGCUGGGGCGGCUCACCCAGGGCCUGGCCCGGUUCGGGUAGAAGGAGGGAAGCAGGCCGGCUGGCGGCUCGCUGGAGAUGGGCCUGGACCACGAGGCGCUGGGCGCGGAUCUGGAGGUAGAGAUGGGCCGGGCUUGGCGCUGCGCUGGCUGGGAAGCUGGGCCGGCCCGCGAAGGAGGAGGAAGGCCAAACGAGGCCGACAGAUCUGGGCCUCAGCGAGGUCCACGGGGAAGGUCAACGAGGCGACAUGGAUCGGUCUCCUCCCGAUCCCGUCCGGCGGCGGCGGCGCUGUGAAGGAGCUCCGGCGAGGGCUGCGAAGGCCGGGGCGCACGGGAGGCGCCGGAAAUGAGUAGGUCGGCGGCGGGGCACAUGGAUCCGGGGCGGAGGAGGCUCAAGGACGACGGGGAGGCCGCAUUCGACGCGAGGACGGCCGAUCCGGCGAGACUCGUCCACUCCGGCGACGAGCACGAGGCAUGGGACUCCGGCGAGGUGUAGGAAGACCUCCGGCGAGGCAGGGAGACAAAGGAGCACCGGAUCCGGCGGGGCUCGGCUCCCCGGGGCCGGAUCUGGCCAAGACGAGACGGCGGCGCUAAAUCCCCCAGGUGGAGGUCGCCGGCGGCAGCACUGGUGACCGGAAGAAGGCGACGAAGCGUGAGGCGGCGCGGGGAGGCGGGCGGUGGCGCUGGGCGGCGGGGAAGAGUAGCGCUCCGGCUCCCUCCCGAUCCAGGUGGGAUCGAGGAGGACCAGCCUUGGUGGCUGCGAGCGAAGGGGCUCUAGCCCGGGCGGGCCUCGGUUGGGCCAGGCGGGCCGUGGGGCUGGUGGAGGCGCUAGGCGCGACGUGGCAGCGCCUGCUUGGCUGCGCGCGUCGCCGGCGGCGGGCUGGCCGAUGGGGGCGCGACAAGUGGCGGAGAAGGGGCGGCCGGCGCUGAAAAUGAGGUGGGAGGUGGCGGCUGAGGGUAGGGGGAGGCUAGGUUGCCUGAAAUGGACAAGGGGGUGUCCAUAUAUAGCCAAAAGAGCUAGGGUUAGGGGAUUUAGGGGGGUUUUAGGAGCGUUUCGGAGCCUCCGAUCGCGAUCUGACGGUCCGAAACAGAGGGGGGGUUUAGGUGGGCUGCAAGAGUGGAAGUGGACUGUGGAGAGCGGGUUGUGCUGAGAGAAGAGAAGAGAGAGAGAGACCCGGCGACUGUCUCCGGAGACCGAAAACGUCCGACGUUAGACCGGCUACUAUUGCCGCUAUAUUUACCCGUUGGGGCGUCAAACGAACUCCGAUUGCGAUGAAACUUGACAGGCGGUGUGUCUAUACUAUAAUAAGACCGCACACCAAAUUUCAACCCAAUCUGAGAACAUUUUCCGGCCACUUAUAAAAUAAUAUUUCGGACAUGCCGCGGGCGCGUGCAAGUGUGUCUGGGCUCAGAACGGACAACGGAGAGAACGAGGAGGCCGGGACGGAUGCAAGUUUUGAAAACAUGAAGAUGCAAUGCACAUGAUGACAUGAUAAGAUGCAACACGCAAGCAAAUGACAUGGCAACGACGGCGAAUAACGGGAAGACAUGUGGCACAUCGGUCUCGGGGCGUUACAACACUCCACCACUACGAGAGGAUCUCGUCCCGAGAUCUAGAAUGGCACCGGAGGGAAAACGGAAGAGAAGGAGAAGAGGUAAAACAAAUUGCUUCUUUGGCAAACGAGUGAAACCACGAACCUUGAGAGGUUGAACAAAUUGAAAGAAAGAAUACAACGAAGAUGAACAAAGUCGAAAACACUCCGUUAGAAAAGAGGGACAAGGAAGAUUGCGAAACCUUGAGGUUGAAGGGAAGAUAUAUCCAGAAAGCACUCCGGUUAAGGAAGGGGACCAAGGGAAAAUCAAAAAUUCGGGCAGCACUCCGGUUGAAAAGAAAAGAAUUGAAUAAGGUCUUGAUAAGAUGAGAAGAUAUUUGAUGAAAUCAACACACUGCCUCCAUAACUAUUGAAUGGAUGGAACAAGGGGUAAGAAAGAUCUCAGACCGCACUCCGGUUGAGAAGGGAGUCAAAAUUUGAUAAGAUGAGAGAGCUCAAAUGAAAACACGACACUCCUGUUGAGAAAGGGAUGCAAGACUUGAUAAGGCGACAAGAACUUGAACAAAGGGGCACAAUACUCCGGUUAAGCAAGAUAGGGAAGGAAUAAGAGUGAUAUAAUUUGGACAGCACUCCGUUUGUAAAUGGAAGAAAUUGAACACGACGAGAUGAGAGGAUACUUGAAAAGAGGAGAGAACACUCCAAUAAAAGUACAGGCAUGGAAAGAUCAUGAUCUUUGACAAAACGAGAUAAUGGAUUGAAAAGAUGAACAUCACAAUACCUCCGGAACAAAAGAAUAGAAGAUAGAUAACUGAAAUAGGAGAAAUGAGGACAAAAUGCCAACUUCUGCCACAAAAGAGUUUGGAAAGGCAUCUUUAGGGGAAGGGUUGAGCGGAGUUGUUGGAAAAAAAACACCAACGAAAAGAAUAGGUUGAUAUGGUCUUAUGGAAUAUGUCUCAAAUUAAGAGAUGACAGCCUGCCACUCACGGGAAGAAGAAUUGAUUGGGUUUAAAUGAACAAGGAGACGAGAAAUUAUUUCACCGGAAGGAUAAAAGAAGAACUUGGAUCAUUAUAAGCACCAUAGAUAACAACAAUCCUCAGGGAAAGUUUUUAGGUGAAAAUUAACCCAAGAUAACUCCAAUGACGAGAUUGAUGGAUUUAAAAUACCUCAUUCUUAACAACAUGUGAAUCGUGACAAUAUGAACUCAAAUUAUCAAGAAUGACAUAAUACCACCCCCAAUAAUAUGGUAGAAAGAAUUGCACUCCGGAUAGCAAGAUGAAGAAGGCUUGAGCUCGUCUGAAAAGAAUCUUGAUGAACCCUUCGAGAAUGAAUUAAAUCCCUUAAUGAACCAUCAUGUAGAGCCUUCAUGGAGAACUCCGGUAAUAAAAGAAAGAUCCAAAAUAACGGAAUGAUGUAAAGAAUAAGAUUUAAGACUCGCAAUGAUUUAGAUAGAGAACUCCGUGAUAAUAUAAUUGCAAGAGGUUGGAACUCCGGGAAAGAAAGAUGAGCACUUGAACCCAAGAAUGUGAUAUGAUGCACCUCCGGACUAAGGAAUUAAAUCACUUGGAUAGAACAAGAGUAAGAAUUAUGUUAUGCUCGUCCUUCAUCAAUUAAAUUGAUGACAAACCAUGGAUUUGGCAUAUUCCUUAUUCUUGUAGAAAAGAUUAAGAGAGAUAUAGCGCCAAUUUGAGAAGGUCUUCAACAAACCACCGGAAGGAUUGAAAACAACAAAUAAUUGAUAAGGAAGAGAAAUCUUCAGGAAACCACCGUAAGAAUUAAGCAUGAACCAAGAGAAGAAAAAGCACACACCGGGAAGAAUUAAGCAAAAUAAACGAAGAUGCUUGAGAGACUUUAGAUCCAUGAGAACGAAGAGAUCACGAACUGAUUAAAGAUCACUUGAACGAAGCACCGGUAAAAUUAGGAGGGUGAGAGCUGAAAUCUAGAGUUGAUAAUUCUUAGAUGAUUGGCUCCGGAUAAACAAGCUGAGAAUACUCUCGAAUUGCUCCGGAAGGGUAAAAAGAAUUCUCACAGUCAAACAAUUAUGAGAGGAUGGCAACAAGCUAGCACCAUGAAUCUUGAAGAGAAUGGAGCAAGAUUAAAGAGAAACUCUUCUUCGGUCUUCAAAUGAUGAGAAUGACGACAAGAAACACCACCAAUAAUUAUUGAGGCACUCCGGAAUAAAGAAGAAUAUAUAAGAGUUGAAUCAACGAUGAAAUUAAUUUGAAAGAUCUUGGGGAAGGACAUUUGACUGAUGAUAAUUCAUUCUUACGUCAAACUUCAAAAGGAAUUUAGUAUAACUCCAGGGAAAUAAGAAGAGUCAGGUAAGAUCCUGGGAAAAGACCUGUGGGUUAGGGCCCACUCGAAAGAAAAACACCGUUGAAAUGAUUUUAAAAGGGAGGUUGCAUCGGUUGAAAUAAAUGGCUAGAAUGAUAUAACAUCCUCGAAAGAGCUUGAACGAAUGCAGAGUGGAAACAAGAAUCUUCGAGAUAUCUUGAGCACCCCGAAACAAUUGAAUAGCGAGAAGUGAACGAUUAAGAACUACACCGGCAUGAGAAAAAAACAUUGAAAUACGGAAAAGGAGUAUGAUCAACACCGAAAGCUUGAAUUGGUUCCACCGGAGAAGAAAAGAACAAAGAAUGAUAAAUUUGAAGCUCCGUUAGAAUAUUCAUGAGAAUCACCGGAUAAGAAUAUUGAUAGAAAAGAAUGGGGAGACUUCACAUGAAUAAAAUGAUACUUGAUUAAGACAUCCGAAUCCUUGACGAAAAAGGGUGGGUGGGCGGGAAAAACAAAGGCAACUUGGAGAUGGAUGAAACAAACACCGUUGAGAAGAAGUGAUAAUUGAUCUUGCGGAAGUUGAAAUGAUCAGAUCCACUUGAGGAGAGACACACCGGUUGAAAAAAAUUAACAAAAACAAUCUUGACGAUCAAGAAGGAUUGGUAUUCACAUCGGAGUAUGAGAACACCAUUUAGGAAAAGGUAUGGAAUCAACAUUUGACUUCGAAGCAACUCGAAUACCACAACUCAAAAUAAAACCAAGGAUUGGCUUGCGGAAUAAGCCGGAGCAAACAUAUGAUAGAGAUUUCGUCCGAAGUUUUUGUGGUGGGACCUACACGGUCUCGAUCGUAUAGCACCAUCAUGUACAAGGCAGUGCACAUGACAUACGAAGCGUCCCCGAGUCAGCAUAGCCAAGGACUCUUUAAGACACAACGCGACCACUGUAAAAUCGACCGUGAAUAGGCGAACCACUAGACGUCGAACCCCAAUUUCAUAUCAUACAUCUGUCAGAAAGAAAUCCUAAGAGCUACUUGAAUUCCCACCUAUGAAAUUCCCGAAAUUUUCCGGUUAUGCAAUCAGGUGUUGAGGAUAUAGGGGAAGCAUAAUAUCUCACCCAAGCUAGCAAAUCCUACAUCCAGCUGCAUCCAUCCUUCAACACAUAACCAAGAAACCUUCGGAAACCAUCUAUCUCAACCUUCGAAAAGCAUCCGUUAUACAAGUUAUGGCGAUACUCUUGAACUCCCGCCCCAGUACUGGGUGGCGUCGAGGUUAUCUCACCAACGAACUGCAUAAAGGAGAUUUUCGAUGUCGCGAACAUAUCUCAAGUAUUCAAGAAUUGCAAUGAUAAAAUUAUGAUGACAACACCUCAGAGCUCAACUCCCCGGGACACUUCCACUAAACCCCUGACAGGAGGCACCAAGACAGUAUUCUCAUCAUAAGCCAUCGGAACAAAACCAAGAUACUCGCGUGAUCCUAAAAAAAAUUUUAGUGAAAUUUGAGAAGAGAAGAGUCAAAACUCUACGUCAGGAUGCCUCACCAGAGCGACGAAGGGACUGGGAAGUAAAAAUAAUUCCUAAACUCUCCGAUAUAUAAUUCCUAAGGACUCAAAACAUUAUUCUAGACACAACUCGGCUGCUAAAAACGAUCAAGCAAUGGGGCUCCUAAGGUCGGGGAAGGCUCUGAUUACCAACUUGUAACACCCUCGAUGCGACUAUAUCUCCCACGUGUCGAGGCACGACUUAGAGGCAUAAUCGCAUUGAAGGCAUAUGUCGCAAGUGAGGUAAUCUUCGCACAACCCAUGUAAUAUAAUAAGGGGAAAAGAUAUAUAGUUGGCUUACAAUCGCCACUUCACACAAUUACAUGAAUAAACAUUACAUCAAUCAAAUACACUCAUGGUCCGACUACGGAACCAAAAUAAAAGAAGAACCCCAAAUGCGACAAAGGUCCCCGAUCGACCCCAACUGGGCUCCACUACUGAUCAACUAGAACGAAACAACAUAAGGACAAGAUCUUCAUCGAGCUCCUCCUGAGCUUGGUAGCAUCAUCUGCACGGUCUCAUCGGCACCUGCAAGCUGGUUUUGGAAGUAUCUGUGAGCCACAGGGACUCAGCAAUCUCGCACCCUCGCGAUCAAGACUAUUUAAGCUUAUGGGUAAGGUAAAGGUAUGAGGUGGAGCUGCAGCAAGCGACUAGCAUAUAUGGUGGCUAACAUACGCAAAUGAGAGCGAGAAGAGAAGGCAAAGCACGGUCGAUAAAGUAUGAUCAAGAAGUGAUCCUGGACUACCUACGUCAAGCAUAACUCCAACAACCGUGUUCACUUCCCGGACUCCACCGGAAAGAGACCAUCACGGUUACACACGCAGUUGAUUCAUUUUAAUUAAGGUCAACUUUAGGUUUUCUACAACCGGACGUUAACAAAUUCCCAUCUGCCCAUAACCGCGGGCACGGCUUUCGAAAGAUCAAAUCCCUGCAGGGGUGUCCCAACUUAGCCCACGACAAGCUCUCAUGGUCAACGAAGGAAUAGACCUCCUCCCGAGACAUUCCGAUCAGACUCGGUAUCCCGGUACUCCAAGACAUCCUCGACAAUGGUAAAACAAGUCCAGCAAAACCACCCGAUGCGCCGACAUCCCGAUGGGAGCUGCACAUAUCUCGUUCUCAGGGCACACCGGAUAAGCUAAGCGUACAGGAGCCGACGUAACCCAAGUUGCCAAGGGAUGGCCAUGCACGGUGCUCUGGGUUGGGCCAACACUUAGACAAGCACUGGCCCGGGGGUUAAAAUAAGAUGACCCUUGGGCUGGCCUAACCCAAGGGAAAAAGAGGCUAGGUGGCAAAUGGUAAAACCAAGGUUGGGCCUUGCUGGAGGAGUUUUAUUCAAAGCGAACUAUCAAGGGGUUCCCAUAUACCCAACCGCGUAAGGGACGCAAAAUCCGGGAACAUAACACCGAUAUAACGGAAACUAGGGCGGCAAGAGUGGAACAAAACACCAGGCAUAAGGCCGAGCCUUCCAACCUUUACCAAGUAUAUAGAUGCAUUAAUUAAAUAAGAUAUAUAGUGAUAUCCCAACAAGUAAACAUGUCCCAACAAGGAACAACAUCUCCAUGUUCCAACAAGGAACAAACUUCAAUCUUCACCUGCAACUAACAACGCUAUAAGAGGGGCUGAGCAAAGCGGUAACCUAGCCAAUCAACGGUUUGCUAGGACAUAGGAGGGUUAGGGGCUGAACAUGGCAAUUUGGGAGGCUGACAAGCAAGUAGUAGGCAUCGUAGCAAUGGCAUAGCAAAAGAGCGAGCAAACUAGCAUAGCAAAGAUAGUAGUGAUUUCGAGGGUAUGAUCAUCUUGCCUGAAGUCCCGCAAGGAAGAAGAACGAGUCCAUGAAGGAGACAAACGGACGAAGAUGAACGGGUCCUCACAAACUCGACGUUACCGGAACCAACCCGAAGAAGCAAUCACCGGAAAAGAAGCACACAACAUAGUAAACAACCACCACAUAGGCAUGGCAUGAUGCGCAAACAAGAAUGAUGCAUGUCCGGUUUAAAGAGGCAUGGCAUGGCAAAAUGCACAAGCAAUCCUACAAAUUAAGUGGAGCUCAAUAUGCACCGGGAUGCAUAUUGACAAAACACCACAUCAAUUAUUUAGUUCUCUCUUGUUUAUGUACCCAACAAUAUUAAAUGUUAUUAAACAUGGCAAGAGGGGAAACAUGCUGAAACUAUCUAAUCUAGGCAAGUUUAAAUGAGGCCGGAAGCAACGAACAACAAUUCCGAAAAAUCCUCAUGUGCAAAUAUUAGGUUUGGUCCUGAUCUGUUCUAAACACAAUUUUAGAGUUGUUUAACAUGCAAAGUGAUGCCACCAUGAUAAACUAGGCAAAAUUCUACCCCAUUUACAUAUAAAGUUUAUUAAAAUCGGAGUUACGGUUAUUUAGAUAUGAAUAAAAUCAUUUUAGCAUGGCAUAGAGCAAAUUUAAUGCAAACAUCAUGUUAAACAUUUUAAACAUGGAUGAAAGUGGCAUAUUAUUAAUCUACACAGAAUUCUGAGCAAGUUUCAUAUAUAAAUUGUUUUAAUCCGAUGCACGGUUCAAGAGUUAUUAAAUGCAUGAACUAGGGGGACUAUACUGCAAAACUGCCAAUGCACUGGAUAAUGGACAAAUUCGCAGGACCCGAAAAAAAAUACAUAUCGGGCCGAAUCUGGCUUAGCCCAACAGCAAGGAAGGAAAAAAAAUAGAGAGGGGGGGCGCUGGGGCGGCUCACCCAGGGCCUGGCCCGGUUCGGGUAGAAGGAGGGAAGCAGGCCGGCCGGCGGCUCGCUGGAGAUGGGCCUGGACCACGAGGCGCUAGGCGCGGAUCUGGAGGUAGAGAUGGGCCGGGCUUGGCGCUGCGCUGGCCGGGAAGCUGGGCCGGCCCGCGAAGGAGGAGGAAGGCCAAACGAGGCCGACAGAUCUGGGCCUCAGCGAGGUCCACGGGGAAGGUCAACGAGGCGACAUGGAUCGGGCUCCUCCCGAUCCCGUCCGGUGGCGGCGGCGCUGUGAAGGAGCUCCGGCGAGGGCUGCGAAGGCCGGGGCGCACAGGAGGCGCCAGAAAUGAGUAGGUCGGCGGCAGGGCACAUGGAUCCGGGGCGGAGGAGGCUCAAGGACAACGGGGAGGCCGCAUUCGACGCGAGGACGGCCGAUCCGGCGAGACUCGUCCACUCAGGCGACGAGCACGAGGCAUGGGACUCCGGCGAGGUGUAGGAAGACCUCCGGCAAGGCAGGGAGACAAAGGAGCACCGGAUCCGGCGGGGCUCGGCUCCCCGGGGCCGGAUCUGGCCAAGACGAGACGGCGGCGCUAAAUUCCCCAGGUGGAGGUCGCCGGCGGCAGCACUGGUGACCGGAAGAAGGCGAUGAAGCGCGAGGCGGCGCGGGGAGGCUGGCGGUGGCGCUGGGCGGCGGGGAAGAGUAGCGCUCCGGCUCCCUCCCGAUCCAGGUGGGAUCGAGGAGGACCAGCCUUGGUGGCUGCGAGCGAAGGGGCUCUAGCCCAGGCGGGCCUCGGUUGGGCCAGGCGGGCCGUGGGGCUGGUGGAGGCGCUAGGCGCGACGUGGCAGCGCCUGCUUGGCUGCGCGCGUCGCCGGCGGCGGGCUGGCCGAUGGGGGCGCGACAAGUGGCGGAGAAGGGGCGGCCGGCGCUGAAAAUGAGGUGGGAGGUGGCGGCUGAGGGUAGGGGGAGGCUAGGUUGCCUGAAAUGGACAAGGGGGUGUCCAUAUAUAGCCAAAAGAGCUAGGGUUAGGGGAUUUAGGGGGGUUUUAGGAGCGUUUCGGAGCCUCCAAUCGCGAUCUGACGGUCCGAAACAGAGGGGGGUUUAGGUGGGCUGCAAGAGUGGAAGUGGACUGUGGAGAGCGGGUUGUGCUGAGAGAAGAGAAGAGAGAGAGAGACCCGGCGACUGUCUCCGGAGACCGAAAACGUCCGACGUUAGACCGGCUACUAUUGCCGCUAUAUUUACCCGUUGGGGCGUCAAACGAACUCCGAUUGCGAUGAAACUUGACAGGCGGUCUGUCUAUACUAUAAUAAGACCGCACACCAAAUUUCAACCCAAUCCGAGAACAUUUUCCGGCCACUUAUAAAAUAAUAUUUCGGACAUGCCGCGGACGCGUGCAAGUGUGUCUAGACUCAGAACGGACAACGGAGAAAACGAGGAGGCCGGGAUGGAUGCAAGUUUUGAAAACAUGAAGAUGCAAUGCACAUGAUGACAUGAUAAGAUGCAACACGCAAGCAAAUGACAUGGCAACGACGGCGAAUAACGGGAAGACACGUGGCACAUCGGUCUCGGAGCGUUACAAACGCGUGGGCCGUUUUGCUAUAUAUAGUAGCUAAUAUAAACUCAGGAAUCAGCAGCAAAAGUUCUUUCAAGUCUCUUCCAGGCCGAAUUAGAGAUGGGAAACGAUAUGCCUUCCAAGCGCAUGUGUGCGUCCGGACGGAGAGGGGAAGCACAAGUAGUCGGUUUUGGACUGGAUUACCAACUGGACUCCUGCACGAAUAUAAAUCUCUGGCAUUCGAGUCGGACAGUACCAUAGGCUGAUGGAUAGGGGACCGGCUACUGGUCAAUCACCUGAUUUUGGGAAAUGGGCCAGUCGAUUCCUAACCAAUCGACUGAACCAAAAUUGUGGUCAGCCAAUUUUAGUGUUAUAGCACACCUUAAGUCUUUCUGCAUAUAAAACCAACAAAGGCUCACAAGACUUCAUGGGCCAAUGCAAAACAAUGGCCCGUUGAUAAACAAAAACAAAAAUAGAGAAAACAAACAAAAAUGCAGACAACUUGCAAAAAAAAUUGCACAUUUGUACGAUAUGCAAAAAUAAGCAUAUAGGAGUGCAAUUUAUGCAAAAAAGAAAUUUUGUAAGAAGGAAUGAAUUAUUUAUUUUAUAUUUGCAAUCUCACACAUGUAUAUUUAGUUUUAUAGAUGCAUACAAUACAUAUAUGCAUAGGAAUAUAUCAAGGGCCUCUUUGAUUCAUAGGAUUUUGAAAACGUAGGAAUAGGAAAAGCGUAGGGUUGGAGUGGCAAUGCCCAUUUGAAUCCUAUAGAAUUAGCAGUGAUUGUUUGAUGUCACGGGAAAAACAAAGGAAUUGUAAAAAGAGGUUGGAUUGGAUGUUAAAUUUCCUAUGAAAUGUAGUACAAAAGAUUCCAUAGGAAAAAUUCCUAUGGGAUCCAAUCCUAUGAAUCAAAGGACCAACAUAGGAAAAAAAUCCUAAGGAUUUCAAUCCUCCAGAAAUCCUAUAAAAUUCCUUUGAAUCAAAGAAGCCCCAAAAUGUAUUAUUAUGAUGAAAAAUAAGCAUACACUAGUGAGAUUUCCGCGAAAAAUAGUGUUUACUAAAAAGUAAUGGAUUGUAACAUCGGUAUUACCUUUACAAAUAAAAUAAAAUGAAAACUAAAACAAAAUAAUAAAUAAUAAAUUAGUGGCAUUGGCAUUUGAUCGACGGUGUCUCUACUUCUCCGGAUCAAAAUAAUGAAUAUCGGUAUUACCGUUUAAGAAGAAAGAAAAGUAAAAAAACAAUAAUGAUAAAAUUUGUACACAGUUUGAAUAGAAAUUGCACUUUUUUAUAAUACGCAAGAAUAAGCACAAAUGGUGAAAUUUCACAAAAAAAUUCCUAAGUAGGAAUGAAUUAGAGGUAUUGGUAUUACCCUUAAGAAAUAAAGAAAAUAAAAUAAAAACUUAAACAAAAUUACAAUAGUGAAGUUUUCUAAGAAACAAUGAAUUAGUGUCAUUGGUUUAUUGUUAAGAAGAAAGGUACUGAAAAUAAUAAAACAAAUAAUGAAAUAAUCUGUAAACAAUUUGCACAAAAGUUGUGCAUUUUUAGUGUGCAUAUAAUCAUGAAUUUUUGGCACAUAUUAUAUUCUAUUUGUUUGUAUAUAAUUACACUCAGCCAAAAACCCACAAAAAACAAAAAUAACCAAUAAAGGAAAGAAAGAGGGAAAAAGAAAAACCCAUAGAAACAAACAGAAAAAAAAGGGAAGCAAAAAUACCCUAAAAUAGGAAAGAAAAUGAUACAAAAAACUAAAAGUAUACUGUGACAAAAUUUGCAUAUAAUCUGCACAUAAAUUGCGCUUUGUUAUAAUAAGCAAGAAUAAGCACAUAAUAGUGAACUUUUUCCCAAAAAGAAAAUUUUCUAAAGAAAGAACGAAUUAGUGGCAUUGAUAUUUGAUCCAUGGUGUCUCUACUUCUCCAGAUCAAAAUAAUGAAUUAGUGGUAUGGGUACUACCUUUUAAGAAGAAAGAAAAGUAAAAAAACAACAAUGACAAAAUUUGCACAAGGCUUGAAUAGAAAAUGCGCUUUUUUUCUAAUAUGCAGGAAUAAGCACAAAUAGUGAAAAUUCACAAAAAAAAAUCCAAAGUAGGAAUGAGUAGGUAUUGGUAUUACCCUUAAAGAAUAAAGAAAAUGAAAUAAAAACUUAAACCAAAUUAAAAUAGUGAUUUUUUUGUAAGAAACAAUGAAUUAGUGUCAUUGAUUUCCCAUUAAGACAAAAGGAACUGAAAAUAAUAAAACAAAUAAUAAAAUAUUUAGCGAACAAUUUGCACAGAAGUUGCGCAUUUUUAAAAUAUGCAGGAAUAAGAAUAUAAUAGUGUAAUUUUCACAAAAAGGAAGUUUCCCGAGAAGCAAUGAAUUUGUGGCGUUGGUCUUAUCAUUAAAGGAUAAGGAAAUAAAAUAAUACUAAAAAACUGAAAUACCAAAGUUUUCAAGAAAGAAUGAAUUAGUGGCUUACGUAUUACUCUUUAAGAAAAAAUAAAAUGGCAUAGAAACUAGAACAAAAUCAAAACAACGAGGUUUCUAAGGAAGAAACUAGAACUAAAACAAAAUCAAAAUAAUAAGUUUUUUUAAGAAAGAAUAAAUUUGUGUCAUUAAUUUUACUCUUUAAGAAAAACAAAAACAAAUUAAUUAAUUAAAAUAAGGAAGAAUGAAUUAGUAGCAUUACUAUUACCUAUUAAAAAUAAAAAUAAAAGUUUGCAAAACUUGCACACAACUUCGCUCUUAAAUUACACUAAUUUAGUAGGCAAACAAUAAUUAUAUAGUAGCGCAAUUUUCGCACAUAUUGCAAAUUAUUUAAGUGUGUACAUUACAUUCACCCAACAUCCCAGAAAAUAUCAAGAAAAUAAAAAAAACCAACUAACAAAGAGAAACAAAAAAACAAAAGUAAGAGCACAUAAAAAUAAAAAGAUAUUUAAAAAACGAAGAGGGAGAGAGGAGGGCUGGUACGCACAAUUGAUGGGCUCUGGCUCAGAAGGAAAUCGACUGGCUCAAAUAAGGGGCCAGACAAAAAAAGAAACCCACACAACAAACAACAUAGGUCAGGAAAAAAAACGCAGCACGAAUGUCAGAGAAAAAUCAAUGGUCACAAAAUUGACUGAUCCAAAAGUGAUAUUUCAGCUGACUAAAAUGUACUCCCUUUGUCCGGAAAUACUUGUCCUAGAAAUGGAUAAAAUGGAUAUAUCUAUAAUUAAAAUAAGUCUAGAUACAACCAUUUCGAGGACAAGUAUUUUCGGACGAAGGGAAUAGCUAAAGUGGAUGAAUACAUAUAUACGGGGACGCCGGCGCCUGGUCAACCACGUACCAACGACGACAUAACCCGUUUGCCGCGACACAGGACGAACAAAUUCACGAUGUGCUCCGUGGCCGGAACGAGGCAUGCCCUUCCUCCUAGGAAGGCGCCGAGCUACGCAGGCUGCAAGCGGACGCUUGCGGGCGCUCUGAUGGUGCCACCACACCUGGCCGACGAGCCCAUCGAGGCCGUGCCGCUGGCCGUCUCCUCUCCCAAGGACAAGGAGAGAGCCGAGCCGCGGACCCGCGGUGGAUACGCGCGCCUGCUCCCCUACCUGAGGCUCCGUGUUAACCCGCCGAAAAUAUAUAUUAGAGCACAUGCACCAGGUCCUUUUUAUCUAGUCAUUCAUUUUCUGUUUUAAGAUUCAUGCAAAUACAUUUUUCUUUUUUGUUUCUUCCACAUGAAACAUAUCUUGAAGUUCAAACCUAUGUAGUGUGGCAAAGCUUUUUAAAUAGAAUCUAGGAUAAAUAUUUUAGAUUUUCUUGUCAAAUAUAAAUGUACAAAAUACGUAUUGUUUGAUUAAAAAAUCAUAUUUUUAGUAUUUAUGUUGGACAAAAAAUUCUGAAAGAUUUAUCCUAGAUUCUAGUUAGAAAGCUUUGCCACGCUGCAUAGGUUUGAACUUCAAAAUAUGUUCUAUGUGAGAGAAACAAAAAAGAAAAAAAUUUAUAUAAAAAGUUAGUUGUGUCACACGGAUCUUAAAGCGAUAUUGAAGAGUUAGAUAGCAGAGCCUGGGUGCAAGGGCUCUAAAAAUCCAUGUCCGUUAACCUGCCCGUGCACUUCAUCGACGAGAAGACGGUGACCGCCACCGAAGUGGACCCGCAGCAAAACCGGUUCCGCCUCCCGGUCGACGGCGUGAUGCGCAACCUCCGCCCGGUCCUCUCCACCCUCGACCUCCAGGCCGCCAACCUGCUGCACGACGAAACCCUGAGGCCAAGGCUGCCCAAGCUCGUCCCUGCCCUUGGGGCUGGGGAGGAGAAGGCGGUGAGGAAGAAGAGACGGGGGAGGAAGCACGGCGACAAAACUUUGACCUCUUUUGAAGAAAAGACAAAAAUUUGGCCAAAAUAGUGUGAAUAGUGAGCUAUAAUAGCAAAUAAAAAAUUUGCCCUGAAGUCAAGGCUGGAUUUUUAUACGUGAAAAUUUAUAUACUAGUGCAAAAGAAAGUGAAGUUUAUGCUAAAAAAACUUCUGAACUAUUUUUGACUUGUUGUAACUAAUUAAAAAAAUCCAUAUACGGUGUUUUGGAGGAUUUUUUGCAAAAAAAUAAUUCGAAAAUGAUAUUUUCAGGUUUUAAAAAAUUAAAAUAAUCCUGUCAAAAGUUGUACAUAUUUGCGGCGGGUCAGUAAAUUUUCGUUCAAAAUAUUAUGAUUUGCAUGUUGUGCAAAAAAAAUUCCUGGCCUAUAACAACAACAAAAAUUGGACAAUUUUCAUGUACGUAUUUGUCUUUUUUCCCUAUGCCAUAUGAAAGUAUAUUGUUAUAAAACAUUUUCUCGAACAUGCUAUGCAUUUAUUUCUAUAUCAGGGUUUUUUUGCGCUAUGAAAGCAUGAUAUUUCCGAGCCCGGCCUCUAUUGGUCAUUUCCAAAGGGCCCCCCUUUUGAAGUGCCCCUACACUAUUAGCACUUGGAACAUGGUCAGGUCUUGGUCAGGGUUUUUGCAAUGGUCGGUCUCAGUGGCGGGAUUCGGCGGCAGUUAUCUAUACUAAGUCUCUUGAUGUUGCAAAAUUAAUUAGGAAGGUCAAGUUUAAGCAUUAUAUUAGAAGAGUUAAUGUAGUGGCUCAUGAGCUAGCAAAGUUUAAUUUUUUUAAAAAGAUUUCUAAUUAUUGGAACGAUGAUCCUCCAAACUUCCUACUUGAGUGAUCUCAAAUUAUGUAAUUAUUAUUUGAAUUUCAAUAAAGCUAGCAAUGAUUGUCUUCCCUCAAAAAAAAAAUCUUGGUCAGGUUUUUCGUUUUUUACCUUCACUCGAGCGAUUGGAGUCAAAUGAGAGAUGUUGUGGAGAGUGGUCUAUCGGGCUGGGGCGGCCAGGAGAGUAGUCUUUUUAUUUUUGUCACAACCUUGUUGUUGUUUCUUAUGUUUGUGACAGUCUCUUACUUAAUACUCCCUUCUACUAAAGUUGAGACACUUAUUUUAGUUCCCGCCAAAAAAGGCAUUUAUUUUAGGACAAAGGGAGUGGUAGAUUGAGGCUCUUUGCAACAACAAAAAAGAUUGAUGCAAAGUUUUCUCCUCUACUAUCCAAAGAAAAGAAAAGGGUUUAGCUCUCCAAGAAAUGUCAUUGCAAUUUUGUUCCUGUAUUUAUUUAUUUUUUGAAACAGAGGCAAAAGCUUUGCUUCAUCUCGUUAAGAAAGAAGGAGUAUAAAACAAAGUCUCAAUGAGGGCCACUACUCCUCAACAAAUGUGAAAACAAAAAGGACUGCUCUCGCGGCAUUAAGAAUCCUAAGUGUUUAGCCCCGGCCAAAACCCAAUUUCUGGCCUCCACCUUGAUGCCCUCUAGCACCAUGGUAGACAUUGAGGAUUUCUUCUCGAACACCCUCGUGUUUCUCUCUUUCCAAACCUCCCAAGAGACUAGCAUUAUAAGCAAAGAGGUCGCCUUCCUCCGGUGUCCGCGACUAAGGGCCGUUCUAGUCCAGCACUCAUGGACCGAAGAGAUUCCAGCCCAGUCGGCGGUGUCAAGCUCCGGUGUGUCAAGCCAACAUCUCACCACAUUCCAAAUGCACAUGGAGAACCUACACUGAAACAUAAUAUGUGCCACCGUCUCUGGCUCCCUCUUGCAGAGUUGGCAUAAAUUAUAAUUUGGCUACCAUCGCCGCUGUAGUCGGUCCGCCUUCCAAAUCAUGUUCUCGUUGAUGAGCCACACGAAAAACUUGCACUUGGAGGGGGGGGGGGCAGUUUCCCCAUACCACUUUCUUCAUGUUGGUUGCCACCGCCCCUUCAAAUUGCGCCAUGUAGUACGAGGCGGACGAGUAUGUGCCAUUGGUUGUGAGGUUCCACUUGAAGUCAUCGGCUAGGUCAUCCCGAAGUUCAACCUGGCUAAGCUUCUCCCAAAGCGUGCAGAACGGUGCAAUAUGGUAAACCGAAGGCCCAUCCUCCAUGUUAAUCCAGUGUACCAAAUUUUGAUCCUGCGUGGCCUCCUUUACAGAUUUGUUCUUGUUGGAUGAGCUCGCGAACACGAGCGGGGCGAUGUCCUUGGGCUUCUAUCCUUCUAGCCAUGGGGAGUGCCAAAAAUGUGUCGUCCGACCGUCCCCCCACGGUGAUAGUUGUCGCCUCAUAAAAGAGCUCUCUAUCCGUGGAGUCGCAUGGGUUUCCCAUGCCCACCCAAGGUCUAUCGGGUUCCUUCCAUUCGUACCAUAGCCAUCUUAGGCGCAAAGCUCCCGCAUAUAAGUGAAGGUCGAGGACUCCCAAACCGCCCAGGCUCUUUGGUCUGCACACGGCCUUCCGGUUGACCUUGCAUUGCCCACCAAAGACCUUCUCAGCUCCCUCCCAAAGGAAGGCCCUCUCAAGCUUAUUGAGAUUGCACAAAGUACUCUCAGGGAGUUUAAUCGGUGUGGCAUGGAAAGUGGUCUGGGAUGUGGUCACUGAUCUAACCAACUCGGCUCGCCCAGCCGCCGUGAUGAACCGGCCUGCCAAGGUACCAACUUCCCUGCAGCUUUGUCCACUAAGUGUUGAAGAUCUUGUUAGAAACCCAGGCCUAGCUCCCGGUCCAUCGGCAUAUGUUCGGAUGUUUUCGGUGCGCAUCGGACACUCCACUAUAAGCGGAGAGCCCACUACAUCCCAAAAGACUGGCCUGAAGGGAGUGUGGCACUCUCCCUUAUAAGGAGGUCCUAGCCUCCUCCCAUAUCCGAGGUGGGACUAAAGUCACCGGUGUUGCCCAAGGUCAGGUUCCUGACACCCCGCCCCCCUAGAGAAAGCCCCCUUAGGGUGGCGUGGGGCCCAACUCUGAUACCACUUGUUAGCAACCCCGGCCCAUCGGCAUAUGUUCGGACGUUUCCAGUGCGCAUCAGACACUCCACUACAAGCGGAGAGCCCACUACAUCCCAAAAGACCGGCCUGAAGGGAGUGUGGAACUCUCCCUUAUAAGGAGGUCCUAGCCUCCUCCCAUAUCCGAGGUAGGACUAAAGUCAUUGGCGUUGCCCAAGGUCAGAUUCCUGACACCGUGAUGAACCAACUCGGCGGGACCAACUUGGCUCGCCCAGCCGCCGUGAUGAACCGGCCCUGCCAAGGUACCAACUUCCCUUUGGCUUUGUCCACUAAGUGUUGAAGAUCGAUUUUCCUGAGCCGGUGGACGGACAAUGGGAGGCCGAGGUCGUUUUUCUGUCAUUGUAUGGAUGAAAUCCCUGGUUCAAACCGGUGUAUAUAAUUGGUUCAAACAUAUAACCAAUGCAUGGAUGAGUUUCCUUGGAUCCAGGCAUUUAAUUGUUUUGUUUGGUGCAUCUACGUGGCUUGUUUUCAGUUUAUGUACAAUCUUUUUCUAGAUAGGGUAUACGAUGACAUGAUAUAUGUCACUUGGCCUGCUGAAAUCAGUCUCUACAUAUUUGAAGCGCAUUUGUCCUAAUUAGGCCCUGGCAUUCUUAAGCAAGCAAUUAGCCAUCAACAAGCCUUUUUUUUAGAGAGCAACGCUGACCCUUGCAUCCUGGAGCUUCUGGUACAGAUGCAUGAAAAUGUUGAAAGAAAAGCUGAACCCACUCUUACACAAGCAAAAUAAAGUCUUGUCCUGAAUUCCAUAGCCGGAUCAACAAGGGAGCGUUUUCCUUAGUGGGCACACUUGCAGUAGGCAAACCGCCUACUGUUUUCUCAAAGGCAAUGGGCAGAGUUCCUUCUCAAAAUCAAAGGUGCAGAGUUCCAUUCAACCUUUUUUUUAAUUUAUUUUUUAUUUUGGAAAGGAAUAAGAUCGAUUCCACUCAGACUUUGGCUCCUAGCAAUCUCGCUAGUCACCACACCAGCAACACAGUCAGGGGCAACAUCUGCUCAAACGCCUGCAGACCGAGCUGCGGAAGCAAAUGUGCAGCAGUAUUACAGUUUCUACUGUAGAAAAUGAAGUCUGAGACAUCUAGGGUCAGUUGAAGCAAAGGAUCACCUCUGUUUCAGUUGUCAGUUUGCAAAGACCUCCUAGUUAUGCCCUGGCAUUAAUCUGGGAUUUGAUUUUUUUUGAUAGUAUUUCAAACUCUGAAGCUAAUCUUCUUUUAUGAACAUCAUCACUGUUGGGGCAUCUGGGUUACCAAGACAUGAGUGACCACAUUUUCAAAGGAUUAGUGCAGCGUGCAGCCCAGCCUUUCAUAGAUACCUAAAAGUUAGAUAAUUCAGAUGAUUAAUCCAUAGAUUUGCACCCUGAACUUGAUGCUACAUUGGGUACUUGAAUACUAACUGAAUCUAUUCUGUAUUUUACUAUGUACAUGUGGAACAAUAACUGAAUCUAAUCGCCAGCUGAAAAGAAAAGAAAGUAAAAAAGAUUUGUGGAGUCUGUCAGACAACCACUAGGCCACCCUGGAGAGGCAUGAGCCAAUUCAGGAACGAUCCUCUACAGCCGUUGGAUUGAUCCCAUCAGGAUAAAACCCGGGCCGUUAAUCACGCUCUGGACCAGAGGUUAGAAUGCAUCAACCAGACUGAAGUGCUUGCCUCCUUAUUGGUAAAGGAUGCAGCGGUACGAGCCUAUAGAACAGAUCCUGUUCAAGUAAGGUCGUGCUUCCUUCAGCUGUGCCACGCCUUAUAAACCACCCCGUUGUCGUAUAAACUAGCGAGGUGGGACUAAUUAAGUAGAGUAGGCACAUGCAGCAGCGCCUCCUCAGGCAGAGCUUGAAAGAAGGGUCCGUGGCCCAUGUAGUUUGGCACGAGAAUGAGCAAAGCCCGGCCCAUCCAUCAGAGAAACAUUCAGCUGUGAGCCUGUGAAGAUUUCGAUCUAGUUUAAAUAUCUGGCAAAUGCUGCAGAGUCCGUACUUUUAAUGCACAAUUUCGAACAAUGCUUACUGUAACUUUUUUUUAUGACGCCUGGUUUUUGUUACCUUUACCUUUUAUACAAAAUUAAAUUACAGUCGGCCAUUACCAAAGUAACAGACAUAGUGCCAGAUUGGAGAGAAGAAGAAGGCGGCGACAACGGAACGUCACAUACAGAAGAAAAAUCUAUCGACUGAGUAGCACAGCCCUAUGCUAUUUGGUUUUGGCCUGGGAGGCUGUCACUUGGCCUGCUGAAAUCAGUCUCCAUAUUUGAAGCGCAAUUGUCCUAAUUAGGCCCUGGCAUUCUUAAGCAAGCAAUUAGCACUCUUGCCUCCUGAAGCUUCUGGUAACGGAUGCAUGAAAGUGUUGAAUGAAAAGCUGAACUCAGUCUUCCACAAGCAAAAGAAAGUCCUGUUCUGAAUUCCACAGCAUUUUCCUUACUGAGCAUACUUGCAGUAGGCAAACCACCUACUGUUUUCUCAAAGGCAAUGAGCAGAGUUCCUUCUCAGAAUCAAAGGUGCAGAGUUCCAGUCAACCUUCUUUAUCUGGCUGCUACUGAGAGACAGACUGAAUAAAAAGCACCAUGUUGCAAAGGAAGAACUUCUUUCUGCCAUCUUACCACGGUGUCAUGUGUGGUCUUCAGACAGUUUUUUAUUUUGCUUUUUGAACGGAGUAAGGUCUAUUCCGCUCAGACUUGUUCCUAGCAAUCUUGCUACUCACCACACCAGCAACAUCUGCCCAAACGGUGAGAGGCACGGACGCCUUCAGACCGAACUGCGCAAGCAAAUGUGCAUCAGUAUUACAGUUUCUACUGCAGAAAACGAAAGGAUCAUCUCUGUUUCAGUUGUCAGUUUGCAAAGUCUUCCAACCUAUUUUUGGUAAUAUUUCAAACUAAGGAAGCACUAAUUUUAUUUUUAUGAACAUCAUCACUGCUGGAGCAUCUGGGUUACCAGGACAUGAGUAAUCACAUCUUCAAAUGAUUACUGCAGCCCAUCCUUAAUAUUCUGUAUUAGCCUGUGCACAUGGAACAACAACUGAAUUUAUUCUAGAUUUACUGCAGCCCCAGCCUUCAUAUUCUGUAUUAGCUUGCACACAUGGAAGAACAAUUGAAUUUAUUCUGGAUUAACAACAACUGAAUCUAAUCGCCAGAUCCUAGCUCUACAGCCAAAAAGAGCUGGAGAAAAAAAAAGAAUUGAGGAGUCUGUCAGACAACCUCUGAGCCACCCUGCACUAGUGUGAGCCACCAGGCAGGAACGAUCCUCUACAGCCGUCAGAUGGCACCCAUCAGGUGAUCCUAGCCGUUAAUCACGCUCUGGCCCAGAGGUGAGAAUGCAUCAACCAGACUGAAGUGCUUGCCUCCUUAUUGGUGAAGGAUGCAGCGGUACGAGCCUAUAGAACAGAUCCUGUUCAAGUAAGGUCGUGUUACAUCAAGCAGCGUCACGCCUUAUAAACCACUCUAGCGUCGUCUAAGCUAGCGAGGUGGGACUAAUUAGAAAGCAGGCAUGCAGGCAUGCAGUGCUGCGCUUCCUCGAGCAGAGAGCAGAGCAUCGAAGAAGGGUCCUUGGCCAAUGUAGCUGGGCACGCGAAUGACCAAAGCCCAGCCCAUCAGAGAAACGUUUAGCUGUGCAGAUUUUGAACUACUUUUAAUGCAUACCCUUUUUGUUUUCUUUAGCUUUUAUGCGAAAUGAAAUUACAGUCGGCCAUCACAAAAGUAGCAGAUAUAUUUAUGCCAAGCUAGAGAGAAGAGGAAAACAAAAAUACAAGAACAAAACUGAGAGAAAAACGGGCGUGUUGUAACUCUGAAACAUGACAGGCAGAACAUACACUAGUUUGUUAAAGUACUUACAUUUGUUGCAUUUACUGACCCAGCUAUUUCAAAUGUAGUACAGCGGGAAAACUACUUUCUGCAACUUUCAUUCGGCGACGCUCACGUCGUCCCCUACGUGGAUGAAAUGAAGCCCACUUUGGAACAUGGUUUCAAACUGAAACCCACUUUGCAACAUGGUUUCAACGGGAUGAAAUGAAGCCAAGAUGGGCAGGGGCAGUACCAAGAAACAGGAGCAUCAGCAAUGAUUAAUAGGUAUUAAUUUCUCAUCACGUCUCUGAAAAACAGGAUCAGUUCAUCAGGCAACAACGAACGCCGACAGCCUGAUCGAGAGCAGCACGUCGUCGGGGCCUUGCCUGGUGAACACAAAGCAAGUUUGUGCGUCUGUGUUCAAUUGUGGCUCCCAAGCACCACUGAUACAACUGGCGUCGGUCUAUCGGCAAGGGGCUCUAUUCUUCUUCUGCAGAUUGUGAUUCUUGUUUAACCUGAAAAAUAGAAUACUCUACAUGAGAGUGAAAAGAUGGUACAGACAGACAAUCGGAACAGGUGAUUUUCGUGUGAUACAAGUGGGUGCAGAAUGCAGACAUAAGGUACUUCUCGAAGGCGACGACUUCUCAUGCAUGGAUAAUUUUGUACUGAUCUUUUAUAUACUGAUUUUGCACUAAUGACAGAGCAAGAUCUCUGGACAUAUGAACUGGAAUUUCGUUCACCUGGAUACUCUUCUACCUCACAGGUGUAUCAAAUUAUGUACUCCGGCGGUCAUGAAACCCUCCUGCUUUUAAAUGAAGAAGGAAAUCUUGCUGUCAAAGGAAGCAUCAUUCUUUUUUACCGGCCACUGCUAAGUGACUGGGUGAAUACAGUCAAAACAAGGCUUCACCUCUGAUUCAGUUAGCAGUUUGCAAAUUCCUCCUAAUUGUGCCCUGGCAUUAAUCCAGGACAUGCUCUUUUGGAUAGUGUUUCAAACUCUUAAGCAAGCAAUUGAUAAUCUUUUUUAUGGGGGUUAACAGAACAUCAAAGGAUUGCUUUAAAAAUGUUGGAAGUUGUUGAAAGUUGAGCUGGACUUAGCUUUCCAUAGAGCUCUCUUUCUGAAUUGCCAGCCUCAUAUAUAUGCAAGCAAACCUAUAUGGAAAGUCUCCUGAAUUGCCGAUCCCUCAUGUAAACCUUUUUUUUUUGAAACCGAGGCAAAAGAUUUGCCUCAUAUAUUAAUUAAGUAGAUAAGAGGUUUUGUUACAAUAGGCACCCUUACACGGCAUGAGUGAUUACUCGUGCAAAAUAAUGGCCCCUAAUUUCAUGUAAACCUAUUUGGAACUCUGUACAUACUCAGGAACGAUCCUCUACAGCCGUUGGAUGCACCCAUCAGAUGAACCCAGGCCGUUAAUCACACUCUUGCCUCCUUAGAACAGAUCCUGCUCAAGUAAGGUCCUUUUAAACUGGUUUAGCGGCGCCUAAACUAGCGAGAUGGGACUAAUCGCAGCGGCAUGCAGCAGCGCCGCGCUUCCUCUCGUUCUCUGUUCCUUUCUAUCUGAAAAAUGCGGCAUGGCUUUGAUCAAUGCCAACUUUAUUUUCUUCAUGAAAGCUAGUUAAACUAGUCUUAACCAGUGGGAAGACUACUUGCUGCAACUUCCAACACAAGCUUUGAAGAAACUCCAGCCACUUGUUUUUUAUCUCCAUUAUGAAAUCUCCAUUAUUUACUGCUUUUCUUCUACAGAACUUCAUCAUUACUCGAUCAAUUCCGUUCUACGGAACUUUAUUUGUACUCAAUCAAUUCCAUUUGUGAAAAUACUACUAGAUCAAAAAAUAGGAUGCAGCAACAACCAGAAACUGCAACAGAAGCGAGUACGACUGAAAGAGGCCACACAAGAGGUAUAGAUAAAACUGCAUCAUCUUUUCUUCAUCCGGCUAUAUAAUAACAAAACGAAAAAACAUCAGAAGGAAGUAACAGCAGCAGCAGCAAAGAGAGUUCUCUACAACUCGGCCAACAGACUAAUAACAGCAGUCUCCGCGAACAAACCCGACCACCCCCGACCACAACACAAAGUAAGUAGAGCACCAAUUAUCCAUGUCUCCUCCCCCCUACUAACCCAUUACAAAAAUUGGUUCCCCUUUUAAACCAUCUACAGCUCAUCAUGGUCCUCGUCGUCGACGCCGCCGUCGGCGCCCUCGCCGCCGGGAGCUCCGCCGGACCUCUGGUACACCGCCGACACGAUGGGGUUGCACACGGCCUCCACCUCCUUGAGCUUCUCCUCGUAGUCCUCCUUCUCGGCCGUCUGGUUCUCAUCCAGCCACUCGAGCGCCUCCUUGAGGGCCUCCUCCACCUUCUCCUUCUCCUCGCUCUCCAGCUUGUCUGCCAGCUUGUCCUUGUCGCCGACGGUGUUCUUCAUGUUGUAGACAUAGGUCUCGAGCUGGUUCCGGGCGUCGAUGCGCUCCUUCACCUUCUUGUCCUCCUCGGCGAACUCCUCCGCCUCCUUGACCAUCCGGUCGAUCUCCUCCUGGCUCAGGCGGCCCUUCUCGUUGGUGAUGGUGAUCUUCUCCGACUUGCCCGUGCCCUUGUCCUCGGCCUUCACGUUCAGGAUACCGUUGGCGUCAACCUCAAAGGUGACUUCGAUCUGAGGAGUGCCCCUGAAAGUUGAGUUGCAGACAACAACACACAAUCAGGAAACCUGACAUAUAUUGCACCAGAUGUUUAUAUUCACGUUAUCUCUGAAUUUGAUAGGUACAAACCUUGGAGCUGGGGGAAUGCCAGAAAGGUCAAACUUGCCGAGAAGACGGCAGUCCUUAGUCAUACUGCGCUCACCCUCAAAGACCUGAACACAGUAGCAGAUAUAUGUAAGAGUCAAGCUCCAGCAGACUGAUACUUGGAAGUUUCAGAGAGGGAAGCAGAUCGCUCAUUGUAUGUUACCUGGAUGGAGACGGUGGUCUGCUGGUCCUGGUAGGUGGUGAAAACCUGCGACUUCUUGGUGGGGAUGACAGUGUUCCUGGGGAUCAGCUUGGUCAUGACUCCUCCAACAGUCUCAAUACCGAGGGUGAGGGGCGCCACAUCGAGGAGGAGGAUAUCUGUAUAAAGAUCAGAUCACAGAAGUGUAAGUAGGAUGCUUCACACCAGCAGGUAAAGAGAAGAGGGUAGUAGUAAGAAGAUUCAUCCUACCCUUGGUCUCGUCACCGCCCUCGCCGCUCAAGAUGCUUCCCUGCACUGCAGCUCCGAAGGCAACAGCCUCAUCAGGGUUCACACCCUUGUUUGGCUCCUUGCCAUCAAAGUAGUCCCUGAGGAGCUGCUGGACCUUGGGAAUCCUGGUGCUGCCACCAACAAGAACAAUCUCGUGGAUCUGGGUCUUCUCGAGGCCAGCGUCAUCCAUGGCCUUCUUCACGGGUCCCAUGGUCUUGCGGAACAGGUCGUUGUUCAGCUCCUCGAACCUGGCACGGGUCAGUGGCUCCGAGAAAUCAGUCCCGUCGAAGAGGGACUCGAUCUCAACACGGACCUGGUGCUGGUUGCUGAGGGCUCUCUUGGCACGCUCAGCUUCCCUCCUCAGCUUUCCAAGAGCACGGUUGUCCUUGCUGAUGUCCUUGCCGUGCUUCUUCUUGAUCAACUUGAUGAAGUAAUCCAUGAUUCUGUGGUCAAAGUCCUCACCUGGAGAGAAUAUACAGCUAAGUUAUAUAUGGGCCAAUAAAAUGCACAACACACAGCUAAUGAGAUAAGACAAAUUAAUCAUGAUCACAUCAUUUGAGCUCCUUUGUCAAGUAAAGCAGUACAUAGUCAACUGAAAGAUUACUCAGGAGUGUUGUGUGACCAAUGAACAUCAAUUGCAAGAUGUGCCAUCAAAUUAUUUGUUCUAUAUUGAAAUAUUUAGGGAUAAUCAUGUCUUUAUUAAACGCCUAUAUAGCAGCAUCAUAUUGUCUAUAUGCAGUGCUCAGUCAAUCCCAAUGGCAUUGUAAUAAAACGUAUAGCAGCAAAUGACAAAGAAAAGUUGUUAUACCUCCAAGAUGGGUGUCACCGUUGGUGGCCAACACCUCAAAGACGCCAUUGUCAAUGGUCAAGAUACUGACAUCAAAAGUACCACCACCCAGGUCAAACACCAGGAUGUUCUUCUCGCCACCCCUCUUGUCCAAACCAUAGGCAAUAGCAGCAGCAGUGGGCUCAUUGAUGAUCCUAGCCACAUUGAGGCCAGCAAUCACUCCAGCAUCCUUGGUCGCCUGUCUCUGUGCAUCAUUGAAGUACGCUGAAAACAGGAACAAAUAGAAGUGAGCAAUGACAUUCAUAGAAUCAACAGUUCAAGUAAGCAACUGAAUUGCACCAUUACUAACCAGGAACAGUGACGACGGCGUCAUUGAUCUUCUUGCCAAGGUAUGCCUCAGCAGUCUCCUUCAUCUUUCCAAGAAUCAUAGCACUGAUCUCCUCAGGGCUGAAGACCUUGGUCUCUCCAUCCUUGAUCUUGACCUGAAUGUAAGGCUUCCCCUCCUUGUUCACAAUCUUGUAGGGGACAAGUUUCAUGUCCCUCUGGACCUCCUUGUCCUCAAACCUGGAAGAAAAUGUUAAAAGGUCAGGCACCACAAAUCAACACAACACAAGGAUGCUUAAGCGGAAGAACAGGAAAGCAGUAUUACUUUCUCCCAAUGAGACGCUUGACGUCAAAGACGGUCCUCUCAGGGUUGACAGCCGCCUGGUUCUUGGCAGCCUCACCGAUGAGCCUCUCCCCAUCGGUGAACCCAACCCAUGAGGGCGUGAUACGGUUACCCUGGUCAUUGGCGAUGAUCUCAACAUGACCGUUCUUGUACACGCCAACACAUGAGUAUGUGGUACCCAGAUCAAUACCGAUCACGGUACCAAGCUUCUUGGCCUCCUCCUUCGCAGCACAAAGUGCAAACAGUGAUCCUGCACACACAGCAGCAGUAGGUGGUAAGCAAUAUUCUCAAUUAUUUAACCCAAUCUCAAUGGCAUUAACAGACAGCAGCAGAAUUCAAAAUACCACACUGGUUCAGCUGAUUUCAGUGAGAUUCAAUUCGGGCACCAUUGCCAAUUGUUAUUAUCUCCCCUGUAACCGAAACAUUUACCCUAAGGCGCUACUUUAAGUGUCACUAGUACUACUAUAAUGAUAAUGAAAUCAUCAUGCAAAGCCCUUGCAACUCUUGAUCAAACUGUCCUAAACUCUUGCAUAAGCGAGAAGCGGAAUUGCGAGCCUGCAGCAGCAUCCUACCAAUUUUAAGGACAGAUCGCGGGAGCAAUUAAUGCAACAGAACAACUGAACAAUUCAUAUCGGCGGGGGUGCAGCACUAGACCUAAGCCCUCUCCACCCUACGAGCAACUAAACCACGGAUCAAAGCGUCCCUACAGCAUGCAUCGAAAUCUAGAUCACGCAGCCCACGGCCCGCAAGCAACGAUCCCAGCGAAGCGGCACAGCGAUUCAAAAUAACCAGCUCGAUCCGUCACCCUCGACCGCCCCGGAUCGAGCUCCGGGAACCGAACACGCAGAUCUGGCGGAACGAAACGAAACAGAGCAACGGCAAGAGAUCGGGAUCGAGACCGGGACCGCGCAUACCUGCGAGCAGGACGCCGAGCAGCAGCGCGGAGCCGCGGAGCCGAUCCAUCGCCACGACGACGCGCCUCUUCUCGAGCUUCCCGGAGCCUUCCUCCUCCUCCUCUCGGCCUUGUCUCGAUCCCGUCUGCGGAAGUGGGUUUGAGUUUUAAGGAGACUGCGCCGUGUGUGUGAGAUUUAUAUACGGCGGGGCCGGAGGUGGCCAGAUCCCCCGUCGCGCUGGCCGGAACGUCACGGGGCCAAGCUGGGCGAAUCGGGUGCGGGCACGUGGCGGCCCGGGCCAAUCGGGGCGGACUCUGUGCUGGGGUCGCCGCGGCCGUCCGUGCCGCCCAUCCGACGGCCCCGGCGCGCCCCCUCGACGCGGAGCGGCCCGAUUGGCUCGCGUCGCGUGGAUGGAACGGAUGGAUGGUUCUCGUUCGUUCUGUGCCGGUCGGUCGACGUCUGGCCGGUGGGUCCGCCCGGGGUUGCUCUCUCAGGCAAGGAAGCAACGACCUGUCUGGUGUUUUCCAGAGGCAGAAUGCAGGUUUCGAAUUGGUACGUUGGGGGUUUCAACAAGAAUCUUGCCGAUUUGAGCCGUGGCACUUUGGAUUAUAAUUGAACUGAAUGAAAUUUAAGAAAACAGCGCGACGAUUGCGUGAAUGGACUUGUCGCGACGCCCGGCUCGAGCGCGAGUGAGCACAGGGCCUGGUGGGCCCACAAGGCAAUUUUCGCCGAUGCGCGAGGUCAGUGGUCCAGUUGUCGUAACGCUAAGAAGUUAGCGAGCGUUACCGAUUUGAGGCGUUACGGUUUUGAUUCUUAAAUUGGAUAUCUUUUUUAAAGACACCAACUAGCAUGCUGGCGAAUGGACUUGUUGCGACGCCCAGCUCGAACGCGACAGAACAGGGGACUCGAUGGGCCCACUCGGUAGUUUCAUCAAUGCGCAAGGUCAAUGGUCCAGCUGUCAUCAUGCCAAGAAUUUAGUGAGUGUUACUAAUUUGAUGUGUGGUGGUUUUGAUUCGUAAAGUGGAUAUGUUUAUUAAAGACACCAAGAAGCGUGAUGAUCACGUGAAUGUACUUGCCCCGAUGGCCAGCACCAGUGCGAGAGAACAUGGGGCUCAUUGGGCCCACUCGGCAGUAUCAUCGAUUCGCAAGGUCAGUGGUCCAGUUGUCGUCACGCUAAAAAGUUAGCGAGCGUUACUAAUUUGAGGCAUGGCGGUUUCUAUUCUUAAAUUGUUUAUGUUUAUUAAAGACACAAAGAACCGCAAUGAUCACGUGAAUGGACUUGUUGUGACGCCCAGCUCGAACGCGACAGAACAGGGGGCUCGAUGGGCCCACUCGGCAGUUUCAUCAAUGCACAAGGUCAAUGGUCUAGCUGUCGUCACGCCAAGAAUUUAGCUAGCAUUACUAAUUUGAAGUGUGUAGGUUUUGAUUCAUAAAUUGGAUAUGUUUUUUAAAGACACCAAGAAGCGUGAUGAUCACUUGAAUGUACUUGUCGCGACGGCCAGCACCAGUGUGAGAGAAUAUGGGGAUCGUUGGGCCCACUCGGCAGUUUCGUCGAUUCGCAAGGUCAGUGGUCCAGUUGUCGUCACGCUAAGAAGUUAGCGAGCGUUACUAAUUAGAGGCGUGGCGGUUUCUAUUCUUAAAUUGGAUAUGUUUAUUAAAGACACAAAAACCGCAAUGAUCACGUGAAUGGACUUGUCGCGACGCCCAGCUCGACCGCGACAGAACAGGGGACUCAAUGGGCCCACUCGGCAGUUUUGCGGAAGCGCAAGGUUAAUGGUCCAGCUGUCGUCACGCCAAGAAUUUAGCUAGCGUUACUAAUUUGAAGUGUGACGGUUUUGAUUCUUAAAUUGGAUAUGUUUAUUAAAGAGACCAAGAAGCAUGAUUAUCACGUGAAUGUACUUGUCGCGACGGCCAGCACCAGUGCGAGAGAACAUGGGGCUCGUUGGGCCCACUCGGCAGUUUCGUCGAUUCGCAAGGCCAGUGGUCCAGUUGUCGUCACGCUAAGAAGUUAGCGAGCGUUACUACUUUGAGGCAUGGUUGUUUCUAUUCUUAAAUUGGAUAUGUUUAUUAAAGACACAAAGAACUGCAAUGAUCACGUGAAUGGACUUGUCACGAUGCCCCGCUUCAGCGCAACAGAACAGGGGGCUCGAUGGGCCCACUCGGCAAUUUCAUCAAUGCGCAAGGUCAGUGGUCCAGCUGUCGUCACGCCAAGAAUUUAGCUGGUGUUACUAAUUUGAAGUGUGACGGUUUUGAUUCUUAAAUUGGAUAUGUUCAUUAGAGACACCAAGAAGCGUGAUGAUCACGUGAAUGUACUUGCCGCGAUGGCCAGCACCAGUGCGAGAGAACAUGGGGCUCGUUGGGCCCACUUCGUAGUUUCGUCGACUCACAAGGUCACUGGUCCAGUUGUCGUCACGCCAAGAAGUUAGCGAGCGUUACUAAUUUGAGGCGUGGCGGUUUCUAUUCUUAAAUUGGAUAUGUUUAUUAAAGACACAAGGAACCGCAAUGAUCACAUGAAUGGACUUGUCGCGACGCCCAGCUUGAGCGUGAUAGAACAGGGGACUUGAUGGGCCCACUCGGCAGUUUUGUCGAUUCGCAAGGUCAGUGAUCCAGUUGUCGUCACGCUAAGAAGUUAGCGAGCGUUACUAAUUAGAGGCGUGGCGGUUUCUAUUCUUAAAUUGGAUAUGUUUAUUAAAGACAUAAAAACCGCAAUGAUCACGUGAAUGGACUUGUCGCGACGCCCAGCUCGAACGCGACAAAACAGGGGACUCAAUGGGCCCACUCGGCAGUUUUGCGGAAGCGCAAGGUCAAUGGUCCAGCUGUCGUCACGCCAAGAAUUUAGCUAGCGUUACUAAUUUGAAGUGUGACAGUUUUGAUUCUUAAAUUGGAUAUGUUUAUUAAAGAGCCCAAGAAGCGUGAUCAUCACGUGAAUGUACUUGUCGCGACGGCCAGCACUAGUGCGAGAGAACAUGGGGCUCGUUGGGCCCACUCGACAGUUUCGUCGAUUCGCAAGGUCAGUGGUCCAGUUGUCGUCACGCCAAGAAGUUAGCGAGUGUUACUAAUUUGAGGUGUGGCGGUUUCUAUUCUUAAAUUGGACAUGUUUAUUAAAGACACAAAGAACCGCAAUGAUCACGUGAAUGGACUUGUCACGAUGCCCAGCUCGAGUGCGGCAGAACAGGGGGCUCGAUGGGCCCACUCGGCAGUUUCAUCAAUGCACAAGGUCAAUGGUCCAGCUGUCGUCACGCCAAGAAUUUAGCUAGCAUUACUAAUUUGAAGUGUGUAGGUUUUGAUUCAUAAAUUGGAUAUGUUUUUUAAAGACACCAAGAAGCGUGAUGAUCACUUGAAUGUACUUGUCGCGACGGCCAGCACCAGUGUGAGAGAAUAUGGGGAUCGUUGGGCCCACUCAGCAGUUUCGUCGAUUCGCAAGGUCAGUGGUCCAGUUGUCGUCACGCUAAGAAGUUAGCGAGCGUUACUAAUUAGAGGCGUGGCGGUUUCUAUUCUUAAAUUGGAUAUGUUUAUUAAAGACACAAAAACCGCAAUGAUCACGUGAAUGGACUUGUGGCGACGCCCAGCUCGAAUGCGACAGAACAGGGGACUUAAUGGGCCCACUCGGCAGUUUUGCGGAAGCGCAAGGUCAAUGGUCCAGCUGUCGUCACGCCAAGAAUUUAGCUAGCGUUACUAAUUUGAAGUGUGACGGUUUGAUUCUUAAAUUGGAUAUGUUUAUUAAAGAGACCAAGAAGCGUGAUGAUCACGUGAAUGUACUUGUCGCGACGGCCAGCACCAGUGCGAGAGAACAUGGGGCUCGUUGGGCCCACUCGGCAGUUUCGUCGAUUCGCAAGGCGAGUGGUCCAGUUGUCGUCACGCUAAGAAGUUAGCGAGCGUUACUAAUUUGAGGCGUGGUGGUUUCUAUUCUUAAAUUGGAUAUGUUUAUUAAAGACACAAAGAACGGCAAUGAUCACGUGAAUGGACUUUUCACGAUGCACAGCUUCAGCGCGACAAAACAGGGGGCUCGAUGGGCCCACUCGGCAAUUUCAUCAAUGCGCAAGGUCACUGGUCCAGCUGUCGUCACGCCAAUAAUUUAGCUAGCGUUACUAAUUUGAAGUGUGACGGUUUUGAUUCUUAAAUUGGAUAUGAUUUCUUAAAGACACCAAGAAGCGUGAUGAUCACUUGAAUGUACUUGUCGCGACGGCCAGCACCAGUGUGAGAGAACAUGGGGCUCGUUGGGCCCACUCGACAGUUUCGUCGAUUCGCAAGGUCAGUGGUCCAGUUGUCGUCGCGCUAAGAAGUUACCGAGCGUUACUAAUUUGAGGCGUGGCGGUUUCUAUUCUUAAAUUGGAUAUGUUUAUUAAAGACACAAAAACCGCAAUGAUCACGUGAAUGGACUUGUCGCGACGCCCAGCUCGAAUGCGACAGAACAGGGGACUCAAUGGGCCCACUCGGCAGUUUUGCGGAAGCGCAAGGUCAAUGGUCCAGCUGUCGUCACGCCAAGAAUUUAGCUAGCGUUACUAAUUUGAAGUGUGAUGGUUUGAUUCUUAAAUUGGAUAUGUUUAUUAAAGAGACCAAGAAGCGUGAUGAUCUCGUGAAUGUACUUGUCGCGACGGCCAGCACCAGUGCGAGAGAACAUGGGGCUCGUUGGGCCCACUCGGCAGUUUCGUCGAUUCGCAAGGCGAGUGGUCCAGUUGUCGUCACGCUAAGAAGUUAGCGAGCGUUACUAAUUUGAGGCGUGGUGGUUUCUAUUCUUAAAUUGGAUAUGUUUAUUAAAGACACAAAGAACGGCAAUGAUCACGUGAAUGGACUUGUCACGAUGCCCAGCUUCAGCGCGACAAAACAGGGGGCUCGAUGGGCCCACUCGGUAGUUUCAUCAAUGCACAAGGUUAGUGGUCCAGCUGUCGUCACGCGAAGAAUUUAGCGAGCGUUACUAAUUUGAUGUGUGGUGGUUUUGAUUCGUAAAUUGGAUAUGUUUAUUAAAGACACCAAGAAGCGUGACGAUCACGUGAAUGUACUUGCCGCGAUGGCCAGCACCAGUGCGAGAGAACAUGGGGCUCGUUGGGCCCACUUUGUAGUUUCGUCGACUCACAAGGUCACUGGUCCAGUUGUCGUCAUGCCAAGAAGUUAGCGAGCGUUACUAAUUUGAGGCGUGGCGGUUUCUAUUCUUAAAUUGGAUAUGUUUAUUAAAGACACAAGGAACCGCGAUGAUCACAUGAAUGGACUUGUCGCGACGCCCAGCUUGAGCGUGAUAGAACAGGGGACUUGAUGGGCCGAGUCGGCAGUUUUGUCGAUUCGCAAGGUCAGUGAUCCAGUUGUCGUCACGCCAAGAAGUUAGCGANNNNNNNNNNNNNNNNNNNNNNNNNNNNNNNNNNNNNNNNNNNNNNNNNNNNNNNNNNNNNNNNNNNNNNNNNNNNNNNNNNNNNNNNNNNNNNNNNNNNNNNNNNNNNNNNNNNNNNNNNNNNNNNNNNNNNNNNNNNNNNNNNNNNNNNNNNNNNNNNNNNNNNNNNNNNNNNNNNNNNNNNNNNNNNNNNNNNNNNNNNNNNNNNNNNNNNNNNNNNNNNNNNNNNNNNNNNNNNNNNNNNNNNNNNNNNNNNNNNNNNNNNNNNNNNNNNNNNNNNNNNNNNNNNNNNNNNNNNNNNNNNNNNNNNNNNNNNNNNNNNNNNNNNNNNNNNNNNNNNNNNNNNNNNNNNNNNNNNNNNNNNAUGGGCCCACUCGGCAAUUUCAUCAAUGCGCAAGGUCACUGGUCCAGCUAUCGUCACACCAAGAAUUUAGCUAGCGUUACUAAUUUGAAGUGUGACGGUUUUGAUUCUUAAAUUGGAUAUGAUUUCUUAAAGACACCAAGAAGCGUGAUGAUCACUUGAAUGUACUUGUCGCGACGGCCAGCACCAGUGUGAGAGAACAUAGGGCUCGUUGGGCCCACUCGACAGUUUCGUCGAUUCGCAAGGUCAGUGGUCCAGUUGUCGUUGCGCUAAGAAGUUACCGAGCGUUACUAAUUUGAGGCGUGGCGGUUUCUAUUCUUAAUUUGGGUAUGUUUAUUAAAGACACAAAGAACCGCAAUGAUCACGUGAAUGGACUUGUCGCGACGCCCAGCUCGAACGCGGCAGAACAAGGGACUUGAUGGGCCCACUCGGUAGUUUUGCAGACGCGCAAGGUCAGUGGUCCAGCUGUCGUCAUGCCAAGAAUUUAGCGAGCAUUACUAAUUUGAAGUGUGACGGUUUUGAUUCUUAACUUGGAUAUGUUUAUUAAAGACACCAAGAAGCGUGAUGAUCACGUGACUGUACUUGUCGCGACGGCCAGCACCAGUGCAAGAGAACAUGGGGCUCGUUGGGCCCACUCGGCAGUUUCGUCGAUCCGCAAGGCCAGUGGUCCAAUUGUCGUCACGCUAAGAAGUUAGCGAGCGUUACUAACUUGAGGCGUGGCGGUUUCUAUUCUUAAAUUGGAUAUGUUUAUUAAAGACACAAAGAACCGCAAUGAUCACGUGAAUGGACUUGUCAUGAUGCCCAGCUUGAGCGCGACAGAACAGGGGGCUCGAUGGGCCCACUCGGCAGUUUCAUCAAUGCGCAAGGUCAGUGGUUCAGCUGUCGUCACACCAAGAAUUUAGCUAGCGUUACUAAUUUGAAGUGUGACGGUUUUGAUUCUUAAAUUGGAUAUGUUUUUUAAAGACACCAAGAAGCGUGAUGAUCACUUGAAUGUACGUGUCGCGACGGCCAGCACCAGUGUGAGAGAACAUGGGGCUCGUUGGGCCCACUCGACAGUUUUGUCGAUUCGCAAGGUCAGUGGUCCAGUUGUCGUCACGCUAAGAAGUUAGCGAGCGUUACUAAUUUGAGGCAUGGCGGUUUCUAUUCUUAAAUUGGAUAUGUUUAUUAAAGACACAAAGAACCACAAUGAUCACGUGAAUGGACUUGUUGCGACGCCCAGCUCGAACGCAACAGAACAGGGGGCUCGAUGGGCCCACUCGGUAGUUUCAUCGAUGCACAAGGUCAAUGGUCCAGCUGUCGUCGCGCCAAGAAUUUAGCUAGCAUUACUAAUUUGAAGUGUGUAGGUUUCGAUUCAUAAAUUGGAUAUGUUUCUGAAAGACACCAAGAAGCGUGAUAAUCACUUGAAUGUACUUGUGGCGACGGCAAGCACCAGUGUGAGAGAAUAUGUGGAUCAUUGGGCCCACUCGGCAGUUUUGUCGAUUCGCAAGGUCAGUGAUCCAGUUGUCGUCACGCUAAGAAGUUAGCGAGCGUUACUAAUUAGAGGCGUGGCGGUUUCUAUUCUUAAAUUGGAUAUGUUUAUUAAAGACACAAAAACCGCAAUGAUCACGUGAAUGGAUUUGUCGCGACGCCCAGCUCGAACGCGACAGAACAGGGGACUCAAUGGGCCCACUCGGCAGUUUUGCGGAAGCGCGAGGUCAAUGUUCCAGCUGUCGUCACGCCAAGAAAUUAGCUAGCAUUACUAAUUUGAAGUGUGACGGUUUUGAUUCCUAAAUUGGAUAUGUUUAUUAAAGAGACCAAGAAGCGUGAUUAUCACGUGAAUGUACUUAUCGCGACGGCCAGCACCAGUGCGAGAGAACAUGGGGCUCGUCGGGCCCACUCGGCAGUUUCGUCGAUUCGCAAGGCGAGUGGUCCAGUUGUCGUCACGCUAAGAAGUUAGCGAGCGUUACUAAUUUGAGGCAUGGUUGUUUCUAUUCUUAAAUUGGAUAUGUUUAUUAAAGACACAAAGAACCGCAAUGAUCACGUGAAUGGACUUGUCAUGAUGCCCCGCUUCAGCGCAACAUAACAGGGGGCUCGAUGGGCCCACUCGGCAAUUUCAUCAAUGCGCAAGGUCAGUGGUCCAGCUGUCGUCACGCCAAGAAUUUAGCUGGUGUUACUAAUUUGAAGUGUGACGGUUUUGAUUCUUAAAUUGGAUAUGUUUUCUUAAAGACACCAAGAAGCGUGAUGAUCGCUUGAAUGUACUUGUCGCGACGGCCAGCACCAGUGUGAGAGAACAUGGGGCUCGUUGGGCCCACUCGACAGUUUCAUCGAUUCGCAAGGUCAAUGGUCCAGUUGUCGUCACGCUAAGAAGUUAGCGAGCGUUACUAAUUUGAGGCGUGGUGGUUUCUACUCUUAAUUGGAUAUGUUUAUUAAAGACACAAAGAACCGCAAUGAUCAAGUGAAUGGACUUGUCGCGACGCCCAGCUCGAACGCGGCAGAACAAGGGACUCGAUGGGCCCACUCGGUAGUUUUGCGGAUGCGCAAGGUCAAUGGUCCAGCUGUCGUCACGCCAAGAAUUUAGCUAGCGUUACUAAUUUGAAGUGUGACGGUUUUGAUUCUUAAAUUGGAUAUGUUUAUUAAAGAGACCAAGAAGCGUGAUGAUCACGUGAGUGUACUUGUCGUGACGGCCAGCACCAGUGCGAGAGAACAUGGGGCUCAUUGGGCCCACUCGGCAGUUUCGUCGAUUCGCAAGGCCAGUGGUCCAGUUGUCGUCACGCUAAGAAGUUAGCGAGCGUUACUAAUUUGAGGCGUGGCGGUUUCUAUUCUUAAAUUGGAUAAGUUUUUUAAAGACACAAAGAACCGCAAUGAUCACGUGAAUGGACUUGUCACGAUGCCCAGCUUGAGCACGACAGAACAGGGGGCUCGAUGGGCCCACUCAGCAGUUUCAUCAAUGCGCAAGGUCAGUGGUUCAGCUGUCGUCACACCAAAAAUUUAGCUAGCGUUACUAAUUUGAAGUGUGACGGUUUCGAUUCUUAAAUUGGAUAUGUUUUUUAAAGACACCAAGAAGCGUGAUGAUCACUUGAAUGUACGUGUCGCGACGGCCAGCACCAGUGUGACAGAACAUGGGGCUCGUUGGGCCCACUCGGCAGUUUCGUCGAUUCGCAAGGUCAGUGGUCCAGUUGUCGUCACACUAAGAAGUUAGCGAGCGUUACUAAUUUGAGGCAUGGCGGUUUCUAUUCUUAAAUUGGAUAUGUUUAUUAAAGACACAAAGAACCACAAUGAUCACGUGAAUGGACUUGUUGCGACGCCCAGCUCGAACGCAACAGAACAGGGGGCUCGAUGGGCCCACUCGGUAGUUUCAUCGAUGCACAAGGUCAAUGGUCCAGCUGUCGUCGCGCCAAGAAUUUAGCUAGCAUUACUAAUUUGAAGUGUGUAGGUUUUGAUUCAUAAAUUGGAUAUGUUUUUGAAAGACACCAAGAAGCGUGAUCAUCACUUGAAUGUACUUGUCGCUACGGCCAGCACCAGUGUGAGAGAACAUGGGUAUCGUUGGGCCCACUCGGCAGUUUCGUCGAUUCGCAAGGUCAGUGGUCCAGUUGUCGUCAUGCUAAGAAGUUAGCGAGCGUUACUAAUUAGAGGCGUGGCAGUUUCUAUUCUUAAAUUGGAUAUGUUAUUAAAGACACAAAAUCCGCAAUGAUCACGUGAAUGGACUUGUCGUGACGCCCAGCUCGAACGCGACAGAACAGGGGACUCAAUAGGCCGACUCGGCAGUUUUGCGGAAGCGCAAGGUCAAUGGUCCAGCUAUCGUCACGCCAGAAUUUAGCACGCAUUACUAAUUUGAAGUGUGACGGUUUUGAUUCUUAAAUUGGAUAUGUUUAUUAAAGAGACCAAGAAGCGUGAUUAUCACGUGUAAGUACUUGUGGCGACGGCCAGCACUAGUGCGAGAGAACAUGGGGCUCGUUGGGCCCACUCGGCAGUUUCGUCGAUUCGCAAGGCCAGUGGUACAGUUGUCGUCGCGCUAAGAAGUUAGCGAGCGUUACUAAUUUGAGGCAUGGUUGUUUCUAUUCUUAAAUUGGAUAUGUUUAUUAAAGACACAAAGAACCGCAAUGAUCACGUGAAUGGACUUGUCACGAUGCCCCCUUCAGCGUGAUAGAAUAGGGAGCUCCAUGGGCCCACUCGGCAAUUUCAUCAAUGCGCAAGGUCAGUGGUCCAGCUGCUGUCACACUAAGAAUUUAGCUAGUGUUACUAAUUUGAAGUGUGACGGUUUUGAUUCUUAAAUUGGAUAUGUUUUCUUAAAGACACCAAGAACCGUGAUGAUCACUUGAAUGUACUUGUCGCGACGGCCAGCACCAGUGUGAGAGAACAUGGGGCUCGUUGGGCCCACUCGACAGUUUCGUCGAUUCGCAAGGUCAGUGGUCGAGUUGUCGUCACGCUAAGAAGUUAGUGAGCGUUACUAAUUUGAGGCGUGGUGGUUUCUAUUCUUAAAUUGGAUAUGUUUAUUAAAGACACAAAGAACCGCAAUGAUCAGGUGAAUGGACUUGUCGCGACGCCCAGCUCGAUCGCGGCAGAACAAGGGACUCGAUGGGCCCACACGGUAGUUUUGCGGAUGCACAAGGUCAAUGGUCCAGCCGUCGUCAUGCCAAGAAUUUAGCGAGCAUUACUAAUUUGAAGUGUGACGGUUUUGAUUCUUAAAUUGGAUAUGUUUAUUAAAGACACCAAAAAGCGUGAUGAUCACCAAGAAGUGUGACGGAUCGCGUUGCGCGGCCGAUGGAUCAAAGGGACCCUAGAGCAUGCAUCGAAAUCUAGAUCACACGGCAUAUGGCCCGCAAGCAACGAUCCCAGUGAAGCGGCACAUCGAUUCAAAAUAACCAGCUCGAUCCGUCGGCGGCCCGGCAGCGGCGGGAUCACCGUCACCCCCGACCGCCCCGGAUCGAGCUCCGGGAACUGAACACACAGAUCUGGCGGAAUGAAACGAAACAGAGCAACGGGAAGAGAUCGGGAUCGAGAUCGGGACCACGCAUACCUGCGAGCAGGACGCCGAGCAGCAGCGCGGAGCCGCGGACCCGAUCCAUCGCCACGACGACGCGCAACACGAUCCCUCACCCCCUCGCCUCUUCUCGAGCUUCUCGGAGCCUUCUUCCUCCUGCUCUCCGCCUUGUCUCGAUCCCAUUUGUAGAAGUGGGUUUGAGUUUUAAGGAGACUGCGCAGUGUGUGUGAGAUUUAUAUACGACGGGGCCGGAGGUGGCCAGAUCCCCCGUCGCGCAGGCCGGAACGUCACGGGGCCAAGCUGGGCGAAUCGGGUGCGGGCACGUGGCGGCCCGGGCCAAUCGGGGCGGGCUCUAUGCUGGGGUCGCCGCGGCGGUCCGUGCCGCCCAUCCGACGGCCCCGGUGCGCCCCCUCGACGCGGAGCGGCCCGAUUGGCUCGCGUCGCGUGGAUGCAUGGAUGGAUGGUUCUCGUUAGUUCUGUGACGGUCGGUCGACGUCUGGCCGGUGGGUCCGCCCGGGGUUGCUCUCUCAGGCAAGGAAGCAACGACCUGUCUGGUGUUUUCCAGAAGCAGAAUGCAGGUUUCCAAUUUGUACGUUGGGGGUUUCAACAAGAAUCUUUCCGAUUUGAGCCGUGGCACUUUGGAUUAUAUUGAACUAAAUGAAAUUUAAGAAUACAACGCGACGAUUGCGUGAAUGGACUUGUCGCGACGCCCGGCUCGAGCGUGAGUGAGCACGGGGCCCGACGGGCCCACUCGACAGUUCCGUCAAUGCCCGAGGUCAUUGGUCCAGUUGUCGUAACACCAAGAAGUUAGCGAGCGUUACCGAUUUGAGGCGUUACGGUUUUGAUUCUUAAAUUGGAUAUCUUUUUUAAAGACACCAAAUAGCAUGCUGGUGAAUGGACUUGUCGCGACGCCCAGCUCGAACGCGACAGAACAGGGGACUUGAUGGGCCCACUCGAUAGUUUCAUCAAUGCACAAGGUCAAUGGUCCAGUUGUCAUCACGCCAAGAAUUUAGUGAGCGUUACUAAUUUGAAGUGUGACGGUUUUGAUUCUUAAAUUGGAUAUGUUUAUUAAAGACACCAAGAAGCGUGAUGAUCACGUGAAUGUACUUGUCGCGACGGCCAGCACCAGAGCGAGAGAACAUGGGUCUCGUUGGCCCACUCAGCAGUUUCGUUGAUUCGCAAGGUCAGUGGUCCAGUUGUCAUCACGCUAAGAAGUUAGCGAGCGUUACUAAUUUGAGGCGUGGCAGUUUCUAUUCUUAAAUUGGAUAUGUUUAUUAAAGACACAACGAACCGCAAUGAUCACGUGAAUGGACUUGUCGUGACGCCCAGCUCUAACGCGACAGAAUAGGGGACUUGAUGGGCCCACUCGGCAGUUUUGCGGAUGCGCAAGGUCAAUGGCCCAGCUGUCAUCACGCCAAUAAUAUAGCGAGCGUUACUAAUUUGAAGUGUGACGGUUUUGAUUCUUAAAUUGGAUAUGUUUAUUAAAGACACCAAGAAGCGUGAUGAUCACGUGAAUGUACUUGUCGCGACGGCCAGCACCAGUACGAGAGAACAUGGGGCUCGUUCAUCGAUUCACAAGGUCGGUGGUCCAGUUGUCGUCACGCUAAGAAGUUAGCGAGCGUUACUAAUUUGAGGCGUGGUAGGUUCUAUUCUUAAAUUGGAUAUGUUUAUUAAAGACACAAAGAACCGCAAUGAUCACGUGAAUAGACAUGUCAUGAUGCCCAGCUUGAGCGUGACAGAACAGGGGUCUCGAUGGGCCCACACGGUAGUUCCAUCAAUGCGCAAGGUCAGUGGUCCAGCUGUCAUCACGCCAAGAAUUUAGCUAGCGUUACUAAUUUGAAGUGUGAUGGUUUUGAUUCUUAAAUUGGAUAUGUUUUCUAAAGACACCAAUAAGCGUGAUGAUCACGUGAAUGUACUAGCCGCGAUGGCCAGCACCAGUGCAAGACAACAUGGGGCUCGUUGGGCCCACUUGGUAGUUUCAUCGAUUCGCAAGGUCAGUGGUCCAGUUGUCGUCAGGCCAAGAAGUUAGCGAGCGUUACUAAUUUGAGGCGUGGCGGUUUCGAUUCUUAAAUUGGAUAUGUUUAUUAAAGACAUAAGGAACCGCAAUGAUCACGUGAAUGGACUUGUCGCGACGCCCAGCUCGAACGCGAUAGAACAGGGGGGGUCGAUGGGCCCACUCGGUAGUUUCAUCAAUGCGCAAGGUCAGUGAUCCAGUUGUCGUCACAACAAGAAUUUAGCUAGCGUUACAAAUUUGGAGUGUGACGGUUAUGAUUCUUAAAUUGGAUAUGUUUUUUAAAGACACCAAGAAGCGUGAUGAUCACGUGAAUGUACUUGUAGCGAUGGUCAGCACCAGUGCGAGAGAACAUGGGGCUGGUUGGGCCCACUUGGCAGUUUCGUCGAUUCGCAAGGUUAGUGGUCUAGUUGUCGUCACGCCAACAAGUUAGCGAGCAUUACUAAUUUGAGGUGUGGCGGUUUCUAUUCUUAAAUUGGAUAUGUUUAUUAAAGAGACAAGGAACCGCAAUGAUCAUGUGAAUGGACUUGUCGCGAUGCCCAGCUCGAACGCGAUAGAACAGGGGGGUCGAUGGGCCCACUUAGCAGUUUUGCGGAUGCGCAAGGUCAAUGGUGCAGCUGUCAUCAUGCCAAGAAUUUAGCGAGUGUUACUAAUUUGAUCUGUGGUGGUUUUGAUUCGUAAAUUGGAUAUGUUUGUUAAAGACACCAAGAAGUGUGAUGAUCAUGUGAAUGCACUUGUCGCGAGGGCCAGCACCAGUGUGAGAGAACAUGGGGCUCGUUGGGCCCACUCGGGAGUUUCGUCGAUUCGCAAGGUUAGUGGUCCAAUUUGAAGGAAAUAUGCCCUAGAGGCAAUAAUAAAGUUAUUAUUUAUUUCCUUAUAUCAUGAUAAAUGUUUAUUAUUCAUGCUAGAAUUGUAUUAACCAGAAACAUAAUACAUGUGUGAAUACAUAGACAAACAGAGUGUCACUAGUAUGCCUCUACUUGACUAGCUCGUUAAUCAAAGAUGGUUAUGUUUCCUAACCAUGGACAAAGAGUUGUCAUUUGAUUAACGGGAUCACAUCAUUAGUUGAAUGAUCUGAUUGACAUGACCCAUUAUAUUAGCUUAGCACCCGAUCGUUUAGUAUGUUGCUAUUGCUUUCUUCAUGACUUAUACAUGUUCCUAUGACUAUGAGAUUAUGUGACUCCCGUGUGCCGGAGGAACACUUUGUGUGCUACCAAACGUCACAACGUAACUGGGUGAUUAUAAAGGAGCUCUACAGGUGUCUCCAAAGGUACAUGUUGGGUUGGCGUAUUUCGAGAUUAGGAUUUGUCACUCCGAAUGUCCGAGAGGUAUCUCUGGGCCCUGUCGGUAAUGCACAUCACUUAAGCCUUGCAAGCAUUGCAACUAAUGAGUUAGUUGCGAGAUGUUGUAUUACAAAACGAGUAAAGAGACUUGCCGGUAACGAGAUUGAACUAGGUAUUGAGAUACCGACGAUCGAAUCUCGGGCAAGUAACAUACCGAUGACAAAGGGAACAACGUAUGUUGUUAUGCGGUCUGACCGAUAAAGAUCUUCGUAGAAUAUGUAGGAGCCAAUAUGGGCAUCCAGGUCCCGCUAUUGGUUAUUGACCGGAGACGUGUCUCGGUCAUGCCUACAUUGUUCUCGAACCGUAGGGUCCGCACGCUUAAGGUUUCGAUGAUAGUUAUAUUAUGAGUUUUGAUGUAGUGAAGGAGUUCGGAGUCCCCGGAUGAGAUCGGGGACAUGACGAGGAGUCUCGAAAUGGUCGAGACGUAAAGAUCGAUAUAUUGGACGACUAUAUUCGGACAUCGGAAAGGUUCCGAGUGAUUCGGGUAUUUUUCGGAGUACCGGGGAGUUACGGGAAUACGGGGGGAGAAGUAUUGGGCCUUAUUGGGCCAUACGGGAAAGAGAGAGGGGCUGCCUAGGGCAGGCCGCGCGCCCCCCAAGGCCUAGUCCGAAUUGGACUAGGGGAAGGGGCUGCGCCCCCUCCUUCCUUCCCUUCUUCGUUCCCCUUCCUUGUCUCCUACUCCUACUACAUGGAAGGACUCCUAGUUGGACUAGGAAAGGGGGAAUCCUACUCCCGGUGGUACUAGGACUCCCCUAGGGCGUGCCAUAGAGAGGGCCGGCCCUCCCCUCCUCCACUCCUUUAUAUACGGGGGCAGGGGGCACCCCAUAGACACACAAGUUGAUCAUCGUGAUCGUUCCUUAGCCGUGUGCGGUGCCCCCCUCCACCAUAUUUCACCUCGGUCAUAUUGUUGUAGUGCUUAGGCGAAGCCCUGCGAUGGUAGAACAUCAAGAUCGUCACCACGCCGUUGUGCUGACGGAACUCAUCCCCGAAGCUUUGCUGGAUCGGAGCCCGGCGAUCAUCAUCGAGCUGUACGUGUGUUGGGGAACGUAGUAAUUUCGAAAAUUUUCCUACGCACACGCAAGAUCAUGGUGAUGCACAGCAACGAGAGGGGAGAGUGUUGUCUACGUACCAACACAGACCGACUGCGAAAGCGAUCACACAACAUAGAGGAAGUAGUCGUACGUCUUCUUCCCGAUCCGACCGAUCCAAGCACCGUUACUCCGGCACCUCCGAGUUCUUAGCACACGUUUAGCUCGAUGACGAUCCUCGGGCUCCGAUCCAGCAAAGCGUCGAGGAAGAGUUCCGUCAGCACGACGGCGUGGUGACGAUCUUGAUGUACUACCGACGCAGGGCUUCGCCUAAGCACUACAACGGUAUGAUCGAGGUGGAAUAUGGUGGCAGGGGGCACCGCACACGGCUAAGGAACGAUCUCAAGGAUCAACUUAUGUGUCUUGGGGUGUCCCCUGCCCCCGUAUAUAAAGGUUGGAGGAGGGGGGGCUGGCCGGCCAGAGAGAGGGAGGCGCAGGGGGAGUCCUACUCCUACCGGGAGUAGGACUCCCCCUUCCAAUCCUAUUCCAACUAGGACUCUCAAGGGGGAAAGGAGAAAGAGAGGGGGCCGGCCCCUUCUCCUAGUCCUACUAGGACUUGGGAAAGGGGGGGCGCGCGGCCAGCUAUGGGCUUCCCCUUUUCUCUUUUCCACUAAGGCCCAAUAGGCCCAUUAGUCUCCCGGGGGGUUCCGGUAACCCUCCCGGUAUUCCGGUAAAAUCCCGAUUUCACCCGAAACAUUUCCUAUGUCCAAACAUAGGCUUCCAAUAUAUCAAUCUUUACGUCUCGACCAUUUCGAGACUCCUCGUCAUGUCCGUGAUCUCAUCCGGGACUCCGAACAACCUUCGGUACAUCAAAAUGCAUAAACUCAUAAUAACUGUCAUCGUAAUGUUAAGCGUGCGGACCCUACGGUUCGAGAACAAUGUAGACAUGACCGAGACACGUCUCCGGUCAAUAACCAAUAGCGGGACCUGGAUGCUCAUAUUGGCUCCUACAUAUUCUACGAAGAUCUUUAUCGGUCAGACCGCAUAACAACAUACGUUGUUCCCUUUGUCAUCAGUAUGUUACUUGCCCGAGAUUCGAUCGUCGGUAUCCAAUACCUAGUUCAAUCUCGUUACUGGCAAGUCUCUUUACUCGUUCCGUAAUACAUCAUCUCAUAACUAACAUCUUAGUUAUUAUGCUUGCAAGGCUUAUGUGAUGUGUAUUACCGAGAGGGCCCAGAGAUACCUCUCCGACAAUCGGAGUGACAAACCCUAAUCUCGAAAUACGCCAACCCAACAUCUACCAUUGGAGACACCUGUAGUACUCCUUUAUAAUCACCCAGUUACGUUGUGACGUUUGGUAGUACCCAAAGUGUUCCUCCGGUAAACGGGAGUUGUAUAAUCUCAUAGUUAUAGGAACAUGUAUAAGUCAUGAAGAAAGCAAUAGCAACAUGCUAAAUGAUCGGGUGCUAAGCUAAUGGAAUGGGUCAUGUCAAUCAGAUCAUUCAACUAAUGAUGUGACCUCGUUAAUCAAAUAACAACUCUUUGUUCAUGGUUAGGAAACAUAACCAUCUUUGAUUAACGAGCUAGUCAAGUAGAGGCAUACUAGUGACACUUUGUUGGUCUAUGUAUUCACACAUGUAUUAUGUUUCCGGUUAAUACAAUUCUAGCAUGAAUAAUAAACAUUUAUCAUGAUAUAAGGAAAUAAAUAAUAACUUUAUUAUUGCCUCUAGGGCAUAUUUCCUUCAACGUGUGCUAACAACUCGGAGGUGCCGGAGUAAUGGUUCUUGGAUCGGUCGGAUCAGGAAGACGUACGACUACUUCCUCUACGUUGCGUCAAUGCUUCCGCUUCGGUCUACGAGGGUACGUAGAUCACACUCUCCCCUCUCGUUGCUAUGCAUCACCAUGAUCUUGCAUGUGCGUAGGAAUUUUUGAAAUUACUAUGUUUCCCAACAGUGGCAUUCGAGCCUAGGUUUUAUGGUUUGAUGUUAUAUGCACGAGUAGACCACAAGUGAGUUGUGGGUGAUAUAAGUCAUACUGCCUACCAGCAUGUCAUACUUUGGUUCGGCGGUAUUGUUGGAUGAAGCGUCCCGGACCGACAUUACGCGUACGCUUACGAGAGACUGGUUCUACCGCCGUGCUUUGCACACAGGUGGCUGGCGGGUGUCAGUUUCUCCAACUUUAGUUGAACCGAGUGUGGCUACGCCCGGUCCUUGCGAAGGUUAAAACGGCAUCAACUUGACAAACUAUCGUUGUGGUUUUGAUGCAUAGGUAAGAUUGGUUCUUGCUUAAGCCCGUAGCAGCCACGUAAAACUUGCAACAAACAAAGUAGAGGACGUCUAACUUGUUUUUGCAGGGCAUGUUGUGAUGUGAUAUGGUCAAGACAUGAUGCUAAAUUUUAUUGUAUGAGAUGAUCAUGUUUUGUAACUGAGUUAUCGGCAACUGGCAGGAGCCAUAUGGUUGUCGCUUUAUUGUAUGCAAUGCAAUCGCGUUGUAAUGCUUUACUUUAUCACUAAGCGGUAGCGAUAGUCGUGGAAGCAUAAAAGUGGCGAGACGACAACGAUGCUGCGAUGGAGAUCAAGGUGUCGUGCCGGUGACGAUGGUGAUCAUGACGGUGCUUCAGAGAUGGAGAUCACAAGCACAAGAUGAUGAUGGCCAUAUCAUAUCACUUAUAUUGAUUGCAUGUGAUGUUUAUCUUUUAUGCAUCUUAUCUUGCUUUGAUUGACGGUAGCAUUAUAAGAUGAUCUCUCACUAAAUUAUCAAGAAGUGUUCUCCCUGAGUAUGCACCGUUGCCAAAGUUCGUCGUGCCCAGACACCACGUGAUGAUCGGGUGUGAUAAGCUCUACGUCCAUCUACAACGGGUGCAAGCCAGUUUUGCACACGCAGAAUACUCAGGUUAAACUUGACGAGCCUAGCAUAUGCAGAUAUGGCCUCGAAACACGGAGACCGAAAGGUCGAGCGUGAAUCAUAUAGUAGAUAUGAUCAACAUAGUGAUGUUCACCAAUGAAACUACUCCAUCUCACGUGAUGAUCGGACAUGGUUUAGUUGAUUUGAAUCACGUGAUCACUUAGAGGAUUAGAGGUAUGUCUAUCUAAGUGGGAGUUCUUAAGUAAUAUGAUUAAUUGAACUUAAAUUUAUCAUGAACUUAGUCCUGGUAGUAUUUUGUAAAUCAUGUUGUAGAUCAAUAGCUCGCGUUGUUGCUUCCCUGUGUUUAUUUUGAUAUGUUCCUAGAGAAAAUUGUAUUGAAAGAUGUUAGUAGCAAUGAUGCGGAUUGGAUCCGUGAUCUGAGGUUUAUCCUCAUUGCUGCAUAGAAAAAUUAUGUCCUUGAUGCACCGCUAGGUGACAGACCUAUUGCAGGAGCCGAUGCAGACGUUAUGAACGUUUGGCUAGCUCAAUAUGAUGACUACUUGAUAGUUUAGUGCACCAUGCUUAACGGCUUAGAAUCGGGACUUCAAAGACGUUUUUGAACGUCAUGGACCAUAUGAGAUGUUCCAGGAGUUGAAGUUAAUAUUUCAAGCAAAUACCCGAGUUGAGAGAUAUGAAGUCUCCAACAAGUUCUAUAGCUUAAAGAUGGAGGAGAAUCGCUCAACUAGUGAGCAUGUGCUCAGAUUGUCUGGGUACUACAAUUGCUUGAAUCAAGUGGGAGUUAAUCUUCCAGAUAAGAUAGUGAUUGACAGAAUUCUCUAGUCACCAUGACCAAGUUAGUAGAACUUCGUGAUGAACUAUAGUAUGCAAGGGAUGACGAAAACGACCCCCGAGCUUUUCAUGAUGAUGAAAUCAAUGAAGGUAGAAAUCAAAAAGGAGCAUCAAGUGUUGAUGGUAGACAAGACCACUAGUUUCAAGAAAAGGGCAGAGGGAAGAAGGGGAACUUCAAAAAGAACAGCAAGCAAGUUGCUGCUCAAGUGAAGAAGCCCAAGUCUGGACCUAAGCCUGGGACUGAGUGCUUCUACUGCAAAGGGACUGGUCACUGCAAGCGGAAGUACCCCAAGUGAUUGGCAGAUAAGAAGGAUGGCAAAGUGAACAUAAGUAUAUUUGAUAUACAUGUUAUUGAUGUGUACUUUACUAGUGUUUUUAGCAACCCCUCAAGUAUUUGAUACUAGUUCAGUUGCUAAGAUUAGUAACUCGAAACGGGAGUUGCAGAAUAAAUAGAGACUAGUUAAGGGUGAAGUGACGAUGUGUGUUGGAAGUGGUUCCAAGAUUGAUAUGAUCAUCAUCGCACACUCCCUAUACUUUCGGGAUUAGUAUUGAACCUAAAUAAGUGUUAUUUGGUGUUUGCGUUGAGCAUAAAUAUGAUUGGAUCAUGUUUAUUGUAAUACGGUUAUUCAUUUAAGUAAGAGAAUAAAUUGUUGUUCUGUUUACAUGAAUAAAAUCUUAUAUGGUUACACACCCAAUGAAAAUAGUUCGUUGGAUCUCGAUCAUAGUGAUACACAUAAUCAUAAUAUUGAAACCAAAAGAUGCAAAGUUAAUAAUGAUAGUGUAACUUAUUUGUAGCACUGCCGUUUAAGUCAUAUUGGUGUAAAGCGCAUGAAGAAACUCCAUGCUGAUGGGCUUUUGGAAUCACUUGAUUGUGAAUCAGUUGAUGCUUGCGAACCAUGCCUCAUGGGCAAGAUGACUAAGACUCUGUUCUUCGGAACAAUGGAGCGAGCAACAGAUUUGUUGGAAAUCAUACAUACUGAUGUAUGUGGUCCGAUGAAUAUUGAGGCUCAUGAUAGGUAUCAUUAUUUUCUGAUCUUCACAGAUGAUUUGAGCAGAUAUGAGUAUAUCUACUUGAUGAAACAUAAGUCUGAGACAUUUGAAAAGUUCAAAGAAUUUCAGAGUGAAGUGGAGAAUCAUCGUAACAAGAAAAUAAGGCUUCUACGAUCUGAUCGCGGAGACAAAUAUUUGAGUUACGAGUUUGGUCUUCAAUUAAAACAAUGUGGAAUAGUUUCACAAAUUCAUGCCACCCGGAACACCACAACAUAAUGGUGUGUCCGAACGUCAUAGCCAUACUUUAUUAGAUAUAGUGCAAAUCUAUGAUGUUUCUUACCGAUUUACCACUAUCGUUUUUGAGGUUAUGCAUUAAAGACAGCUGCAUUCACGUUAAAAAAGGGGCACCAUCUAAGUCCGUUGAGACGACACAAUCUGAACUGUGGUUUAGCAAGAAACCAAAGUUGUCGUUUCUUAAAGUUUGGGGUUGUGAUGCUUAUGUGAAAAAGUUUCAUCCUGAUAAGCUCAAAACCAAAUCGGAGAAAUAUGUCUUCAUAGGAUACCUAAAAGGAGACUGUUGGGUACACCUUCUAUCACAGAUCCUAAGGCAAGACAUUCGUUGCUAAGAAUGGAUCCUUUCUAGAGAAGGAGUUUCUCUCGAAAGAGGUGAGUGGGAGGAAAGUAGAACUUGAUGAGGUAACUGUACCUCCUCCCUUAUUGGAAAGUAGUACAUCACAGAAACCGAUUUCUGUGACACCUACACCAAUUAGUGAGGAAGCUAAUGAUGAUGAUCAUGAAACUUCAGAUCAAGUUACUACCGAAUCUCGUAGGUAAACCAGAGUGAGAUCCGCACCAGAGUGGUACAGUAAUCCUGUUCUGGAAGUCAUGUUACUAGACCAUGACGAACUUGCGAACUAUGAGGAAGCGAUGAUGAGCCCAGAUUCCGCAAAAUGGCUUGAGGCCAUGAAAUCUGAGAUGGGAUUCAUGUAUGAAAACAAAGUAUGGACUUUGGUUGACUUUCCCGAUGAUCGGCAAGCCAUAGAAAAUAAAUGGAUCUUCAAGAGGAAGACGGACGGAUAGUAGUGUUACUAUCUACAAAGCUAGAAUUGUCGCAAAAGGUUUUCGACAAGUUCAAGGUGUUGACUACGAUGAGAGAUUCUCACUCGUAUCUACGCUUAAGUCUGUCCGAAUCAUGUUAGCAAUUGCCGCAUUUUAUGAAAUCUGGCAAAUGGAUAAACAAAACUGCAUUCCUUAAUGGAUUUAUUAAAGAAGAGUUGUAUAUGAUGCGACUAGAAGGUUUUAUCGAUCCUAAAGGUGUUAACAAAAUAUGCAAGCUCCAGCGAUCCAUCUAUGGACUGGUGCAAGCAUCUCGGAGUUGGAAUAUACGCUUUGAUAAGUUGAUCAAAGCAUAUAGUUUUAUACAGACUUGCGGUGAAGCCUGUAUUUACAAGAAAGUGAGUGGGAGCACUACAACAUUUCUGAUAAGUAUAUGUGAAUGACAUAUUGUUGAUCGGAAAUAAUGUAGAAUUAUUCUGCAAAGCAUAAAGGAGUGUUUGAAAGGAGUUUUUCAAAGAAAGACCUCGGCGAAGCUGCUUACAUAUUGAGUAUCAAGAUCUAUAGAGAUAGAUCAAGACGCUUGAUAAGUUUUUUCAAUGAGUACAUACCUUGACAAGAUUUUGAAGUAGUUCAAAAUGGAACAGUCAAAGAAAAAGUUUCUUGCCUGUGUUACAAGGUGUGAAGUUGAGUAAGACUCAAAGCCCGACCACGGCAGAAGAUAGAAAGAGAAUGAAAGUAUACCAUGCUAUGUACCAGAUCUAUAAAGUAUACCAUGCUGUGUACCAGAUCUAUUGUAUACCAUACACUGUGUUAAGAGAGGGAGUACAAUUGUGAUCUAGGAGUAGAUCAAUGGACAGCGGUCAAAAUUAUCCUUACUGGAAUAAGGAUAUGUUUCUCGAUUAUGGACGUGACAAAAAGGUUCGUUGUAAAGGGUUACGUCGAUGCAAGUUUUUGACACUGAUCCAGAUGAUUCUAAGUCUCAAUCUGGAUACAUAUUGAAAGUGGGAGCAAUUAGCUAGAGUAGCUGUGUGCAGAGCAUUGUAGACAUAGAAUUUUACAAAAUACAUGCGGAUCUGAAUGUGGCAGACCCGUUGACUAAACUUCUCUCACAAGCAAAACAUGAUCACUUUUUGGGUCUUAAUCACAUAGCGAUGUGAACUAGAUUAUUGAAUCUAGUAAACCCUUUGGGUGUUAGUCACAUGGAGAUGUGAACCAAUCACAUAAAGAUGUGAACUAUUGAUGUUAAAUCACAUGGCGAUGUGAUCUAGAUUAUUGACUCUAGUGCAAGUGGGAGACUGAAGGAAAUAUGCCCUAGAGGCAAUAAUAAAGUUAUUAUUUAUUUCCUUAUAUCAUGAUAAAUGUUUAUUAUUCAUGCUAGAAUUGUAUUAACCAGAAACAUAAUACAUGUGUGAAUACAUAGACAAACAGAGUGUCACUAGUAUGCCUCUACUUGACUAGCUCGUUAAUCAAAGAUGGUUAUGUUUCCUAACCAUGGACAAAGAGUUGUCAUUUGAUUAACGGGAUCACAUCAUUAGUUGAAUGAUCUGAUUGACAUGACCCAUUACAUUAGCUUAGCACCCAAUCGUUUAGUAUGUUGCUAUUGCUUUCUUCAUGACUUAUACAUGUUCCUAUGACUAUGAGAUUAUGUGACUCCCGUGUGCCGGAGGAACACUUUGUGUGCUACCAAACGUCACAACGUAACUGGGUGAUUAUAAAGGAGCUCUACAGGUGUCUCCAAAGGUACAUGUUGGGUUGGCGUAUUUCGAGAUUAGGAUUUGUCACUCUGAAUGUCGGAGAGGUAUCUCUGGGCCCUGUCGGUAAUGCACAUCACUUAAGCCUUGCAAGCAUUGCAACUAAUGAGUUAGUUGCGAGAUGAUGUAUUAUAGAACGAGUAAAGAGACAUGCCGGUAAUGAUAUUGAACUAGGUAUUGAGAUACCGACGAUCGAAUCUCGGGCAAGUAACAUACCGAUGACAAAGGGAACAACGUAUGUUGUUAUGCGGUCUGACCGAUAAAGAUCUUUGUAGAAUAUGUAGGAGCCAAUAUGGGCAUCUAGGUCCCGCUAUUGGUUAUUGACCGGAGACGUGUCUCGGUCAUGUCUACAUUGUUCUCGAACCGUAGGGUCCGCACGCUUAAGAUUUCGAUGACAGUUAUAUUAUGAGUUUAUGAGUUUUGAUGUACCGAAGGAGUUCGGAGUCCCGGAUGAGAUCGGGGACAUGACGAGGAGUCUCGAAAUGGUCGAGACGUAAAGAUCGAUAUAUUGGACGACUAUAUUCGGACAUCGAAAAGGUUGCGAGUGAUUCGGGUAUUUUUCGGAGUACCGGGGAGUUACGGGAAUACGGGGGGAGAAGUAUUGGGCCUUAUUGGGCCAUACGGGAAAGAGAGAGGGGCUGCCUAGGGCAGGCCCCCCCCCAAGGCCUAGUCUGAAUUGGACUAGGGGGAGGGGCUGCGCCCCCUCCUUCCUUCCCUUCUCCCUUCCCCUUCCUUGUCUCCUACUCCUACUACAUAGAAGGACUCCUAGUUGGACUAGGAAAGGGGGAAUCCUACUCCCGGUGGGAGUAGGACUCCCCUAGGGCGCACCAUAGAGAGGGCCGGCCCUCCCCUCCUCCACUCCUUUAUAUACGGGGGCAGGGGGCACCCCAUAGACACACAAGUUGAUCAUCAUGAUCGUUCCUUAGCCAUGUGCGGUGCCCCCCUCCACCAUAUUUCACCUCGGUCAUAUUGUUGUAGUGCUUAGGCGAAGCCCUGCGAUGGUAGAACAUCAAGAUCGUCACCACGCCGUUGUGCUGACGGAACUCAUCCCCGAAGCUUUGAUGGUAGGAGCCCAGGGAUCGUCAUCGAGCUGUACGUGUGCUAAGAACUCGGAGGUGCCGGAGUAACGGUGCUUGGAUCGGUCGGAUCAGGAAGACGUACGACUACUUCCUCUACGUUGCGUCAACGCUUCCGCUUCGGUCUACGAGGGUACGUAGAUCACACUCUCCCCUCUCGUUGCUAUGCAUCACCAUGAUCUUGCGUGUGCGUAGGAAUUUUUGAAAUUACUACGUUUCCCAACACAAUUGUCGUCACGCUAGAAGUUAGCGAGCAUUACUAAUUUGAGGUGUGGCGGUUUCUAUUCUUAAAUUGGGUAUGCUUAUUAAAGACACAAAGAGACGCAAUGAUCACGUGAAUGGACUUGUCACGAUGCCCAGCUUGAGCGCGACAGAACUGGGGGCUCGAUGGGCCCACUCACCAGUUUCAUCAAUGCGCAAGGUCAGUGGUCCAGCUAUCGUCACGCUAGGAAUUUAGCUAGCGUUACUAAUUCGAAGUGUGACAGUUUUGAUUCUUAAAUUGGAUAUGUUUUUUAAGGACACCAAGAAGCGUGAUGAUCACGUGAAUGUACUUGUCGCGAUGGCCAGCACUAGUGCGAGAGAACAUGGGGCUCGUUGGGCCCACCCGACAGUUUUGUCGAUUCGCAAGGUUAGUGGUCCAGUUGUCGUCACACCAAGAAGUUAGCGAGUGUUACUAAUUUCAGGCAUGGCGGUUUCUAUUCUUAAAUUGGAUAUGUUUAUUAAAGUCACAAAGAACCGCAAUGAUCAUGUGAAUGGACCUGUCGUGAUGCCCAUCUCGAGUGUGGCAGAACAGGGGGCUCGAUGGGCUAACUCGGCAAUUUCAUCAAUGCGCAAGGUCAGUGGUCCAGCUGUCGUCACGCCAAGAAUUUAGCUAGUGUUACUAAUUUGAAGUGUGACGGUUUUGAUUCUUAAAUUGGAUAUGUUUUUUAAAUACAUCAAGAAGCAUGAUGAUCACUUGAAUGUACUUGUCGCAACGGGAAGCAUCAGUGUGAGAGAACAUGGGGCUCGUUGGGCCCACUCGGCAGUUUCGUUGAUUCGCAAGGUCAAUGGUCCAGUUAUCGUCACGCCAAGAAGUUAGCGAGCGUUACUAAUUUGAGGCGUGUUGGUUUCUAUUCUUAAAUUGGAUAUGUUUAUUAAAGACACAAAGAACCACAAUGAUCAUGUGAAAGCACCUGUCAUGAUGUCGAGCUCGAGCGCGGAAGAAUAGGGGGCUCGACGGGCCCACUCGGCAGUUUCAUCAAUGCGCAAGGUCAGUGGUCCAGCUGUCGUCACGUCAAGAAUUUAGCUAGCGUUACUAAUUUAAAGUGUGCUGGUUUUGAUUCUUAAAUUGGAUAUGUUUUUUAAAGACACCAAGAAGCGUGAUGAUCAUGUGAAUGUACUUGUCGCGACGGCCAGCACCAGUGUGAGAGAACAUGAGGCUCGUUGGGCCCACCUGUCGAUUCGCAAGGUCAGUGGUCCAGUUGUCGUCAUGCCAAAAAGUUAGCGAGCAUUACUAAUUUGAGGCGUAGAUAUUUUGAUUCUUAAAUUGGAUAUGUUUUUUAAAGACACCAGGAAGCGCGAUGAUCACGAGAAUGGACUUGUCGCGAUGCGCAACUCGAGCAUGAUAGAACAGCGGGCUCGAUGUGCCCACUCGGGUGUUUCGCUGAUGUGCAAGGUGACUGUUCUAGUUGUCGUCACGCCAAGAAUUUAGCGAGCAUUACUAAUUUGAGGUCUGGCAGUUUUGAUUCUUAAAUUGGAUAUGUUUUUUAGACAUACCAAGAAGCAUGAUGAUCACGUGAAUGUACUUGUCGCGACGGCCUGCUCCAGUGCGAGAGAACAAGGGGAUCGAUGAGCCCACUCGGCAGUUUCACCGAUGCGCAACGUCAGUGGUCCAAUUGUCGCAUGCAAAGAAGUUAGCGAGCGUUACCAAUUUGAGGCGUCGUGGUUUUCAUUCUUAAAUUGGAUACGUUUUUUAAAGACACCAAGAAGCAUGAUGAUCACGUGAAUGGACUUGUCGUGAUGCACAGCUCGAGCACGAGAGAACAGAGGGCUUGAUGGGCCAACUCGGCAAUUUCACCGUUACGCAAGGUCAGUGGUCCAGUUGUCGUCACGCCAAGAAAUUAGCGAGCAUUACUAAUUUGAGGCGUGGCAGUUUUGAUUCUUAAAUUGGAUGUGUUUUUUAAAGAAACCGAGAAAUACGAUGAUCUCUUGAAUGGAGUUGUUGUGACGCCCAGCUCGAGCGCGACAGAAUAGGGGGCUCAAUGGGCCCACUCGGCAGUUUCACCGAUCCGCAAGGUAAGUGGUCAGCUGUCGUCACGCCAAGAAUUUAGCUAGUCUUACUAAUUUGAGGCGGUUUUGAUUCUUAAAUUGGAUGUUUUUUAAAGACGCCAAGAAGCGUGAUGAUCACGUGAAUGGAGUUGUCAUGAUGCCAUGCCCAAGCGCGACAGAACAAGGGGCUCGAUGGGCUCACUCGGCAGUUUCGCCGACGCACAAGGUUAGUGGUCCAGGUGUCAUCACGCGAAGAAGUUAGCGAGAGUUACUAAUUGGAGCCAUAGCGGUUUCGAAUCUUAAAUUGGAUAUGUUUUUAAAGACUCCAAGAAACGCGAUGAUCACAAGAAUGGACUUGUCGCGACGCACAACUCGAGCAUGAGAGAACAAGGGGAUCGAUGGGCCCACUCCGCAGUUUCACCAAUGUGCAUGGUCAGUGGUCCAGCUGUCACACCAAGAAUUUAGCGAGCGUUACCAAUUUGAGGUGUGGCGGUUUUGAUUCUUAAAUUGGAUAUGUUUUUAAAUACAUCAAGAAGCGCGAUGAUCACUGUUGGGGAACAUAGUAAUUUCAAAAAAAUUCCUAUGCACACGCAAGAUCAUGGUGAUACAUAGCAACGAGGGGGAGAGUCUGAUGUACGUACCCUUGUAGAUCGCAAUGGAAGCGUUGACACAACGUAGAGGAAGUAGUCGUACGUCUUCUUCCCGAUCCGACCGAUCCAAACACCGUUACUCCGGCACCUCCGAGUUCUUAGCACACGUUCAGCUCGAUGACGAUCCUUGGGCUCCGAUCCAGCAAAGCGCCGAGGAAGAGUUCCGUCAGCACGACGGCGUGGUGACGAUCUUGAUGUACUACCGACGCAGGGCUUCGCCUAAGCACUACAACGGUAUGAUCGAGGUGGAAUUUGGUGGCAGGGGGCACCGCACACGGCUAAGGAACGAUCUCAAGGAUCAACUUGUCUGUCUAGAGGUGCCCCCUGCCCCCGUAUAUAAAGGUUGCCAGGGGGAGGGCUGGCCGGCCAAGGAGAGGAGGGCGCAGGAGGAGUCCUACUCCUACCGGGAGUAGGACUCCCCCCC
This 100008-nucleotide long non-coding RNA is filed under the name Triticum aestivum (bread wheat). Its description in RNAcentral is "long non-coding RNA (TAES_LNC009685)". The stretch from base 59679 to 59802 matches the Rfam family "MIR1120/MIR1122 microRNA precursor family". Lineage: Eukaryota; Viridiplantae; Streptophyta; Magnoliopsida; Poales; Poaceae. The record is from RNAcentral.